This 146182-nucleotide long non-coding RNA is filed under the name Gossypium barbadense (sea-island cotton). RNAcentral's name for it is "long non-coding RNA (GBAR_LNC016701)". The record is from RNAcentral. Lineage: Eukaryota; Viridiplantae; Streptophyta; Magnoliopsida; Malvales; Malvaceae.
AAUUGAAAUUCAAGAGUUGAAUAUUUUAAGUUGCGACUAUUUGAGAAACUUAGACGAUUGUAAUUCUUCCCUCAAAAAUGCGAUUGACUUGAGGAUUCGUGAAUGUGAAGGGAUAGAGUGUGUUGUUUCGUUGUCCUCUUUCGCCUCUUCUUUCGCUCAUCCAUGUCAGUGCCUCGAGAUGUUGUAUCUUCAAGAUCUGCCAAAGUUGAGUGCCCUUAUUAUGAAAGAUGAAGGAAUUGGUUCAGCAACAACAUCAACAUUGGUUCCGUCUGCCACCUUUUCCCAUCUUAAGGAAAUUACGAUAUACAGCUGCUCAAGUAUGAAGACGUUGCUUCCACAUUGGUUGCUUCCAAACCUCCAAAACUUGGAAAAAAUACACGUGGAGUAUUGUAGUCUGCUAGUAGAAAUAUUGGGAGCAGCAACAUCAGAAGUUGAAGAAAAUGGGAGUGAUGCAUUAAUCAAAUUCCAUCUUCCCAAAUUGAGAGAGUUGUCAUUCUUGGAUUUACCAAAUUUGAAGAGCAUAUGCAGCAAAAGUGGAGUGAUGGUUUGUAAUUUUUUCGAGUUAAUCGUUGUUGUUGAGUGUGAUAAAUUGAAGAGAAUUCCUCGAUUUGUUCCCCUUGUUGGCAAUGGGCAGCCAUUUGCAUAUGCUCCACCUUCUCUUACCAUCAGGUCAAGCACAGAAUGGUGGGAAUCGUUGGAGUGGGAUGACCAUCCAAACUUUAAAAAUGUUCUUCGCUUCAAACCCAUAGAAUAAUGAAAGGUAUAAAUCUAAUUGCUCCAUAUUAAUAAAAUUUGAAGUAUAUUUGUGAUGAUGAUGAAGAGAAAGAUAAAAGGGUUGGUGGGAAAGAAGGAUAGUGCAGAAGAGAGGAGAAAAGGAAUGAUGGAAGGAAGAGGUUAAGAGGCUCCACAUUGUAAACAUUGUCCCUCUCUUACCAUUCCUUCUUUUCUCUUUUUCUUAUGAUGUAAAAGCUGAAGAGGUAAAAAACAAAUAAUUUUGCUUCAUAUUUUGUCUAUGUUUGUUUUCCAAGAAUGAGUAUUGAAUAUAGAUAAUAUAGAGAAAUUUUGUAGGGUUUAAAAAUAAUUAUCCCUAAUUUUCUCACUUUUUUGUAUUUUUUUAAUUUUAUAAUGUUCUAAAAUUUUAAAAAUAUUUUUUAACAUUUUACCAUUUUAUAUAUUAUUAAAAUUAAAUUGACCGAAUAAUUAUAUCACUUAUUAUCAUUGAAUAAAACAAAACAUAGCUAAUAACCAUUGUUAAGUACCAGUUUCAGCUUUUAUGAAUUCUCAAUUCCUCCUUUUUUUUUUUUUUUUGAAGAUAAUCGAAUUCCAUUUAUGGUAUAUAUAUAAUUGUUAACAAGAAUAAAAAUGCAUAAUGCAUUUUAGGUUAUUGAGAGAAUUCCAUCUUCCCAAAUUCAGAGAAUUGAGACUAAGUUACCAAAUUUAGGUUAAAGUAUUCGAGAGGUUCAUGUAAUAUAAGGAUUGUAUUAAGUUAGUCUUUUUAUUAUUAAAUAGAUCAAUUUUGUUCUUAUACUAUUAAAAAAAUUAAAUAAGUCCAAAUCAUAAUGAAAUUAACAUUUAAUAAUGUAUAAAAAAUGUCUUGACAAACAAAAAGAUUUCAUUUACUUCAUCAUAAAAACUUUAAAAAUAUUAACUUUAUUAAACAUUAAAUGUUAACUCUAUUUCAAUUUGACCAUAUUUAAUUUUUUACAACAAUAUUAAAUUGAUCCACCUAAUAGUAAAAAAAUAUAAUCAAAUCCCUAUAAUAAAAACACGUCUCGAAUACAUUCACCCUUCAAUUAAACUAUUCAUCAUGAUACCUUAACAUCAUUAUCCGGCUCAAUUGCUUCACCAAAAUUUGUUAAUCCCAACAUUUUAUUUUCACUUAAGUAUCACUAUCCGAGAAGUAUUUGAACAUGAUCAUAAAAAUGCAAUCCUUUAAAUAAAUUUAAAAAAUACUUAUGCUCAACUCGAUAAAAAAAUUUUUAAAUUCUGAUAAUUUAAACGAAUUAAUUUUAAAUGUAAAGAUGCUAGCAAAGGAGAGAGUUCCAUGAGAUAGAUAGCUUAUAAUUUUGUUUAUAGUCGAUUGAGUCUUAAUUCAAUUGGCAUGAGUAUUAUUACCAGUACAAGAGAAUGUGGGUUCGAGUUCGCUGAAGAGCAGGUUUGAGUUCGCUGAAGAGCAUCAUCUUCCUAUUUAUGGGUUAUAAGUAAUUCUAAAUAUUGUCUCAAAAAGAGCAUAUAUAAUCAAAAUCUAUAAUAAAAUUAUUAAAAAACAAAAACUAUGUCUAUUAGAUAUUUAUAUUCAAAAUCGAAUAACACGGGUAACAUAAAGUUUUAUAUAUAGCAAGAAGAAGCUUUUUUUUUUUAAAUCAAGUCAUGGAUUCUGGGAUUGUUUGGCUUCAAGAGAUUUCUCAUAUUCUUCAAUGGAUUUGAAGAGCUCAGAAAAGUUGCCUUUCCCAAAACCACCACAUCCACCUUUUUGGUAUUGCUUUCCUUCUUCAUCCUUCACCAUGCACCCAAUUCCUUGUAUUAUCUCUAUGAAGAUGGUUGGACUCAAAAUAAAAGGUUCCCACUUUAGUUAACCAAACAAGAAAUAAUAUACAUAUAUGCCGAAGAGAAGUUUGAUUGAAUGACAAGGUUGAAGCUUUGAAAACUUUACAACAUAUGUAAAUGUAUGCGUGGUCAUCUAGAUUUAUUGUUGAUUGGUUAGUUUGUUAAGUUAAAUUAGUAGUCAAUUCUCAUUCCAUUAUAUGAAAUAUUGUUGAUAGGUUAGUUUGUUAAAUAUAUAGUGCAUGCUUGUAGUAAGCUAGUAGAAAUAUUGGGAGCAGCAACAAAAAUAAAUUUUGUGAUGUUGGUGAAGAGAAAGAUAAAAGUGUGGGUGGGAAAGAAGUAGGGGCCGGGGGAGGAUAGUGCAGAAGAGAGGAGAAAAGGAAUGAUGGAAGGAAGAGGUUAAGAGGCUCCACAUUGUAAACAUUGUCCCACUCUUACCAUUCCUUCUACUCUCUUUUUCUUAUAAUGUAAAAGCUGAAGAGGUAAAAAACAAAUAAAUUUGCUUCAUAAUUUUUCUAUGUUUGUUUUGAAAGAAUGAGUAUUGAAUAUAGAUAAUAUAGAGAAAUUUGGUAGGGUUUAAAAAUAUAAUAUAAUUUAAAUAUCAAUUAUUCAAAAUAAUGGUAUUUUAGAUAGCAAAGGUAUUGAAAAUUUAAAGUGAUAAAUUACCUUUUUAUCAUUAUAAAUAAAUACCAUAAUUUCUUUUUAAAUAAAAUAAAUAAAUAUCAUUAUUUCUUCUUUCAACAAUCAUUCUAUUCUAAAAUAAAUAAAAAUAAAAAUGAAACCAGUAACCCCAAAUAAAGUAUUAAUGAUAGUUUUAAAUAAAAUAACUUGAAAAAAUUUUAAAAAGUAAGACUUGAUGAAACACUAAAUAUAAAUUCCUUAGUCAUUUAAAAAGUAAGCUUUGGAGGUCUUAAAAAAAGGGCAAAUUACCAAAAAAGCCCUUUUUUAAAAUUUACUGAAAUGGGCCCGAUAUUUUAUUAUUUAUCGGAAUGGGCCAUUUUCCCCGAAUUCGGGUCCACGUCAGCGCGAUGUCAAGGGACGUGUCAGAACAUCGCGUCCACAUCAGCACGCUUUACUUACGUGGACACAAAUCGUGCCUACGAGGACGCGAUUUGCUGACGUGGAUGAACAGUUUAUGUUUUUUAGCUUGGAAAACUUUGAAAGGCCAUAAUUUUUCGCUCGGUUGUCCGAUUGAGACGAUUUUUUUAUUUCGAAUAACUUUUCGAGAUCUACGCGCUGACAAACAGCCGAAGGUGGUUUGCCGCAUUUUUCGUCAAAAAAGAUCCUUUUUUGCCCCUAAAUUUUGAUUUUUUUGGUUUAAAAUUAAAUUUUGAAACAUUCAAAUCAUUAUUUUCCUUAUUUAUUUGAAGUAACACCGGAUUUUUUUAUAGAAUUGUUGUAGUAUUUUUUCUGAUUUGACACGUGUAUGGAAUAGGUUCGAUAAAUCGUUAGAACGUAAGUAAUAUAAUUAAGAUAAUAACAGUUUUUCUAUAAUAUGUCAAUUAAUUAGUUUAGUUUAGUUGGUUAAGAUGCUUGCUCUUUUCCCUUAGUACCUUGGUUCAAAUCUUGUUACCAAAAAAGAUUCAAAAUUGUUACCAAAAAAAUCCAGUAUUUACUAAAACAAAAUUAAUCGGGGAAUAAUGUAAAUAAAACAAAAUAAGGGCCAAUGUGCAAUGCGCGAAUGACAUGGAGGGUUAAUUUGGAAAUAUUCCCAACCCUCCAGAACGCUGUGUUGCAACAUGGACUAAAAUAAAACGAAAAACGAAUUAAAGGGCGAAAUUUAAAAAAAGAAAAGAACUUAUUUGAACACGCCACUAAAGAGAGAGGACCACUUGCGCAAAUUUACCCCUGGGACAAAACACGUGGAUCCUCCCCUCGGGUUGGGUCACACGGGUCACUGAUUGGUGUGGCAGUAUAUGACGUUGUUUUGGGGCUACUGAAGUAGGCCCUAAACGACGUCGUUUUUAUUACCUUAUAAAAUCCCCCAAAUUAAACCCUAAUCAGAAUUUUCGCCACGUUUACAGAAAAUAAAACCAAAAAAAAAAAAUAAAACCCUAGGUUUUUUUCUCUCUGCCGCUUUGGAAAUUCAGGCCGUUUUGAGGCUUCUCGAACCUCGCAAGGGCUCCGAUCGUGACGGAGUAGGCAGAGAUUCAACACUUCAGGUAAUUUCUAUUUUCUAAUUGAUUUUAUUUUACACACAACGAAUAAACAAUAAUAAUAAAAAGAAACAGAGAAAUUGAAAGAGAAAAGAAAAUCACCUUAAAAACUCACUGCUAUAAUUUUUUAUUGAUUUUUAAUCGAUUUUCGUAUCCCCCUUUACAAAUCCAUGUUUGGCUUUAUAUAGCCAAAAAGAAAAAUCAAAAUCCCUCUUUUUCUAUUUUUUUAUGUUUUUAUCUCCCCUUACAAUUUUCGCUGUAAAUCUGUUAUUUUCUUUGUUGUAAGUUCGUUUCUUCUUUUUGCUGCUUUGGUUUAUCGUUUGUUGCAGGGAGAAUGUGCAUAGUGUGAAGGCGACGUGCUGCGAUGUGCGGGAAGGCGUGCGAGGGAGCCUUGCUGAAUUACGGUGCUCCCUAGGGUUUCUGCCUCCUUUGUUGCUGAAAACAUGUUGUGGGCGUAUUGGGCUAGGGUUUUUUGUAAUUUGGGAUGUUUGGAUUUGUAAUUAGGGCUGGACGCUUAUAGUUUUAAUUUAUUUUAAUUUGGUGUUGGGCCUGGGCUUAAAAUUGGGUAUUACAGUAUUAAUUUUAAAAUAUUGAAUUAAUUAUCACUAUAGUUUAGGGUAUAUGGUUUAGAGUUUAAGGCUUAUGAGUUAUUAUUUUAAGGUUUAUGGAUUAUGGGUUUAAGGGUUAUGGUUUAUGGUUUAAAGGUUGGGAUUUAAAGUUUAGAGGAUAUGUGUUAAGGGUCUAGGAUUUUAUGGUUUAGGUUUAGGGUUUAGGUUUAAGGUUUAGAUUAACUAGUGUUUUCUAAUUUAUAUAUUAAUUAAUUUAUUAUAUAAUUGUAAAAGAGACAAUAUUAAUUUGGUUCUUCAAAAUCUUGUGAAGAUUUGGUUCUCCAAAAUCGUUUCAGUGUAUUUAAAACUGUUAAAGCUGCAUUAUUUUUGUUGAGGGAAUAAGAAAACAGAAAUACUAUUAUUGAGUUUUUAAAUAUUUUCAAAGAAUUUGAUAUUAAAUAGUUUCACAAUAUUUUAAUAAGUACAGGGUUAAUUUUCAUUUUUAUUCUGCUCUAGGGAUAUUGUUGUUAUUUAAAUUGUUGUUGUAUGAACUUAUCGGUUUGCAUCAUCUACACCAAUUUAAAUUUUGACUUUUUACUAGUAUAUUUUUUUUCUCUAAAUUGUUAAUGGUUGCUUUUAGUUUUUUUACUAGUAUUUUUUUCUCUUGCGUCAAUGCUAGUUGGUAGUUGUUACUUUGUAUUAAGAAGAAAGUAUUCUCACAUUGAAUUUGAAAAUGCAGUCGAGCCUUUUUUGACAAGAGGAUCUCACAGGAAGUCAAUGGUGAUGCCUUCGAUGAGGUAUGUUUCCAAGUUACCUUUAGCUUUUCGUUCACUGCCUCAAGUUUCUGCUGGUGCAUCUGGACUUCAUAACUGCAAUUUGCUCACCCCUUAAUUAUCCUUCAACAGGAGUUUAAGGGCUAUGUAUUCAAGAUCAUAGGAGGCUGUGAUAAAUAAGGUUUUCCAAUGAAGCAAGGAGUUCUCACUCCUGGAUGUGUUCGUCUUUUGCUUCACAGAGGUCUGUGGACUCUGAAAUAUUUUUCCUUGUUCUUAUUUGUGUAGAAAUGUUUUUUUUUUGUUAAUUAAAUGUCUUCUUUUCUAAUCUUUGAAUAGGUACUCCCUGCUUCCGUGGAUAUGGUAGAAGAAACGGAGAGCGUAGGAGGAAGUCAGUUCGUGGAUGCAUUGUUAGUCAGGAUCUUUUAGUUUUGAACUUGGUUAUUGUGAAAAAGGGUGAAAAUGAUCUUCCUGGACUGACUGACACUGAGAAACUAUUGGAAAUUGGCCAACCAUGUUGCUGUUACAUUUUGUGGUUGAAGUGCAUGCAGCUUGAUGACAUGCUGCAGCACAUAUGCUUGCUGUAACAGCAAGGUUUCUCUUUAGUUUCAUUCUAAUUAAUCUAGUUUAAAAUGGACAAGUUGAUGACAACUUGAUGCAUUAGGUGUUGAAUGACUAGUUUAGGUGGCUUGUUUAUGUGUACAAGCAAUGUUUUAAUAGUCCCAAUGCUGAUUAGUGGGGUUAGUUGACUAUUUGGUGAUGUAUUUGACUAUAAAUGUAUGUUUCUUCUAGUUGAAUGAAUGAGCUGAAUGAGCUAUCAGCCAUUAGCUCCCUUGCUGUACAUUUGUGAGCAAGUAAAAAUGCUUCUUGCACCUUGUUUCAUGUUCUGUGCUCUUGUUCUCUCUUUUGUUGCUGCCUCUUGCACCAACAAUUGGUAUCGAGAGCUCUUGUCUUAGUGGACCUGUUGCUUCAAAACAAAGAACUUGAUGGCUUCUUCAGGAUUUUCACCAGCAGCCCCACCAGUCUUCAAUGGAGAAGGCUUUCACAUAUGGCUGGUCAAGAUGAAGACUUACCUACAGGCCUUCGAUCUGUGGGAAGUUGUCAACACAGAUACUGAGCCAGCACCACUGAGGGCUAAUCCCACAGUAGCUCAGAUUAGGCAACAUGCUGAUGAGAGGACCAAAAGGCACAAAGCCAUGUCCUGCAUCCAGAACUGUGUGUCAGAUGUCAUCUUCACCAGAAUUAUGGCCUGUGAGACUCCAAAACAGGCCUGGGAUAAGCUCAAGGAGGAGUUUCAAGGCACUGAGAGAACAAGGCAACAGCAACUGCUAAACUUGAGAAGGGAUUUCGAGAAUUUGAAGAUGAAGGAAGAAGAAACAGUGAAGCAGUACUCAGAUAGAAUUAUGGCAGUGGUUAACAGCAUAAGGCUCCUAGGUGAGCACUUUGAUGAGGCAAGAAUUGUGGAGAAAGUCCUCUCCACUUUGCCUGAGAGAUAUGAGGCCAAGAUAUCCUCUCUAGAGGACUCAAGAGACCUUGCUAGCAUCUCUUUGACUGAGCUAAUCAACACCUUUUAUGCUCAGGAACAAAGAAGAGCUAGCAGAGCUGAAGAUCACCAAGAAGGUGCAUUUCAAGCCAAGGCCAGAGAAACCUCGAGCACAAAUGCUCAAAGAGGCAAAAGGCCUUGGAAAAACAGGCCUAAGCUUGAUGCUGCAAGGAGCAAUGACCAGCCCUGUAGAUAUUGCAAGAAACCUGGCCAUCCAGAAGACAGAUGCUGGUUUAGGCCAGAUGCAGUAUGCCAACACUGCAAGAAGAAGGGCCAUGUUGAAAGAGUCUGCAAAAACAGAAGUAAGCCAAGGCAGAAUCAAUUUCAGCAGUCAAAGGUUGAAGCUCGAGUAGCUGAGGACAGUAGUGACCAAGAAGAACAGGUCUUUGCUGUUUCCUGUGUAGCUUCUGAGAAGAAAUGGUCUAAAGGCUGGUUGCUGGACAGUGGUUGCACUAACCACAUGUCACCAGAUGCCUCCUUGUUUAAAACCUUGGACAAAAGUUAUAAAACCAAGGUCAAGGUUGGAAAUGGUCAGUUUAUAAGGGCUGAAGGAAGAGGAGAAGUGUUGAUAUGUACUCCCACAGGCAACAAGAUCAUUCCAAAUGUGCUGUUGGUACCACAGAUUGACAGAAACCUUCUCAGCAUAGCUCAACUGCUCGAGAAAGGUUAUUCUGUUGUGUUCAAGGAUAAACAAUGCCAUAUUACUGAUCCAAGUGGAUCAAGCCUUAUGACAGUCACAAUGACUGAUAAAUGCUUUGAGGUUCACUGGGCAAAUGACUCAAACUCAGCAUACACAGCCUCUGUUGAAGACUCCAAGCUUUGGCAUCAAAGGCUUGGACAUGCCAACUUCAGAUCAAUGGCUCGAUUGGCCAAAGAGGGCUUGGCAGAGAACUUCAUCAGCUCAGUGGAGCAUGAUGAUGUGUGUGAAGUUUGCCAAAUGGGGAAACAGGCAAGACUACCAUUUCCUACAAAUUCAACCUGGAGAGCUACUGAAAGACUGCAGCUGGUGCACUCUGAUGUAUGUGGCCCGAUGAGGACUGAAUCACUCAGCAAAAACAGGUAUUUCAUCCUCUUUAUUGAUGACCUUACAAGGUUUUGCUGGAUUUUCUUUUUAAAACACAAGUCUGAGGUAGCUCAAGUGUUUGUGAAGUUUAAAAAUGCUGUAGAAACAGAAACAGGUUGCAAGCUGAAAUCGAUAAGGACUGAUAAUGGCACUGAGUACACUUCAGCUCAGUUUCAAGCCAUUUGCAAUGAUGCUGGUAUCAAACAUCAGCUUACAAAUGUCUACACACCUCAGCAGAAUGGGGUAGCUGAAAGAAAGAAUAGAAGUCUGAUGGAUAUGGCCAGAUGUCUGCUGUUUGAGAAGAAACUGCCCAAGACCAUGUGGGCUGAGGCAGUAAACACUGCUGUUUACCUUCAGAACAGGCUUCCUACUAAAGCUCUUGCAUCCGAGACACCUUUCGAGGCUUGGUCUGGUUUCAAACCUUCCUUGGCACAUCUGAAGGUGUUUGGUUGCCUGUGUUAUGCACAAAUACCAGCAGCAAAGAGAGACAAGCUCUCUAAAAGGGCUCAACCAGGUGUUCUAGUAGGCUACAGCUCAGUCAAGAAGGGCUACAGGGUCCUGGAUCCCUUGAUAAACAAAGUCCAAGUGAGCAGAGAUGUCAUCUUUGAUGAAAAAGCCUGCUGGAAUUGGGAGAAAAAUGAGCCAGAAGCAGUUUCAGAAGACCUAGUGCCUAAUCAAGCUGAACUUGAGCAGCUAGAACCUGAAAUGGAUGUUGAUGAUGUGCCUGUGAGAGGCACAAGGCCCCUAGAUGAUAUUUAUGAAAGGGCACAGGUUGCAAUAGCAGAACCUAGCAGUUUUGAAGAGGCUGAGGCAGAUGAAGGCUGGAAACUAGCUAUGGUCAAUGAAAUCAACAUGAUUGAAAAGAACCAGACAUGGGAGCUUGUUGAUAAACCUGCUGGAAAGAAGACCAUAGGAGUAAAAUGGGUCUAUCGAGUAAAACAGAAUGCAGAUGACAGUCUGAACAGGCUAAAAGCCAGGCUUGUUGUGAAAGGAUUUAGCCAAAGGUAUGGUCUGGACUACCUGGAGACAUUUGCACCAGUAGCCAGGCUUGACACAGUUAGAAUGAUAGUUGCCUUGGCUGCUCAACAUCAGUGGACCAUUUAUCAGCUUGAUGUUAAGUCUGCAUUUCUCAAUGGCUUCCUGGAAGAAGAGAUCUACAUCGAGCAGCCUCAAGGAUUUGUGAUCACUGGCAAAGAACACAUGGUGUACAGACUGAAAAAGGCUUUAUAUGGCCUGAAACAGGCUCCUCGAGCCUGGUAUGCUCGAAUUGACUCUUACUUGCUCAGUUUGGAAUUUGAGAGAAGUCCCAGUGAACCAACACUGUAUGUGAAGAAGAACCAAGCUCAAACUCAGCUUAUUCUGUCACUCUAUGUUGAUGAUCUACUGAUAACUGGAGGAGAUGGAAGAAUGCUGGAAGAUUUCAAAAGAAAAAUGAUGGAAAUGUUUGAAAUGUCUGAUUUAGGCAGAAUGAACUACUUCCUUGGAAUGGAAGUGAAUCAAACAGAAAAGGGAAUCUUUCUUUGUCAGAGUUCUUUUACUAUGAAGAUCCUGGACAAGUUCUCUAUGAAGAACUGCAAGCCAACAAGCACACCAAUGGCUGUUGGAGUGAAGCUUUCGAGGCAAGGGAGUGGUGAACCAAUUUGUGAGACCAUGUACAAGAGUCUCAUUGGUAGACUGUUGUAUUUGACUGCCACAAGGCCCGAUAUCAUGUUUGCUGUUAGUAUGCUAUCAAGAUACAUGAAUUGCUGCAAUGAUUAGCACUUUCGAGCAGCUAAAAGAGUGCUGAGAUACAUCAAAGGCACCAUUGGUCAUGGUGUAUUGUUCAAAAGGGCUGAAAACAUGAAGCUAAUAGGCUAUGUUGAUAGUGACUGGGCUGGAUCAAGUGAUGACAUGAGAAGCACAUCCGGAUAUGCAUUCAGUCUUGGCUCAGGCAUGUUUUGCUGGAGUUCUAAGAAACAAAGUCUGGUGGCACAAUCAACAGCAGAAGCUGAAUAUGUUGCUGCUGCAUCUGCUGUGAACCAAGCCAUAUGGCUUAGAAAAAUCUUGACUGAUUUAAACCAAAACCAAAAGGAGGCAACAGAGAUUUAUUGUGACAACAAAUCUGCUGUUGCAAUUGCAAAAAAUCCCAUUUUUCAUGGCAGAACCAAGCACUUCAAUAUUAAGUUGCAUGUUAUAAGGGAGAUGGAACAAGCUCAUGAAAUCGAGCUGAUUCACUGCAACUCAGAAGUGCAAAUUGCUGAUAUCUUCACAAAGGCACUCAAUGUGUCUAAAUUUGUUAAAUUCAAAAGGGAAUUAGGUGUUACUAGCAUGGAAACUAAGGAGGAGUGUUAAGUUUAGUUCCCAUGUAAAGGUGGCCAUGCACGACAUGCAAAGGUGGUCAUGCUUCUGGAUUCGCAGCAAGCAGUGGUGCCAUGGUGUGCAGCAACUGAAGUUUGAAGCUGCCAAUCUAUUUGCUGUUUUUAGUUCCAUUUUGAUUGUUUUUGUAAUCUAGUUCAUGUUGAACUAAGUAGGUAAAUGUUUUGAUUUUGAUUGACUGAAAAGUCAGCAAUGCAAGUUGUACAAGCUAAUCUUGUAAGUUUCAAUGCAAAUUAGUGGAGUUAGGUAGUUGAUUAGGUGAUUACUUGUUUGAUUUACUAGUUGACUGAUAUAUGUAAUGGCUUAAUGCCUUGUUGACAAUGUUAAUGAAAGUUAUCAGCUCAUUUUCAUUCAAUCUUUUUCUCUCUUUCUAUGUUUUCACUUGCUAGCUUCAUCUUUCUGUUUUUCUGCUUCCGAGUUUGCUUCUUCACCAAGCCUCGAGGCUUACUACUCAAGCAAGACUUGAAACAGCUUGCUGCUGCCUCUUGCACCAACAAUUGGUAUCAUGAGCCUAUGUCUUACGGGACCAUUGAUUUUGCUUCCCCUACUUGUUGAAAAGAAAGAAGCUGUCAAAGCACAAGCAAGUCAUUAAGGACUGCUUGUAGAGAAGAUAAUAUCGGCUCAAACUUAUAAGAUCCCCAAACUAGCUUGAAUAAGCUGAAGGAGGAGUUUAAAGGAAAGGUGUGAGCUUUCCAAAUGUGCAAGCUUAGCAAGAUGUCAAAGCUGCAAGCUUAGCAAAGUGCGAGCCUGAUGAAGACACCUGUUGAAGACAAUAUGCAAAGAUGUGAGUCUGUCAAAGGUGUGAGCUCAGCAACAUGUGGAAGCUCAAUGCGUGUUGUAUAGUUGCAAGCCUCUUGAAGACAGUAAGCAAAGUGUGAGCCUGUCGAAUUGCAAGCCAAAAUGGCAGAAUGAAGGCAAGCAACUAUACUCACGAACUGUUUGUGCAAGAAGAAAAUGAAUUGGUCAGCUUGAAUCAAAGCAUCUAAGAGCUGCCAAGUUCAAAAAACUUGAUGAAUGACUGGUAUUUGCAGCAUGGAGUCCAAGGAGGAGUAUUGGAAAUUGGCCAACCAUGCUGCUGUUACAUUUUGUGGUUGAAGUGCAUGCAGCUUGAUGACAUGCUGCAGCACAUAUGCUUGCUGUAACAACAAGGUUUCUCUUUAGUUUCAUUCUAAUUAAUCUAGUUUAAAAUGGACAAGUUGAUGACAACUUGAUGCAUUAGGUGUUGAAUGACUAGUUUAGGUGGCUUGUUUAUGUGUACAAGCAAUGUUUUAAUAGUCCCAAUGCUGAUUAGUGGGGUUAGUUGACUAUUUGGUGAUGUAUUUGACUAUAAAUGUAUGUUUCUUCUAGUUGAAUGAAUGAGCUGAAUGAGCUAUCAGCCAUUAGCUCCCUUGCUGCACAUUUGUGAGCAAGUAAAAAUGCUUCUUGCACCUUGCUUCAUGUUCUGUGCUCUUGUUCUCUCUUUUGUUGCUGCCUCUUGCACCAACAGAAACCAAGAAUAAGGGGUCCGAAGAGAGCAUCAAAAAUCAGGAAGUUGUUCAACCUGUCUAAGGAGGAUGGUGUUCGGAAGUAUGUUUAUUAAGCUGUGAGUUUAUUAAGCUGCUUUUAUGAUAAAAUUCAAUGCAUUUUCUGAGAGCCAUUUGUUCUUUCUUUGGUACAAAGUUUGCAACAAUUCUAAGCUACAAUUUUUGUUAAGCUUAUCAUGGAUUUCGUUAUUUGCAUUUCAUGGUAGCUCUUUUCUUCUUUGUUUGAUGCUUCACAUCUGUUUUGAACAUUUUCAGGAUGCAGUUGAUAACAGGAAUGCUGCAGUAAAUUCUAGGAAGCCAGAAGUUAAAAAUGAUGUAGAAAAAGAGAUGUCUGUGAAGCAUCUGACAAGGAAGAAAAGAGUCAUUUGUGAAUUGCAAAUUCAACAGGUUAACCCCAAACUUGUUGGCCAUUCAAAGAAGAAAUCCAAUCACUUUCGUGCUCGUAGCUGUAAAGCAGCAAUUGAGGGGUAUAGCCAGCUUUCUCUGCCAAAGAAGUUUGUACCCUUCAAUCUAAUAAUUGCUCAUUUAGUAACCAUGUGAUUUGUAUUUAUAUAUGCAAAGCUACAUGACUUGUUUUUAUCGAGUGAUAAGUUCAGUGGGACUAAUAAGCACCAGUUACUUUAAAUUUUCAUGAACCCAUGGUAUCAUAAUAAAGCGUACAUUCUGGAAAUGCUUAAAUGUGUACUAUUGAGUAUAUAUUCAGCGGCUUUGAUCACUGAACCUUAACAAAUUCAAUAUCUGAGACUUGUUAUGUAGCAUAGAAGAAUUGGAUGAUAGAAUUUGCGGUAGUCUAGUCUGGUCUGUUAUAAGAUCAAAAUCUGCAAUUAGAAUGAAACUCAAGGAAAAUUUUAUCAUAGAAUCUAACCUAUGAUUAAGAAGAAAAAUCAAGGUAAAAGCUUGUGGUUUUUUUGUCUUUCCGUUCCUUCUCUAUCCACUGUACGGGUUUCAGAAAAAGAGCUUCGCUCGCUCUUGCUAUUAAAGUCGGGUUAGUUUCAUCUUUGAUCUUCUAAUUUUCCUUCUUUGAUUCGUGUUUUUUUGUGUUAAAGUGCCUACAAUUUUGUUUGUUUUUGGAGAAAUCUGGGAUUAUUGUUGUAUUUUCUGAAACUGAUCUAUUAUUGAUGGAAGUCAACCCCUACAGUUGUUGGUGAUAAACACAUAAAUUUGAAUGUUGAUAAAUUAUUGAAUUAUUAAUUUCUGUUAAUUUAUUGCAUAUAAUCAUUGAAUUGUUUAUUUUUACUAAUUAAUUAUAUAUAAAUAAUUAGAUAGUUGAUUUUCGAGCAAUAUUCUUUGAUUGGCUCAUUUUUUGUAUGACAAUGUAAAGAGAUUAAUAAUUGUACUUUUUUUUUUAAAAAUGUCCCCUGACCAACUAUAAAAUUAAAGUUAAUCAAUUGAAAUAGAUGUAGAUCAUAAGCUAUUCAAGCUGCUGCAAUGAGUAGUAUGUUUAGUUUACUAGAGUUUCUUUGGACUUUGGUUUGAUUCAAUUAUCAAAUUUUUCGCUCAGCAUUUGAUUGGUCAGGACUCGAGUUUUCAAAGUUCCCCAAUCAUUUUCUUCCUUUUUUUUCAGAAUCAGAUUUGCUUUUUUGCUUGAAUCUUGACUUUAUAGUCAAUUUGGUGGGUCGGGUUUCUUGAAGCUUUAAGGUUGUAUGGUCGUGGCUAGCGCCAAAUAGAAGGUAAGUGCACAAUGAGUUGAACUGAUUUACUUAUCUUUGCCAUGUUCACUAUGGUUUGAACAAUUUAAGUUACUCUUAUUUUCAUGCAGAGCAUGUAGGCACUAAAUCUGCAGUUCAAAUUCGAAGCCAUGCUCAAAAGUUUUUCUCUAAGGCUCAUUGCUUUGAGUUCAUUACAAGAUUUCCUUGAUUAAGUAAAUGUAUUAUAUCUUUUAUUACCAAGAUUUACUUGAUUAAGAAAAUGCAUUGUAUGUUUUAUUACCUUGCAUAUGUAUUAUUUAUUUUAGUUUUGAUUCUAAAUUUUUAUUUUUACUUUAAUAUUUACGCUAACUUAGAGUUCUAACUUUUGAAUUUUAAUUGUGUUAUUAAUUUAUUAUUUUAAAUUCUAAAUUUAAAUUCAUUCUUUUUUAUAUUUAGUUUUAAAGUCAGAAUAUUUGUAGUAAAUUUAAUUUAAAUAAUAUUUUUUAUUUAUCCUUAAAACAUAAUAUAAUAUUUAUCAUAGAAAUAAAUAUUAUUUGAUAAAAAUGAUUUUUUUUAAAGAUAUGUUUUUAGCGGCGUUUGUGUGAAAAGCGUCGCUAAAGGUCUAUCCAUGUUCUUUAGCAGUGAUUGUGGUAAAGCACCACUAAAAGUCAUGAUCUAUAGUGGCACUUAUAAUAAAAACGUCGCUAAAGGUCAUGUUCUUUAGUGGCGUUUGUGGUAAAAUGCCGCUAAAGGUCAUGCUCUUUAGCGGCGUUUUUGUCAAAAGUCCCGCUAAAGGUCAUGUUCUUUAGCAGCAUUUUUUCAUAUAAACGCCACUAAAACUAGCGACGUUACAAGCACCGCUAAAAGUCUGUUUUGCUGUAGUGGUCUCGAUUCCUUCUUAAUGCUACAUCGGUUUGAAGAUCUACGUUAAUAGUCGAUCAACAAUAAUGAAUGUCACUAACCAAGCUAAGAGGGUUCGAUCAAGGGGUGAGAAAUAAUGAUGACAAGAUGAGACUUAGAUGGGGCAGCAAUGCAGAAAUUAUGAAGGCAACAAAAACUUCAAUGUGCAACAACAGGAGAAGGAGAAAUGGACAUCAAUGGAAAAUCAAAAAUGGCAGAAACUUCUAAACAAAAUAUUGAUAUUAAAAAGGCAAUGAUUCAGCCAAAUAAAUUGGAGAAGUGAUAGGCAAAGGGGCAGCACAAAUAGAAAAUAAAACUUGUGUUUUAGGUUGCAAUAAUGGUGGGUUAUGAGAGAAAAUUGAAGAAUAAUGGAGAGGAAAAAUGAAGGGGACGACAAUAGCUUGAGAAAAAUAAAUAAAAUAGGCUAAACAUAAAAUAAAAUGCAAUUUAUACCUAGGUUAAAAAGGGCUUGGAAGGCAACAAGAUUUUAAGGAGCAGAAACGUUGAAAAAAUAAAAAUUUACAAGGGAAAGGAAUCAAACUCAAGUCUUAAGGUCAAUUUCACUAACUCUUUACCACUAGGCCAAUUAAUCAUUCUAGGCCAAUUAAUCAUUCUUUUCAUAAACGCUCAAACAAAACCUUAAAAAUUAGGGCAAGACAACUCUCAGUUCACUAAAUCGAUUUCUUCUGACACAAUUUUUGGGACAUGACAAAACUAUUAGUAAGUUUAUGUUUAGUUUUAGUUACUUAACUUCAAAAGGUUACAAAAUGGUCAAUAAACUAUUCAAAAGUUUUCAUUUAAGUCAUUGGUUUGUUAAGGUUUUUUUUUAAGUUUGACUAAUGAGCUCCAAGCGAUGAUUCGACAAUUGAUGUAGUGAAUCUAUACCCAUUAAUGAGUGGAACAUAUCUUAGAUCCAAGUUAACAUUCCAUUUAGUGUAGGAGAUUGGAGAAAAAAAGUUGUUCGAAUUUUGGUUCACAGAUUUGUGACGUUCAAAACUGUUUCAUGAAUAUAAAUUAUGUUGUAAAAGAGAAUGGAUAUGUGAGCUUUCAGUUGAUACAAACGGUGCAAACAAAGGUCAUAUAGUAACAAUUUUAAAAGUCUGAUGACUUAAAUGAAAAUUUUUGUAUAGUUCAGUGAUCAUUUUAUAAUUUUAAUAAGCAUACUUACAUUUGUCUUUAGAAUUUGCAAAACAAAUAGAAAAUUCACUUUAAAUGUAUAAAAAUGAAUAAAGAAAACUCACCUUCAUUUCUGAUAGCAAAUAAUAAAUAUGAAAAAAAAAACUCUACCACUUUAAUAUUAACUCUACCACUUUUCCCUUAGAUAUGCAAUUGCAAUGGGUGAUUUUGGGAAACUAAACCAAAGGCCUAUCUUAAGGCUUGCUAAACUUCAUCAGAUACUAUAAAUCAACUGUACAAGGAAAGAUUUCUUAUGUGGAAUUAAUUAAUCAUCUAUAAGAAUUAACUCAACAUCUGUAGAAAAGAAAAUUAAAAUAUCUAAAUUUUUUUUCCCAAGAAACAAAUAGAAAAAAAUAAAUGGAAUAUAAGGGUUUUAAAGUUGAGGAAGGGAAAGAGUGGUGAAAAAAAUUGUUUACUGUUAGUGUCAAACAACAAAAAGAAAAUUGGGUUGAAGGAAGAAGAAGAAAAAGAAAGAAGGAAAAGAUAAGGAACAUCAAAAAAAUGUCGUAAAUUUAAAUGGGUUAAACUUAGGGAUCGGUUUAGUUGAUGGAAAAAAAAAAGUUCGAGACAAAAAAACAUAAAUAUCAAUUUGAGAGAAGUGGAUAAGUUCAGAUACUAAUUUAAUAUUUAAUUGUUAUAAAUAUUAUAGAUUAAGUUACUGGACCAGCAGUGGGCCUGACUUGCGAUUGGUAUGGAGGUGACCCACUUUGUUUGUCGAAAACCUACAUUUUCAGCUAUAGCAAGUCUCAACGGCACAACCAAGUCCAAACGUAUUAAAAUUAAAAUUUAAUAAUUUAAUAAUAUUUUUUCUCCCAAUAAAAUAAUAAAAUAAUAAAUACAUGUAUUAUCAUUCAAAAUGGAAGUAGGUAAUUGGAAAAAAAUAAGAGUGGGAACAUAUUUAUGAGAAAUGGGCAACCGCGUUUUGGGUUGGGUCCUAGACUUUUUCUUAAUUUGUUUGAACACUCCUAACAGGUAACAGCUCUUGAGGGGCCAAGCCAAUAGGCAUCGUGUUUGACCCAAUUCAAUUUCUGGCUUACAAAACUCAACCAAUUUUACUGAUUUAUGUAAAUUUACAAUCACUCAACUAAAUGAAGUUUUUUGGUUUAAUCAAUUUUUUAUAUGAUGAUCCAAGGCAUCGAAUUAGAGCCUUUGGUAAAAGUAAAGAAAAUUUCAAAGUAAAAAAUAAUUUUCAAGAAAUGGGGCCUUAAGAUGUGGACUGCAAAGCUGCGUAGGGGAUGGGAUAAUAAGGCAAAUUAGAGAGCAAAAGUUGGAAGCCCCUCAUUUUGGGCAUAUGUUUCAGCACUUAUCCAUUUUCAGACAAGGAAAUUAUUUAAUAAAGAAAAAGAAAAAUGCCCACCUUUGAGUUAUGAAAGACUGGGGUAGAUGGAAGUAAUUAUGAAAGAUUGGCUGGAAGGACGCGGAUUGGCAAGGACCACUUCACCCAUAUCUUCAUACUUGCUUGGUUAAUCAAUGGUUAAUAAUUAUUCCACCAUUUUAUUUUCGAGAUAUCUCAAUUAACUUUGUUAAAAGAAUAUCUACUUUGCUUGGUCGUUACAUUUCUUUAAGCGCGUUCUAUCUUCGUCCUUAAUAGCUCUUAUUUAUUCACAGUUUAAACCCCAGAUUCUGGUUCGAUUUUAGUAUCAUCCUUAGUCCAUUUAAUUUAUUUUUUUAUUAUUAUUUAUUUUAAAAACUCUUUUAUUAUUAUUUGUUUUAAGUUUUUUUAUUUAUCAUUUAUUGUAAACUGUUUUACAUGCUAUUUAUUUAAUUCUUUUAAUAUGUUAUUCAUUUUAAACCAUUAUAUUUAUAUAAUCUUUUAAAUUCCUAUAUAUGUAUUUUUUUUUAAAAAAAUGUUGUAUGUCUUUUAUUUAUUUGUUUUAAACUAUUAUUAUUCACUUUAAGUUUUUAUAUAAUGUUUAUUUGAAGCCUUUUAUUAUUUAUUUUUGAAUUGUUCUUGUAAAUUAUUUAUUUUAAAUUAUUAUUUGCUUUAAACUGUUUUGCAUAAUAUUUUGUUUUGUUUUCUUCGAUUGUUAAUGUUAGUAUUAAAAAUGAUAUACAUUGUGCGAUUAUUGCCGUCAUGUGUACUAUAAUUAGCUUCUUGGUGUUUUCAUAUUAUUGUCUUUCAUCAAUGUAACAUUUUAUUCAUAAAUCGUUAUUUCAUGUUAUACAUUAUCAUUCCAUUUCAUUUCAUCACUUCGAAAGUUGCAUUCAAUUUUUAUAUACCCAUAAUAAACCGUUCUAUUUUAUCACAAAUAAAACAAAUGCACCUCGUUCUAGUAUUGUACUCGCUAUGAUUCAAAAAAAGGGAAAAGUUUUUUAAUAAGGCAAUAUUUCACGCUUUGGAGAUUCAAGAAAUUGUACCCUAACUUACGGGGUUUCAAUUUUCUCGUUAAAUCUAAAUAGCAAAAUAUCUUUUUAAAUUUCAAGAUAUACGAGAUUUCAAUAAAAAUUAAAGGCAAGCUUUCUCUAAGGUUCCAAAUAUCGUGUCCUAACUUACGGGACAUGACAUUUCGUUACCUCGAGACAAGUGGGUCUUUAACUCUCUUUGCGAUUUAUUCAAGCGUUUUUUUAUUAACAUUAAUAAAAAAGGGAUCAUAUUUUAAAAUAUUUUUAAAAUUUUAACUUUCGACAUUAAGACAUUAAUUAAUCAACUAGGUACCAAUUUUGGGCAUAUCGAGGGUGCUAAUCAUUUCUCGUGCGUAACCGACUCCCGAACCCAUUUUCUGGAUUUUGUAGACUAAAAAUUACCGUUUUAGUAAAUUUAAACUUUUAUUAAAAUUAUUAAAUUAUAAGGUGAUCCGAUCACACCUAAAUAAAAAGGAUUGGUGGCGACUCCAUUUUUAUUUUUAAAUAAAAAGGUUACCCUUUUUUCAAAAAAAUGGUUUCGACUACCCUUAUGUCCGUUUUCGGAUCACAAGAAUUCUAUAAAUUAAAAAAAUAAUCUUACAUGAAGAUGAUAGUCCAUGGUCUAUUUCCUAAGAACCACAACAUUGACAAAGCAAACAAUUAGAUAACAAAUACAUAAUAUUGCAUUCAUUCCCAUAUAUACCACAAAAAUAUGUAUAAGAUCUAAAGAAUGUUACUUUCUAUGUAAUCAAAUCAUUCAAGAAGUGAAUUUUAUUUUGAUUAUCUGUUUAUACUUAUUGAUAGAGCAAAACUUGGUUAUGAUACUAAUUGUUCAAAAAUGAGUUUUUGAAAAUGCAGCAAAAAUCAAUAUAGGGAAAAGCCUAAGUUUAAAAAAAUUAUAAAAUAAGAAUUUAGUUAUAAUAUCUAGAGUAAUAAACACUUAAUAAAAAUUGUACCUUUUUGAUUCGUCUAUGAUGAAUGUUUCAUUGAGUAGUCUUUUCUAUUAUCCUCAAGCUCACGUUUGCCGAGUCACAAUAACAUUAAACAAGUGCAACAACUAAACCAAUGUUGAUAGCACUUAAAGGCAAUGGCUGAAGCAAACAACAAUUGAAAAAAAAAUGAAAGAAUCGAUGUUGCAAAUUUUUAAGAUUAGCACAAUGGCCACAAGGUAAUUGACGGCUAUAAUAAAGGGCUGAUCGACAAGUGCACAGCAGGCUAAAACAACAAGAAAUUGAAGCUAAUCAGCACCCAAAUAGCAGGUAGCACAUUUAGAUGGCAAACAGUACGAGGUUAAGCAACAAAAUUGAAGCAAAUUAAAUAGCAAGUCAGUAACAAAAGGAACCAGUAGCAGCUAAUUGGAAGUUGAUCGAUAAGUAUUUGGUAAAACAAUGUUAUUCGGCCAACAUGCAAAAUAGUACACAUGCAUACACCACUCACAAUUGAUUUGAAUCCCACACCUCAAUUACAAUCCAUAGAACAUUAACAAUUGACCUGAGCACCACUACAACUCGGAUUCGUCUGGAUUCCUUUUUAACGCUACACCGGUUUGAAGAUCUGCGUUAAUAGUCGAUCAACAUCAAUGAAUGUUCACUAACCAAGCUAAGAGGGUUCGGUCAAGGAGUGAGAAAUAAUGAUGACAAGAUGAGACUUAGAUGGGGCAGCAAUGCAAAAAUUAUGAGGGCAACAAAAACUUCAAUGUGUGACAACAGGAGAAGGAGAAAUGGACAUCAAUGGAGAAUAAAAAAUGACAGAAAAUUCUAAACAAAAUAUUGAUAUUAAAAAGGCAAGGAUUCAGCCAAAUAAAUUGGAGAAGUGAUAGGCAAAAGGGCAGCACAAACAGAAAAUAAAACUUGUGUUUUAGGUUGCAAUAAUGGUGGAUUAUGAGAGAAAAUUGGAGAAUAAUGAGAGGAAAAAUGAAGGGGAUGACAAUAGCUUGAGAAAAAUAAAUAAAAUAGGCUAAACAUAAAAUAAAAUGCAAUUUAUACCUAGGUUAAAAAGGGCUUGGAAGGCAACAAUAUUUUAGGGAGCAUAAACAUUGAAAAAAUAAAAAUUAGCAAGGGAAGGGAAUCAAACUCAAGUCUUAAGGUCAAUUUCACUAACUCUUUACCAGUAUGCCAAUUACUCAUUCUUUUCAUAAAUGCUCAAACAAAACCUUAAAAAUUAGGGCAAGACAACUCUCAGUUCACUAACCCGAUUUCUUCCGACUCAAUUCCUUCUGACCCAAUUUUUGGGACAUGACAAAACUAUUAGUAAGUUUAUGUUUCGUUUUAGUCACUUAACUUCAAAAUGUUACAAAAUGGUCAAUAAACUAUUUAAUUCAUUUAAGUCAUUGGUUUGUUAAAUUUUUUUUUAAGUUUGACUAAUGAGCUCUAAGCGAUGAUUUGACGAUUGAUGUAGUGAAUCUAUACCCAUUGACGAGUGAAACAUAUCUUAGAUCCAAGUUAACCUGCCAUUUAGUGUAGGAGAUUGGAGAAAAAAGUUGUUUGAAUUUUGGUUCACAGAUUUGUGACGUUCAAAACUGUUUCAUGAAUAUAAAUUAUGUUGUAAAAGAGAAGAGAAAUGUGAGCUUUCAAUUGAUACAAACGGUGCAAACAAAGGUCAUAUAGUAACAAUUUUAAAAGCCUGAUGACUUAAAUGAAAAUUUUUGUAUAAUUCAAUAAUCAUUUUAUAAUUUUUUGAAAUUAACUAAAAUGUAAACUUAUUAAUAACUCAAUAACCUUAAUUGCCAUUUACCCGUAAACUAUUGAGACCAUUCUAAAAAGUGAUGCAUUAAUUAUAUCUUUUAUCUUUUAUAUAUUGUUUCGAUUAAUACCUAAAUUAUUUGUACGAAAAAAAAAUCAAAAUGAAAUGCAACAUGUUCUGAACUUUUAUUAAAGCUCAUCUUUUUGUUGAAGAUACCCCAAUCCAUGAUUUCAACAUUGGAAUUUUUGAAAGUCCCAAGUAAUAGUAUGAAUUAUGAAAUUUCAAAAAAGCAUAUUCUUAUUUAUUGUUAAUUUCAAGCUAAUUUUAAUAGCUAUACUUACAUUUGUCUUUAGAAAAUAGAAAAUUCACUUUAAAUGUAUAAAAAUGAAUAAAGAAAACUCAUCUUCAUUUCUGACAGAAAAUAAGAAAUAUGAAAAAAAAAACUAAAAAAGAAAGACAUAUUUUCUUGAAAGACGCUUCAAAUGAAACAAAUAUGAAAAACAUAGUUGUAGGAGUGUUCAAUUACUUUAUUGAUCGUUAACCAAAUCAAAUUAGUAUUAACUAAAUCGAAAUUAUCAUGAAAAAGUGAAAAAGUCAUAAUUUAGGGGUGGUUGAUGCAAUUAACUCAUUUCUAAUGGUGCUAAUAAUUAAGUCUGCUAUAGGGAAAGCGAAGUUAAAAUAUGACCCAAAGACUCACCUUUUUCUAAGUCGUCUCCUAUCAAAAUUGCAAAAUAAAUGGAUAGCAGUAAACCAAAUACUUUGCUACUAAACCAAGAAAACCUUAAGAGUUCAUAUUUGUGAAGGUUUCUUAACAUUUUAGUGCAACCUUGAUUUUUAUUUUUAUUUAUUUCCUUUCCCUUAUAAAGAAGAAAAGACCUUCAACUUUUUUUCUUUUUUCUUCUUCAGUUUUGCUUACUUUCUUUUGCUCCCAAAAACCAAAAACAUAUCCCUUCAAAUCCCAUUUGAUCGUCUUGAAGUAGCAAGGAUCUUCUCAGCACCUAGUCUAGUUUGAUUUUGAAGUUCCCAAGUGAGGUCAAUGUAUUUAUGUAUCCUUAAUUUCUUUAUUUUUGAUUUUUUUAUAUAUAAAUUUGUUAUAUAUUUCUUCAUCUAAUAUUAUAUUUUUAUGUUUUGCUUGAACUAAAUCAGAGCAAAAUAGACUGUUUGGAUUUGCUCUUUUUUUUCACACUCAAAUUCUUGGAAUCAUUGCUUCAUUUUGAAGGGGUAAGUGGGUAUGUUUAUUAUGUUUUCCAUCAUUAUAUGCAUAAUAUUAAAUGGAUGGGGCCAUUACCAACAUCAAUAAUUUAGAUCCCGAUUUUGUAUAAAAUUAUUAAAAAAAACUCACAAUUAUUUAUAAAUAGAAAAAUGUAUAUAAAAAUUCUAGAAAAAUAAAAUCUUGAAUAUGUUGUUUCAUAACUAAAUUGUAUGAAAAAUAAAGAAAAUCAUCAUACAAUAACAUCCGAUAACAAAUUAAAAUAAAAACAAAACGAUUAUUAUAUGUUUCCUGAAUAUUUCUCGAAACCAAAUUAGUAGUAUUAUCAAGUUGAGUUUCAUGCCCUUGAAGAACAUCUAGAACUGAUAUUACAAAAACUUAUGAAAUUGACCUUGAUGCCAUAUUUUUAGUCAAAAUAAUACAAAAUAUACCAUAAAUUUUCUUUUCCAAACUCAAUUCGAAAUUUCAUUACAUUAGAAAUUAUAUUCAGAAUUUUAUCUUUUCUUAUAAAGUAAAAGCUAUGUCAAGUAACUGAAGAUGUAAAAAACAAAUGAAUUUGCUUAAUAUUUUUUCUAUGUUUGUUUUUAAAGAAUGAGUAUUGAAGUAAUAGAUAAUAUAGAGAAAUUUUCUUCCUUUUUUUCUGUGUCAGGACUCGGGUCUUUAAAGUUCCUCAAUCAUUUUCUUCUUUCUUUUCAGAAUCAGAUUUGCUUUUUUUGCUUGAAUCUUGACUUUAUAGUCAAUUUGGUGGGUAAGGUUUCUUGAAGCUUUAAGGUUGUAUGGUCGUGGCUAGCGCCAAAUAAAAGGUAAGUGCACAAUAAGUUUUUAUAAUUUUCUUUUUCAAACUCAAUUCAAAAUUCCAUUACAUUUUAUUUUUUUUUCAAAACCCAAAUUGUAAAAUGAAAAUAUAUUCAGAAUUUUAUCUUUUCUUAUAAUGUAAAAGCUUUGUCAAGUAAUUGAUGAGGUAAAAAAGCAUAGAGCAAAUAAAUUUGCUUCAUAGUUUUUUCUAUCUGUUUGUUUUAAAAUAAUGAGUGUUGAAUAUUUCAAUAUAGAUAAUAUAGAGAAAUUUUGCAGGGUUUAAAAAUAAUUAUCCCUAAUUUUCUCACUUUAUUUAUUUUUAAAAUUUUUAUUUUACUUUUAUUUAUUUUUUAAUUUUAUAAUGUUCCAAAAUUUUAAAAAUAAUUUCAACUUUUUAUCAUUUUAUAUAUUAUCAAAAUGAAAAUUCACCGAAAGUAUAAAAAUUUAGGACUAAAAUUUUUAUUAAAUCAUUUAAAAAGUUCCACUUAACAGUUGAGUGACAAAAAAAAAAUAAUUUCAACAGCAUUAGUGGUGAAAUUGUAACUUUUUUAAUUGAGUGAUUAAAAAAAUAUUAGCAAUAGUUUAGUGACUAAUAAUGUAACUUUUUUUUUGGUACAAUGAUAAUUCGAAAUUUGGCUAUUCCUAAAAAGGGUGAACAUCCGAUCAUAUUUAUUCACAUAUUACAAACAUCCAUAUGUAAGCAAUUCUCCCAAAUUGAAAUCAAAUUUUAAUAUCAACAACUUCAACAACUCAUAAAUAGGAAGAUAAUAUGUUUCGGUACACUUGAAACAAUAUCCUUCUACAUUGACAACAAUUACUAUGACAAUGAAGCUAAGACUCAAUUCACAAUACCUAUAUAUUUUUGUUAUACCUAAUACAAGUCAUUUACCAGUAUAUUAGACAUUCUUAUACCCUACUUUCCUAUACUUUCCCAUUAUUAUCUUGAUGAUGAUGAUGAUGGUCUUACAAUUCAGCACUAAGAUCACUGUAAUACUUGUUUUAAUUAGUAUAAUAAUAAUUUUAGUCUUUUUUUAUAUUUUCUAUCAAUUUGACUCUGAUUUUGUAUAAAAUUAUUUAAAAAAAACUCAAAAUUUUAAAAAUAGAAAAAUGUUUAUAAAAUUUCUAGAAAAAUAAAAUCCUGAAUAUGUUGUUGAAUAACUAAAUUGUACGAGAAAUAAAGCAAAUCACCAUUCAAUAAAAUCUGAUAACAAAUUGAAAACAGAACAAAACCAAAAAAAGCUUCAUCAAUGUUUCUUGAAACCAAAUUAGUAAUAUUAUCAAGUUGAGUUUCAUCCCCUUGAAGAACAACUAGAACUCAUAUUACCAAGGCUUAUGAAAUUGACGCUAAUGCUAUUUUUUAGUCAAGAUAUAUAACAAAAUUUCCUUUUUCAAACUUAAUUCAAUUUUUCAUUACAUUUAAAUUAUUUUUCAAAACUCAAAUUAUAAAAAUAAAUUAUAUUUAGAAAAAAAAUUUAUAACAUAAAAGCUAUGUCAAGGAACAGAGAACAAAUAAUUUUACUUAAUGUUUUUUCUACGUUUUUUACUAAAGAAUGUGUAUUGGAUACUUCGAUACAAAUAACAUAGAGAAAUUUUGUAGGGCCCAAAAAUAAUUAUCUCUCAUUUUCUCACUUUAUUUAUUUUUGAAAUUUUUAUCUAAUUUUAUUUAAUUUUUUAUUUUAUAAUGUUCUAAAAUUUUAAAAAUAAUUUUAAUUUUUUUACAUUUUAUAUAUUUUCAAGAUCAGAUUGACUGAAAGUAUAAAAUUUGAGGAUUAAAAUUGUUAUUAUAUCGAUUAAAAAAGUAUCACUUAACAUUUGAGUGACAAAAAAAAAACAAUUUCAAAAGCAUUAGUGAUGAAAUUGUAACUUUUUUAAUUAAGUGACCAAAACAAAAAUACCCAUAGUUUAGUGACUAAUAGUGUAGUCUUUUUUUGGUAAAAUGAAAAUUUGACCCUGAUUUUGUAUAAAAAAAACUCAAAAUUAUUUAUAAAAUAGAAAAAUGUAUAUUAUUCAACAUAGUGAUUUUUUACCCAAAUCAUAUAAAAAAUAAUUAAUUAUGAAAAUGGUAUGGAAAAUAAAUUAAUUACAAAAAUAAGGCAUUUGGUACAAUGUUUUGCUGGUGUUGCCUGACAUAUUGGUAGCACUAAAUUAAAAUGUGAUGACCUAAAAAUAUUCAAGGACUUAAUGUAACGCCCAAAAUUUUAAUUUUGGGUAUUGUGAUUGUGUAACAUAAAUAUCUAUCAACUUUAGUGGUUAUGUGUUCUGAAAGUCUUUGAGAGGUCCUAAGUUUAAGUCAAGAUUUGGGCAAAUUUUAAUAUGUAAAUUUCAAAAAUAUUCAAAGACUUGAUAUGUAAAUCUCUCAUUUUGAUUGGCUGUUGAAAAUAAACUCUAAAGAUGUUGUGUGACAGUGUGGUGGCACAAAAUCUUAAAUAGGCUCUAAAGAUUGUUUAUUAUUAUUUUUUAUCCCCUUCAACACCAAAAUUACAAAGGUUUCCUACCUAUUAAUCAAGUUCAAAUUAUGUAUAGCAUAACCGUUAACAUUGUUGAUAGUAAUUUUCUUUGGCUCAUAUAUAUAUAUAUAAUAAAAUUUUUCUAAAAUUUUUAUAAUUAUAAUUUAUACAAUACCGUAAAUUAAAUUGAUAAUAAGAAUAAUUAUAAUGCUAUCUGUAAUGGCAGACAGCAAAGAAAAAGGCUAAAAGAAACAGUAAUAAAAAUAGGAUUCCUUACUAAUAAUUCUGCCUCUGUGGAUCCUACCAGAGACUUCAUAAUUUCCCUGUUUUUAUCUUCACUUUCUUCUUACUUCUUCUUCACUGCUUUUAAUUUGUUUCGAUGUCCAAGGUCUAUCACCAAUUUUCAAGCAUCCAGUCAACGUAAUUUUCUUUCAUUUGCUUAAUUCAUCACAUGCUUUUCUUUGCUUUUGAUUAUCUGCUACUGUUAUGGCAGCUAGCUUUGUAAGAUUGUCAAGGAACUCAACUUCACUGCUUCCUUCUCAGUUCUAAUCUCUCAACACUUUUCAGCCACUAAGUCAGGUAAUAUGAUCUGAAGCAAUGAUUUCCUCUACUAAUUAUCAACAGUUUUAGAUUUUAAGAGUGGAUGACCAGCAGACAUAAUCUACUAUAGAUAGAAAUUAAUACAAAAACAGCUACCCAGAAGCAAUAUAAUGUUGAAAUCUCAAACUGUCAACAUUUUAACUCUUAAUAUUCUGUAAUGAACUCUUGCACACUUGAAUCUAGCAUUUUAUAUACAUCGAGAGCUUGAUUCUGGUGACCAGAACUUCAUCAUGUUUCUGUCUGCCACCCAUCCAUAGCUCCAUCUAAUAGACGCCAUUGCUUGAAACUUGCAUUCAUGUUUUCCUUUUCAUGCUUACACUGACAUAUCAAUACUUCAUAAAAUAUCCAAUUCAUUCACAGAUUUUCAUUCUCUGCUACUGUUAUAUAUGAUUGCAUUGCAGGGACAUAGCAAUGGAGUACGUAGAGCCUGUUGUCAGCAUUGCAAAUUGUCUCGGAAUUCCUGUUUGUGAAUAUUUACAAUAUCACAGAAAGCUGAACGAUUAUGUGAGAAAAUUCAAGACGAUCAGAGAUGAAUUGAAUUGCAAAAUGUUAGAUAUAGAGCUGCAAUUGAAUGCAGAGCUUCUUCGUCCUCUGGGGAAGAUACCGAAGAAGGGAGUUGAAAAUUGGUUGAAAGCUGUGAAAGAGAUGAUUAGGGAAGCACAAGUUGUUGAAAACAAAGUCAGUAACGGGAGAUAUUUCUGUCGUGCUUGCAACGGGAAGCUUGUUGAUGAAAAGACUCGAGAAAUGAAGGAAUUUCUUGAUAACGCUCCUAAUGCCUCUGAAGGUCUUGCCAUGGAUGGCCCAAGUGCUAGGUUGCUACUGCCAACAUCAGAACUAGUUGGAGAAGAUAUUGGUGUAAGACGCAGUAGCAAGCUGCUUUGCACUUGCUUGGACAACAAGUGUCGAGCCUUGCUGAAGAAACUAUCGAAGAAGAAGAAGAAGAAAGUUUUGCAAUGGAAAAACAGAAAAGAAAGAGAUCAUUUUGAAUGAAAAUGAGCUGAAUUUUUUCAUUAACAUUACAAAAGGCAUAAAAGCCAUUACAUAUAGGAGUUAACAAUCUUAAAACAAACAAGUUACUACCUAAACUCAUACCUAACACCACUAGUUUACCUGGUAACUUGAUAAACUUGCUUGAGUAUCAUAACAAGCUACCUAAACUUGUUUUAUUUUAUAAAUUUUUAUUAGUUACUGAUUGAUUGAAAUAUUGUGUGAAAAUAUGGAUAAAAAAAUUUUAAUGCUUUAGUGCUUAAUUGAAUUUUUAGGACUAAAUUGAGAAAAAUGCAAAGUGUGUCUAAUUAGUGAUUAAAUGACUUAAUUGAAUUAUUGCAUGAAAUUGGAAGUUUUUAUGUGGCAAUUAGACCAUGAAUUAGUGUUAUGGACACAAAAGGGUAUUUCUAGAAAAAUAUCUAAGUAAUGGGUCAAGGGCAUUUUUGUCCAAAUUGAAUAAAAGACAAAAUAAAGAUGAAAACAAGUGUUCAUCUUCUUAAAAUCAGACGUUUGCUGCCAAAAAAAUUCAUGUCACCAUAGCUAGGGUUCUUGAACUUUCUAAGCUCAAUUGUAAGUGAUUUCUUGCCCCGUUUUUAAUUAUUUUCGUAUUUUUAUGCUUAUUGAAGCUUGAAUUUCAUGUUUCUACCAUUUAAUUUAAAUGAAAUUAAAGUUUAAAAAUUGAUCCAUUCAUGAUAUAAUUGUAAAUUGAUUAGUGAUGUUAGAUAAUGAAUGUUUGAAGUGUUAAUUACAAGUUUUACUAGAUGAAUUUUGAUGAAAAUGUUGAAAAAGGGCUAAAUUGUGAAAGAUGGUAAAGUAUGCAUAAAGUUGUGAUUUUGUGAAAUUGAGGGCUGUUAUGAGCAUGAAAUAUGAUUUAGUGAAGUUUGAAAUUUAAAAAUUUAGUGAAUUUUAUUUUUACGAGCUUAGGGACAAAAGUGGAAUUUUUGAAAAGUUUCGGGGAAAAAUGUAAAUUUGCCAAAAUGUUGUGUAUGAAUUGUAUUUGAAUGAAAUGUUGAUAAAAUGUAUUAAAUUGUGUUAAUAUAGAUCAAGAAAGAAGAAAUAGUGGAAAUGAUCGGGGAAAAGAGAAAGUUAUCGACUAAAUUACAAAAAUAGUCGUUUUGCAUCCGAGGUAAGUUACGUGUAAAUAAUAGUUAUAUUUUUAUAAAUUAUGAAUUAUAUUUGAUAUGUGAAUUAAUAUUCAACGUGGAACGAAAAUUAUUCAUGAAUUAUUCAAGUGUUAAAGUGUUAAAAAUAAAGUGUUAAGUGUAAAUUCCCGGUUGAACUUAGGAAUAGAAGUGGAUACAAGUGACAUGUCACUAGAGAUCAGUGUUACAGUGUUACAGUGAGUCCCGGGUGCUGGGUGAUCUAGCAUGUGUUGCAGACACCUGACAGCUUGUGUGAGCAGGCCCGUGGACAUUUCCAGUGUUAUUGAUCAGUGGUAGCUUCGGCUACGUUUCAGUGGUAGCUUCGGCUACAUAACAGUGGUAGCUUCGGCUACAUAUCAGUGUUGCACUUAUGUGCUAAAUCUCUACGUAUCUGUGUAUAUUCCGAGUGUUCAACGGGAUUAAUAAUGAGUUAAAGUGAAUAUGAAAUGAAGUGUGUAUGCAGGUACAUUUGAAAAGAAUGAGCAUAAGUGAUAAAGGUUAAGUGUGAAAAUGUAUAUGCAAGUGAAUUUGGUAAGAUUGUGCAUGUGUAAGUGAUUGAAAUUGCUAAGAAAUGUUUUGAUUAGUUAUAUGUUAAAAGUGUUAAUUAUUAAAUGAGUAAUUAUUGUUUACAUGUAACUUACUAAGCUAUUAGUAGCUUACACCUUCCUUCUUUUCCUUUGUUUUAUAGUGAUUUGAACUUGAUCGAAUUGGGGAUCGUCGGAGCUCGUAUCACACUAUCAUAAUCAUCUCGGUAUUGUGUGAUUUUCAAAAUAUUUAAAACUAUGGCAUGUAUAGAGUCUUAAUCAUUUUGAGUAUGUUCAUAUGAUAUGGCUAAGAUUAGCUAUUGAAAUGGUUAGUAAAGAUUAUGUUUUGGUAUUAUGUAUGUGUAAAUGGUAACUAAUUCAAAGAAGCAGUUUCUUUGACAGCAGUAGUGACGUGAAUGUAAAAAUUCACCAUAAAUAGUAGAAAUGGAAUUAGAGAGUGAAUUAUAUAUGGAAUUAAAGCUUAUCAAGUCUAUUUUUAUAUGAAAGAAACGGUGUAGGCAAAGGAAUUCUGUAUUUUGAGAUAUUUUAAUUUUAGUGAGACAGGGUCAGAAUGGUUUUUGAAGUCCCCUGUUUUGACUUUAGAAAAUCACUAUAAAUUGUACAGAAAUAAUUAUAGGUCAUAAUUUAUAUGUGUAGAUUCCUUAGUGAGUCUAUUUUCAAAAUAAAUAAACAGUAACCUUAUAUGAAUUCUGUCCAAUGAUAUAAUUGAUUUCUAGUGCCAAGAGGUCAGACCUGUCGAGCAGUGAAACAGGGGAUACUUUAAUGAAUAAACUGUACUAAUUGGCUAAGUCAAAAAUUCUUAAAAUUUUAUGGUAAGUAUUAAUAUGAGUCUAGUUUCAUGGAAAAUUUACAGAUUUAAAUUUCGAGUCUCGUAACUCGAGUUAUAAUUAAAUUAGUGACAGUUGCGCAGGUAGACAGUUUUGCUGUGAGUAGUGAAUUUAAUUUUAAAAGCAAAUUUUUAUGCUCCGAAUUGGUAAGUUAAAUUGGAUGACAUCUCGUACUCGAUUCCGGCAACGGUCUCGGGUAAGGGGUGUUACAAGUUUGGCGUUGUGUACAAGGGUAAACUACAAAAAUAGUCACUUUUUGUUUACAUCAGGUUACAUUUUAGUCAUUUAUGUUUAAAAUAUUACAUUUUAGUCACUUAUGUUAUUAUUUUGUUACGAAGUGAUCACUCUUCCGUUAAGUUCUGUUAUCUCACUAACGAUAAUCUUACGUGGCAGUCCAACUAGAUUUUAAGUGCCAACUUAAAUUUUCUAAUGGAAUGAGAAUAAAUUUUUUAAUUAAAUAAAUUUAAUUAAUUAAAAAUUUUAAACUCUAAAUCUUAGUUAAAAAAAAUUCAUCUCCCCCUUUUUUUAGUUUUCUUUUUCAGUAUACCCUUCCUCGGAACUAUUGUGACUGUGUUCCUCCUCAUGCCCGGUUGUUUCAGAUGUUAAAAAAAUCAGAACUUAAACUACUUUCCCUACCCUUGUCUUCAAGCAACUCGGCAAAUAUUCCCAUUUGAACCCCAUUCUCACUAAAGCUUUCAUUUUUCUCUUUAAUGAGUCCUCCUUUCUCAACCAAACCCUCCAUUUCAAUUUGCUGUUCUUCAAAAGGACCAGGUGAAGGACAAAACACAGAGUGAUUUACUAUCAUACCACUAUACUCUAACCUCUGUGAGCAACACACAUUGGACUCCAUAGCUUUGUAACACAAGCUUCUAAAAGAUUUUGAAACCCAAAAGCUCUUAGCUUUUAGCUUUGGCGCAGGCAUUCAAAGCUUCAACUGGUGAUAUUGUUGUUGUUGCUGCUGUUUGGUAGAGCUAUUUACUCUUGGUUGGUGAAAGCUCCUCCAUCCAUAAGGUCGCCAACAUGUCUACUUCAAUGGGUUAAAGUGGAAGCAAAAAAAAAAAAAAAAAUGCAGAGAAAUUUGGUGUGGGGUUUUCCUUCUUUUUCCUUUUAUCUUUUUUAUGUUACAGAAAAAAGGCAGAAGCUUUAUGUUCUUAAAUAUAUGGAGUCAAGCUAUUGAUGAUUACUGAGGCCUGCUCAAAGACAUGACUGCUUUCUUAGUCAACCGAAAAAUAAAACUUAAAAAAAAAAGAGAUGAACUGUUUUUUAAUUAAGAUUUAGGGUUUAAAAUUUUUAAUUAAUUAAAUUUAUUUAAUUAAAAAUCUAUUCUUAUCCUAUUAGGAAAUUUAAGUUGACACUUAAAAUCUAGUUGGACUGCCACGUAGGAUUACCGUUAAGGAGAUAACAGAACUUAACGGAAGAGUGAUCACUUCGUAACAAAAUAAUAACAUAAAUGACUAAAACGUAACAUUUCAAACAUAGGUGACUAAAAUGUAACCUGAGGCAAACAAAAGUGACUAUUUUUAUAGUUUACCUUUGUGUACAAUGGUACGGCUCUGGUAAAAGUGAGAAUUCUGAAAUUUUGAGAAAGAAAGUAAUUAAAACGAUUCGUUAGUAACAUCAUGCACAGAAAUAUUGGAAGUAGACAUAAUAUGUAUCAUUUAAUAUCUUAAGUGACACUAGUUAUUCAUGCAUAAAUGAAAAUGUUCCGACAUGGUCAAGUAUAUAUACGAAACAGAUAUCUUAAGAGUUGAAGCAAAGAAAAGGCGAUACCCCCUGAUCACUUUGUUUCCUCAGCUCCCGAAUGUUUUCAAAAGCUUUGUCCCUCUUCAGGGUCACAGCUUUCAGCUCAUUUUGUAAAGACUCGAUUUUAGUUUCAGUUUCAUCCAAUUUAUCUUUAAUUUGCUUUUUUUUGGACCAGACUGCAUGCUGCUCCUUCCUUACUCCAUUCAAAUCGACACCCAUAAGCUACAAUAAACAAAUAUAGCUCUUUUUUUUUUUUUAGUGUAACACAAUGGUGCUCUAUAUUCACAGAUAAGAAGAGGAGCAAACUCCAAUGGAUAAAGGCAGAAAAUAGAAUCAUCUUACUUUAACUUGAUCUUGAAUGUCUUCUUUCUGGCCUAAUGAAUCUUGAAUCUUUGUUCUCAUUGCAGCAUUAGCAAUAACUUUCUCACGGGUUCCCUCCAGGUGUUUGAUUUCUUUAAGGAUUCGCUUCUCCUCACUCAACGAGAUGCUUUCGUGCUGAAUGCGAUAUUGCAAGCUGUGAAUCUGCAAUUCAUAAAUUCCAUUGAAGUGACUAAAGGAGAAAAAGAAAAGCAUUAACUGCGGCAGAAAACAAUGAAUAAAUCUAAAUGCAGUCAAAGUUUAUAGAAGUAUCAUACAAUAAAAUCGAGCUCUUCCUCAGAUGCACAUAAACUAUGUCGAUUAUAAACAUCUUUAUUAUUGUGAAGCUUGCCUAAAGCCUGCUGCAGUGGUUCUAUUUCCUUUUUUUUCUCAUCUAAAAUCGUCUUAAAUUGCUCAAAAUCAACAUUCAGCGCUCUCACUUGCGAAAGCAUCUCUGAUCGUUCUGCCUGCAUUAGCAUAAAGAUAAUCACUAUUUAGCCAACUGACAGCGCCAUUAUUCUUUACUUCUUUCACAUUUUUUCUCAAAUUCUGAAGGCAAACAUAACAUUAAUGAAUCAUUAUACCAAUAGCAUAUCUGUAAGUGUCAUUACAUUUCAAGGACAUAAAUUUCGAACAUUCAAAUAAAUGCUUCCGGGUUUAAUUCCCCUACAUUCAUCAUAUUACAAUAAGCACACCAUAAUGACAUAAUGAUAGGGCUAAUAAUUAUCUUAAAAGUAUGACAAUUAAUGGCUAUCAUGCUAUACAUCUAAUUGAAAUUAAUAACUUUUCACUCACCCUUUUUGCUUUUAAUUCAUCGGUAAGCUUAAACCUGGCUUUAUUCCACUUUUGCAUCUCUUUAUCAGCCUGAUCAAGUUUGGCUUUUAUAGCCUGAUCUUCGUAGAAGCGAUACCUAAUAAAAUGAAAAGAGUGGAUCUGCUUAGGUGCAGGCCACUCGACGACCGCAUCCUUCGGAAAGUCGGGAUCGGAUGCACCAUUCUGUUCUUCCUUAUCAGGUUCCUCACUAUGUGAAUCAACUUCAAUGGGGUUAUUAUAAACUGGAUCCUUUUCCAGUUUCCCAUUUUCAUGAAGAAAUGAUUUGUCUACUUCAGUCACUUUAUCAAUAGACAAUUGUGCCAGGUCUAAAUCAACAACCUCAACACCCACUAAACAUAAAAUUGAGCUACCUGAAAACAUCCAAAAACAAAGAUUAUGAUACCAUAUAACAACAAAUAUAAAUAUAAAAUAUUAUUUCAUUCAUAAAAUAAAAAUUUUAAAACCAGACACCUGAUAGACAUGUAUAAAACAAUAUAUAUUAAAUAAAUAAAUUUUAAAGAACAGUAUAGCCAAUACAAUUUGAAAUGGUGCAAUCUAAAGCCAUUCCUUUAGCUAGUUUUCUCAUUAAUCAGAUCAAAAGAGUGAACAAACAGUAGAAUUGCAAAAUUAUAUGUAUAUAUUCUAAAUAAAUGAUAAACUAUAAUGGAGAAAAACAAUAAUCAGAUAAAAUCUAGAUCAAAAACUAAAUUAUAAGUACAUUAGCUCAUGCUAUAACAAAAGAUCAAGCCUUUAUCCGUCAAGAAAAUUAACAUGCAAAAUCAUAUGACACUAAUGGAAAAGACUCGGAAAUUUACAAACAUGAGAUAAAUGAAAAACAAAAAAACCCCAGAAAUAAAAACAUGAGAAAUAAUUAUGUAGUUUGCAAGGCUAGAAAGUUUACAUUUUUAAAAAGAAAAAGUCAAAAUAAGAUGUUAUUGUUGUCGAGAGAGGCAUAGAUACAGAGAUUCUGGAUAAAAAAAAACUUUCUAACUUUUUUAUUUUAUAUUCGCGUAAUGCCCCAAAUUUUAUAAAUUUUAGGUGUUAAACAUGUCAAGUAAUUUGAUUUGGUGUGGUGAUUAAGUGUAUUGAAUGUUUGCUUUGGGUCUUGAGUUCAAUUUUUUUGUUAAAUUUGUCUUAUUUAUUAUGGUAUUUGUUAAAUUUUUCCUAUUUAUUAUGGUAUUAUGUUCAACUUGAGCCUUAAGUCUUAUCCCUUAUUUUCAACGAUGAAUCUACUGAUUCAAUGGUAAGACUUUAGCUUAUCACCAAUUUAAAUUUUAUAAAAUCUGAUAAGUGAGAUUUAAAUUAACUUAAAUCUUUUUAUUUAUUUAUUUUUAUUUAAUUUUACUAAAUCUCUAUUUUCACUUAUUGUUUCAACCGUCCACACUCUCACCCCACUCUGUACGCUACUUUCUUUUGUUUCCCUAUUCUACGGUUUUAUCUUCUUUUCUCUUCCUUCUUUCUCCUCUUUUGAUUAUUCCUGAAUACUACCAUUUAUUUUGUGAGUUUUGUCACUUGGAUCGUAUUCUGUUUGCAGUGUAAGUUUCAUUUGGUUACUUUUGUUCUCUUCCCAUUAAUAGUUUAGUUUUAUUUCGUUUCUUGAACAAGUUAAGUUUAUGUUGGUAUUUUCUGUUCAUUAUCAUGAUUAGUAUUUUUGUGGUUCUCGAUUAGGCAAAAGGUGUGAGAAUCCUAACCCUCUAGCAAAGUAGUCACAAUUUUCGACGUUGUUUUGGAGAACUAAGUAUUCGUAUUCUAUUUUAGGGGUUGAAAUUUUGAUUCAACGAUGUUAUUUUGGAUAAGUAUUGUUAGUUCAUCCGUGUGGUUUGACGAACGUUUAUAGGAUUCGUGAGUUCCAAUUGAGCGGUUGAUCAAAUCAGCAAUAGGUGUAUGAAAUUAACCUAAAAACUCAAUCGAAACUCGAGAAAAUUAAGGGCCACACGACUAUGUGGGUAUUUUGGCCAAUUUUAAGCCCCAAUUAGGGGCCGAUUAAAGGACUGAAAUAUUGGGUCCAUAGCCAUCAUAUAAGCCCAAAAAAUGUAAGUUUUAGUACGUAUAUAUACAUGGCUAAGCUUAGAGGUAUGUUAAGUAGGUUGUAUAUAAAUCAUAUGCAAUGUUAUGUUCCUUAUAAAAAUAUGUGUAUGCUUGUCAUACGACUUAUGAUAUAAGUAUUUAUGAUAUUAUAAUUAUGAUUAUGCAUGUCAUAUAUGAUUGUUGUCAUGAUAUACAAGCAUUUAAUUAAUAUUUUAAAGUUUUAAAAAAAUAAUAAAUGUUUUUAAAUAAUUUUAAAAUUUUAAAAAUAAGUUAUAUAUAUUUUUAAAACCUUAAAAAUUAUUUAAAAACUAAUGUAUCAUCCAUAAUAAAUCAUACAUCAUUAACACAUACUGGGGCAUGGGAAAGCUUUUAAAAACUGAACUCAAAAAGUGGUCUACAUGGUUCAUCAAGGCAUGGCAAGUAAGUGAGUUGAAGCAAUUUGUGUCAUGAUUGCCUGUAUUUCUCUCAUAAUUUCUUUGCCACUCUGCACCCGUGAGACACUGCAAAAUGUCCUACAUUUCAAAUAAACUGAUGUCAGGUAAAACAUUAAAGCAGAAGAGGAUCAACUAUUACCCUCACUAUCUAUUUCAAUGCUAAAUUUCCACCUCUCCUCUCCAACACCUCAUUGGUAGCCUUACUCAUCUUAACCAACACAACCCUUUCUUUUUCCAAUACAUUUCCAGAAUGUACACUUUUAUUAGAAGAAAAUAUCCAAAAACAUUUUACCAGAAAGCUGGGCUGUGGGGUUGGAAAUGAAGGAUUUUACACCUUCAUCUUGGGGAAGCCCAUAUUUCUUCACUUUGGCAAAACUCUCUUCUGGGUCGAUUCUACAAAAUAUUUAUUAGCUCAUUUUGUGAAAGAGGUAAUUGUGAGAUGAUUGAUCAUUUUGUUUCUACAUUAUAAGAAAAAACUGUAAUAUAUAUCAUGAACUUGAGUUGUCAUAUUCUAAUAUUUCUUUGCUCAAUAUUUACUUGAUUGUAUACAUUAGAUUUGCACCCGAAGCAAUAGUUUUAGAACACUUACAGUAAUAGUUUUAGUCUUUCAACUUCAUCAACUAAUUUUUCAAAGUUAUGUGUAUUGAUUGCGGUCGUAAACCAACUAAAAAUCUGAUUAAGGUAAAUGUACUUAUCAAUUAAUAGUAUAGUUACGAUGAACAAAGAUAUCAUUCCCACAAGGGCUAAAAGUAUUAGUAAUUAUUGUCUUUCUAUUAUUUAACCGACAAAUUGGAAUGAUUGAUUAAAACUAAAAUUAACUAAAUAAAUUAACUAAAGAACACGGCAAAGAACAAAUCAGAAAAAUAAAUGAUUAACAACCAAAAAGCGAGACAAUACUCGGGAAAGAAUCCACCUAGACUUCAUCUGUCAUUAUCAAUCUAAAUCACACAAUUUCUUCACUUACUAUCUUGAUCCGUAGAAAUCCCUAAAUUAUUGUAAUAUCUCUCUUCAAGACUAAGAGUAACUGACUCUAGAUUGAUUAAUUGAAAUUUCUUUCUAAUUAAAACCUCUAUUAUCACAUUAACUUGAUUUAUGGAUUAUUCUAUUAGAUUUGACUCUAAUCCGGUAGAAUUAUGUAAUCCUAUUUUUAGGAUUGCAUGCAACUCCACUCAAUUACGCUAGAUCUACUCUUAAACAGGGUCUACUCCUCCUCUGAUUUAAGCACAUAAAACAUGAAUCAAUAGUCUAAAAAAAUUAAACUAUGAAUUAAGCACACAUAAAUGAGAACAAGAUCUAAGUAUUUAUUCCGUAAAAAUAGAAAUCAAAUAAUAGAAUUCAUCCUAAGGUUUAUCUCCCUAGGUAUUUGGAAAAUUAGUACAUAUAGUAAAUAAAAACAUCCCAAAAAUAGUAUAACCAUAAGAAAUAAAGAAACUCAUAAUAAACUUCAAAAAAAUCAAAAGGAGAACUUCAAUAUUGAUGGAAAUCUACUUCAAAGUCGGCUUUAAUAGUAUUUUCUGAGUUGCUUUCUUCAAUAUAUGACAACUCACUGAUCCCCUCCUCUUAUCUUUGUCAUAUAUAUUUUAGAAUGCUCAAAAAACUUAAAAAUUACGCUUUUUGCGUGUUUAGAGUGCAAUUUACGAUUUCCACAUGGUCUAGCACAUGGUCGUUUUGUAAUGACCCAAAAUUCACGGGCAUCGGAAAAGUAUAAUAUCAGGUCUCUGUCUUAGUAAAUUGAGUUUGAAAAUAAUUAUUAGAAAUAUUUACUAGACUAGUUGUGUGUUUAAUUAGGAUUUAGAUAGGUGAAUUUAGCUUAAUUAAGAGUAAUUAGCAAAAAAGAUUAAAUUACAAUAGAAGUGAAAGUUUAAUUAUAGAUUAAAAUAAAAUAAAGGGGAUUAAACAGGAAAUUAUGCCAAUUGCCAAAUUUGAGGCGGCAUUGUUAAAAUAUGUUAUUAAAUUAUUAUUAUUAUUAUUAUUAUAUUAUGAAAUAAAUAAGAUGGUGACAAAUGUAUGGCAAUAAAAUUAGUACAUGUGUAAAACAUGUAUUUAAACACUUGUAUUAUAAUGAUAUAUUUUCUUAAAUUUUAAGUAAAGGUAUUGUCGAAACCAUUUUUUUUUGAAAACAAAAAUUUAGUUGUAGACUUUAAAAACAAAAAUUAGAGUCCCCACCGAUCUUUUAUUAAGGUGCGAUCGGCUCACCGUAAAAUUUUAGUCUACGAAGUCUUAGAAAAACAGGUUCGGGAGUCAAUUACGCACGAGGAAGGGUUAGUGCCCUCGUAACGCCUAAAAUCGGUACCAAAUUAAUUAUUUUAUGUCUUGGUGUCGAAAAUUUGAAAAGAUUUUAAAAGAAAACUUUUUUACUCGAGAAUGAAUUAAAAUAAUACAAACAUUCCUAUUUUAAAGAAACAAAAUAUCACACCCAGUUAGUUAGGGCACAAUAUUUUUAAAUUUUCAAAAUUAAGUUUGUCUUUUGAUUUUAAAACUCACACGGUUAAAUCUAAGAAGGGUAUUCGAUUAUUUAGAUCAAAUAAAGAAAAAUCGAAACCUAGUAAGCUAGGGCACAAUUUCUCAAAAUUUCAAAUACAGAAUAGCACCUUUUGUUUUAAAAAAUCUUAUUUCGAGAAGUCAAAAUAUCAGGACCAGUAAGUUAGGACCCGUAAUUUUAGAUUCCCGGGAACAAGCCUUUAUUUGAAAUUUGUGUGAAUUUAUUGCAAAAUAAAUACUCGACUUUCUAAAUUCGUCGAAAAAUAAUCGCGAUCCAGUAAGUUAGGACACGAUCUUUCUCGAGAAUCAUGAAUGCCAAAUAUUUUGAAAAUUUAUAAAUUAUGAUGAUUUUUAAUGCUUUGAUAAAGCCAAAAUAUAUUUUUCUUUAAAAGUAUGAUAAAAUGUUAAUGCAUAACAUGAAAUCAUUACUUUAAUUUAAAAUAUACCUAUAUAUGUAUACAAAAAUUAUAAAAAGAACAUAAUCAUAAAAUAUAUAAAGUUGACAUAAAAAUAAAAAUGUAAGCAUAAUAUAUUAAUAAUUACGAAAAUAUGGGUAUAUAUGUAUAUAUAAAAAUAUAUGAAAAAUGUAUUUAUAAAAGUUUUGAAUAGUAUAUGAAUAUAUUAUAAAAAAAACAUGUAUAAACAUAUAUAGAUUAUAAAAUAUGGAAAGCAUAAAUAUAAAAUAAAAAUGUAUAUACGAAUAAAUAUAUGUAUAUAUAUAUAAAAUAAUAAUAAAGUAUAUAAAAUGUAUAUGAAUUUAAAAAUGUUUAAAAUAUAAAUAUUAAUAUUAUCAUACAUAUCCGCAUAUAAUGUAGGUAUAAUAAUAAUUAUAUAAUAUAAUAAUAAUAAAUACUAAUAAUAAUACAGUAAUAAUAACAAUUUAACAGUAUAUAAAAAAAUUAAAAAUAACAAAUUAAGGAUUAAAUAGAAUUUAAAGGCUAAAUUUGAAAAUUGAAAACGUGAAAAAGAGCAAAUUAAAACGCGCAUAACAGGAGGAGGAUCUAAGAAGAAAUUUACCCAAACCUCCUGAAACGCUGCGCAGCAUUGGAUUAAAUUGUAGCAAAAGUAAUGUUUCAGGGAAAAAUUUAAAAAUAGCAGAACAGUAAUUUUGAAAUGAUGAAAACAUGAAGGGACUAAAUAAUAAAUAACCCAUCAAUACUUAAAACACGCGGAUCUGAUCAGGUUUUGGGUCGGGUCACGCUGGCAUUCGGGUUAUACCAAUACGCUGCCGUUUUGGGCCCUAUAAAAUCCCAUUUUAAAAACCCUAAAAUCGUUUUCCUUCUGCCCUUUGAAGUUGUGUCGUAGCCUCCCCUCCUCUCAGCCAUUCAAGCCCCAUUUCCGACCAUCAACGGCGAUGUGAGGGCACUCCGACGACAGCCCAACGAUAAGUCCUCUUUCCCUUACCCCUUUUGUUUAUUUUGUCUUUUAUAAAAUACCAGAAUGAAGGGAAAAAAACAAAUAGUAAAAUAAAAAUAGCAAAAAUAAACCCAAAGAACAAACCUUCAAAAUUGUUUUUGUUAUUUCUUGUUCCUGUCUUUUUUAAUCUCUGAUUGUGUGUGUAGUCUCUUUUACAAAAUAUAUUUGGCCUUUAUAUCCAAAUCCUUACAGGAAAAACCAAAAUAAACUUUUACAAUUUUUUCCUUUUCUUUUCGGUCCCUCUCACUGUUAAUGGUUUAUUGCAGGCGAGGAGAACGUGGAAACGAGUGUUGUGCUGGGUUGCUGAACGUGCGAGCAACGACGUUGGUAGUGGGACGAUUGCUGCGGCGCUCUGCUUAGGGUUUCUGUUACCUUAGGCCAAUUGGGCCUUGUAAUUGGGUCAAGAUUGACCCAAGUUUUAAUGGGUUUGGUUGUAUUUAAUUUGGGCCCCGAGCAACAAUUGGGUAUUACAGGUAUUUAUAUAUAUUAUAUGUGAAAUUAUUAUAUUAUUAUAUUAUAUUAAUAAAAAUAUCUAUAUUAGUUAAAUGUUAAAAUAAUAAAAAGUAAAUAAUAAAAGGAAAUAAAAACAAAAGAAAAGAAAAAAGAGAGAAGGAAGAAACAGAGGCAUUCGAAACAGAGCAGGAAAAAGAAAGAAAGAAAAGAAAAAGGAAAAAUUCAAGGUUUAAGGUUUAAAGCUUUGAUUGGUAAGUCAAUUGAGCCUUUUUUAUUUAGUUUUGAUGAUUUAGAAGCUUUAAAACAAAGUUUUGAUGAAAUUAAGUUGAUAUUUUGUAAGUUCAUAGGUUUUUAAGCACGGUUCAUGUUGAAUAAAUUGUUAAAUUAGGGAUUUAAUUGAAUGAAUUUUAAGUUAGAAUUGAUAAAAGAAUUAAAUUGUAAAAGAAACUAUAAGUUUUAUGUUUUAGGGACUACAUUGAGGGAAAUUAGAAAUUAGGAAAAGAUGCUGAAAUUUUAAUAGUUACAUUUGAGUUUGGAUGAAAUUUGAAUAGAAAUAGAGUGUGAAUUGAAUUAGGAAAGUAAGUGAACUUAGUUAGGAUUAAAUUGAGAAUAAGGAAGAAAUUGAAUAGAAAUUCAAUUAUUUAUCAUAAUUAGUGCUGAAAUUAAUAGUAUAAAUUAUUAUUAUUAUUUUCGUAGCUAGCAAAGAACCAGAAGCACCGGCACAGAAGGGAAAAGAGAAGAUUUUCGAGAAGUAAACUCGAGAAAAUUGCAGUUUGUAUUACUAUAAUUCAAGUUAUUUAUUAUUAAAUGUUAAAUUUUAAUUUAUGUGUUUGGUAAAUGAAAUGUGAGGUAAGUAUUAGUAUUAUUAUUGUCAUUAUUAUUAUUAUUAUUAUUAUUAUUAUUAUUAUUAUUAUUAAGAUGAGUGAGAAUUAAAUUGAAUAGUUGAUAUGAAUUAAUAUUUGAAUUGUUUGUUGAUUGAAAGUGGGAAGUGAAUUUGAAUCGAAUUGUGAUUGAUAUUAAAUUGAAUGGAAAUGUAUUGAGUUGUGAAAAUGUGUGAAUUUGUGGAUUAAUUAUUGAUUGAAAGGUGGAAAAAUGAUUGAAUUGAAAAUGUGAGAAAUUGUGAUUGAAUUGGGGUUAUAUGUGAUUUAAAUGCCCUAUUAACUAGUUGGGCUGAGUCAGAUAUAGUUGGCAUACCAUAGGAUUGGAAGAGUUCACGGAUGCUUCGACCUCGAGUCGAUGAGACACUGGGUGUCACUAUAUUUCUUCGGAUAGAUUCGAUGAGGUACUGGGUAACAACUUUCUUCGGCUUUGCCGAUGAGACACUGGGUGUCAACUAUUGCUUCGAACUAUCCGAUGAGGCACUGGGUGCCAAUCUGGUGUGUUUGGUUGGAUCCGUGUAUCUGACAAAGUCCGAGUUUUGUUAAUAGGGGUAAAUAAUGAAAUGAUAAACCGAAUGAGUUUGGUUAAUCGAGCUACUGAAAUGAGAUGAAAAAGUUGAAUUGUGAAUUGAAAUGUGAUACGAGAUUGAAGAAUGAACCUAAGGUUCAUGAUGUGUUCAAAGCUCAAAUUGUGGAUACAUGAUAUUAAUUGAUAAUUUUUUAUUGUUGUAUUAUGAAAUUUGAGUUUAAACUUGUAUGUAUGAUUUGUGCAUGAUAUGUUUGAUGAUUAUGUUUUAUUUUUAUUAUUAUAAUUUGAAUUAUGGUAAUACCACUGAGUUCGGAUACUCAGCGUAUGGUUGUUUCCGUGUGCAGGUCGAUAGAAGUCGAAGGUUUUCUGAUUUUCGCUCCUUUUGCUUCCAAAUGCUCUUCAAAGUAUAGAAACAUGAAUUUAAAGUAUUAGGAGCAAAAAAUUCACCGUUAACACAUUUUCUCUGUAUAUUUAGCAUAUAUUCGAACUUUGAAUUUCUGCUUUGCAGUUUAUAUAGGUUCAAAAAUAUGAACCCAUGUUUUCAAAGGUCUAAUUUUUCCAUGAACUGCCAGAAAUGAAAAGAAAAAAAAUAUUUAAAAAAAUGAAAGAAAAUAAAAAUGAAAAUAUAGUUUAAUGAGACUUACAUAAAUGUCGGGAUUGAGAAAAUGAUUGUCUAAAAAGAAGCAGAAAUUUGGCUGUCCAAGCCAUCUUAUUCAGUUCACCGAUGCAAGUUUCUCCGCUUAGCCGUCGCUGCUCUGAAAAUGACGAAGGCCUAACUAGUUUAACAACAGUACCAGUACGAUGUCAUAAGAAUGUAUCCUACGUGGCAUUCGUGUCAUCUAGCUAAGUCAAACUACGAAGCUACGGUUGGACUUCGAUUUCGGUUGGGUUUGGUUUCUUAGCUGGAGUUCUAUUUAAACUUGGGUUUUGUUUUCGGUUAAAUUACCCUAUUAGUUACUAAAUUAUAUGUUGCUUUUGUUUUGUUCACUUAACUAAAAAAAAAGUUAAAAUUUUGUUAUUGAAGUAUUCGAAUACUUUCAUUUAAGUCACUAAAACAAGAUCUUUUUAAAUAAGAAAUAAAUAUUUUUUAUACAGAAAUUUUAUAUAUAAAAAAUAAAAUACUUCAAUUUAAAAGGACAUUUUGUUUAAUCACUUUAAUAGCUUUUGGAGUGAUGAAAAGUCUAAUUUCACUUUGCACCAAAAAUGAUUUUUUUGUUAAUUUUCUUACCGAGCUGGGACUCAAUUGAUGGUUGACGACAACUAAAUAAAAGGCUUUAACACAGUAUAGAUAAAAAAAGUUUUAAACUAAAAUUUUUAAAAGAAUUUAGGGCAAACUACACCAGUCAUUCAACUAUAGGUAAGUUUACGUUUUAAUCACUUAACUAAAAAAAUUACAAUUUGAUUACUAAUGCUUUCGAAAUUAUUUUUCUUUUUUGUCACCCAAUUGUUAAGUCAUACUUGUUUUAGUUGGUAUAAUAAUAAUUUUAGUCCUCGGUUUUUAUAUUUUCUGUCUAUUUGACUCUGAUUUUGUAUAAAAAUAUAAAAAAAAUCACAAUUAUUUAUAAAAUAGAAAAAUGUGUAUAAAAAUUCUAGAAAAAUAAAAUCUUGAAUAUAUUGUUUCAUAACUAAAUUGUAUGAGAAAUAAAGAAAAUCAUCAUUCAAUAACAUCCGAUAACAAAUGAAAAUCAAAACAAAACAAAAAAAAAGUUAGAUUAUUAUAUGUUUCUUAUAUUUCUCGAAACCAAAUUAGUAGUAUUAUCAAACACAUUAAGAAUGAGAUUAAAAUAUGUUACUUUUAUAGCUUAUCAUACCCCUAAACCACAACUAAAAAGUUUAAUCUGAUAUGGUGGCAUCCACCAUUAGUAAUUGACUCUCAAUUUUGGUUCUUUUUGUCUUGUUUUCUCUUUGCACUCGUUGUUUUAGAUCAUCAGAGUCUUCAUGGUGGACCCUAGAGCUUAAAGGAGGCUAAAGAUGGUGGAAUCCAAGGUAGUGUGAAACAACAUGGUCUUGACUAGAGGUGUCUAUGGGCCGGGCCCAAAAAAAAAUUUCAACUCGCUUCCUAGGCCCGGGCCCGGCCCAGCCCGAAAUAUGGGCCUGAGAUUUUGUCCAAGCCCGGCCCGGGGAAAAAUAUGGAACCUGAGCCCGGCCCGGCCCGGCCCGUCCCAUGGACACCUCUAGUCUUGACCUACAACACUAAAAUUGCUUUAGCUUAAAUGAAAAUGAAAAUAUUUUGUAUGCAUGAUAUCUCUAGUUUAAAUCUUAUUAUCAACAAAUUUUUAUUGAUUUAUGAAAAGAUGAAAAUACCUUUGUAAUUAUAUAUCUUACUUUACAAAUAAAAUGUUUUUUUUAGUAAUUUUCUUACUGCGUUCGGACUAAUUGAUGGUUGACACUAUGGCAGUAAAAGGCCUAAUACAUAAUAUAGAUUAAAAAAAAAGUUUUAAACUAAAAUUUUUCAAACAAUUUAAUGUAAAUUAAACCAUUAGUCAUUCAACCAUGAGUAAGUUUUCGUCUUGAUCAUUUAACUAAAAGAAGUUACAAUUUAGUCACUAAUAUUUUUGAAAUUGUUUUUUUAUCACCUAACUGUUAAGUGGCACUUGUUUUAAUUGGUAUAAUAAUAAUUUUAGUCCUUUUUUAUAUUUUCUAUCAAUUUGACUCUAAUUUUGUAUAAAAUUAUAAAAAAAACUCAAAAUUUUAAAAAUAGAAAAAUGUUUAUAAAAAUUCUAAAAAAAAUCUUGAAUAUGUUGUUUCAUAACUAAAUUGUAUGAGAAAUAAAGCAAAUUACUAUUCAAUAAAAUCUGAUAACAAAUUAAAAACAGAACAAAACCAAAAAAAAUCUUCCUCAACGUUUCUCGAAACAAAAAAAAAAUAAUAUUAUUAAGUUGAGUUUCAUGCCAUUGAAGAACAUCUAGAACUCAUAUUACUAAGGCUUAUGAAAUCGACCCUAAUGCCAUUUUUUUAGUCAAAAGAAUACAAUAUAUAUAACAAAAUUUCCUUUUUCAAACUUAAUUCAAUUUUUCAUUACAUUUAAAUUAUGUUUCAAAACUCAAAUUAUAAAAAUAAAUUAUAUUUAGAAAAAAAAUUAUAACAUAAAAGCUAUGUCAAGAAACAGAGAACAAAUAAUUUUACUUAAUGUUUUUCUAUUUUUUACUAAAGAAUGUGUAUUGGAUAUUUCGAUAUAGAUAAUAUAGAGAAAAUUUGUACGGCUUAAAAACAAUUAUCUCUCAUUUUCACUCACUUUAUUUAUUUUUGAAAUUUGUAUCUACUUUUAUUUAAUUUUUAUUUUAUAAUGUUCUAAAAUUUUAAAAAUAAUUUUAAUUUUUUACCAUUUUAUAUAUUAUCAAGAUCAAAUUGACUGAAAGUAUAAAAUUUGAGGAUUAAAAUUGUUAUUAUAUCAAUUAAAAAAGUGUCACUUAACAUUUGAGUGACAAAAAAAAACAAUUUUAAAAACAUUAGUGAUGAAAUUGUAACUUUUUUAAUUAAGUGACCAAAACAAAAAUAGCCAUAGUUUAGUGACUAAUAGUGUAACCUUUUUUUGGUAAAAUGAAAAUUUGACCCUGAUUUUGUAUAAAAAAAAUUAAAAUUAUUUAUAAAAUAAAAAAAUGUAUAUUAUUCAACAUAGGGAUUUUUUACCGAAAUCAUAUAAAAAUAAUUAAUUAUAAAAAUGGUAUAGAAAAUAAAUUAAUUACAAAAAUAAGGCAUUUGGUACAAUGUUCUGUUGGUGUCGCCAGACAUAUUGGUAGCACCAGAUUAAAAUGUGAUGACAAAAAAUAUUCAAGGACUUAAUAUGGAAAUUUCUCAUUUUGAUUGGUUGUUGAAAAUAAGAUAUAAGAGUGUUGUGUGACAUUGUAAGCGGCACAAAAUCUUAAAUAGGGUUAAUUUCUUUGUAAACCGUUAUUAUUUAUUAUUUUGUUUUUAUUCUCCUUCAACACCAAAAUCAGAAAGGCUUCUUACGAAUUAAUUCAAGUCAAAUAAUGUCUAGCAUAACAGUUAAUACUAUUGACAGAAAUUUUUUUUGGCUCAUAUUAUAUCUAAGAAACUAUAGAUUUAACUAAUAAUUAUAAUUUAUAUAUAGUAAAUAUUUUUUAAAGUUUUUCUAAUUAUAAUUUUAUAUGUGCCCGUAAAUUAAAUUGAUAAUAAGAAUAUCUGUAAUGGCAGACAGCAAAGAAAAACCUAAAAGCAAAAGUAAUAAAAAUAGGAUUUCUUGCUAAUAAUUCUACCUUUGUGGAUCCUACCAGAGACUUCAUAAUUUGCCUGUUUUUAUCUUCACUUUCUUCUUAUUUCUUCUUCACUGCUUUUAAUUUGUUUCGAUGUCACAAAUUUUGAAGCAUCCAGUCAAGGUAAUUUUCUUUCAUUUGCUUUUGAUUAAUUCAUGACAUGCUUUUCUUUGCUUUUGAUUAUCUGCUACUGUUAUAGCAGCUAGCUUUGUACGAUAGUCAAGGAAGUCAACUUCAGUACUUCACUGCUUCAUUUUCAGUUCUAAUCUCUCAACACUUUUCAGCCACUAAGUCAGGUAAUAAGACCUGAAGCAAUGAUUUCCUCUACUGAUUACCAACAGUUUUAGAUUUUAAGAGUGGAUGACCAGCAGACAUAAUCCACUAUAGAUAGAAAUUAAUACAAAAACAGCUACCCAGAAGCAAUAUAAUGUUGAAAUCUCAAACUGUCAACAUUUUAACUCUUAAUAUUCUGUAUUGAACUCUUGCACACUUGAAUCUAGCAUUUUAUAUACAUCUAGAGCUUGAUUCUGGUGACCAGAAUUUCAUCAUGUUUCUGUCUGCCACCCAUCCAUAGCUCCAUCUAAUAGACGCCAUUGCUUGAAACUUGCAUUCAUGUUUUCCUUUUCGUGCUUACACUGACAUAUCAAUACUUCAUAAAAUAUCCAAUUCAUUCACAGAUUUUCAUUCUCUGCUACUGUUAUAUAUGAUUGCAUUGCAGGGACAUAGCAAUGGAGUACGUAGAGCCUGUUGUCGGCAUUGCAAAUUGUCUUGGAACUCCUGUUUGUAAAUAUUUGCAAUAUCACAGAAAGCUGAACGAUUAUGUGAGAAACUUCAAGAGGAUCAGAUAUGAAUUGAAUUGCAAAAUGGAAGAUAUAGAGCUGCAAUAGAAAGCAGAGCUUCUUCGUCCUCUGGGAAGAUAUCGAAGAAGGGAGUUGAAAUUUGGUUGAAAGCUGUGAAAGAGAUGAUUAGGGAAGCACAAGCUGUUGAAAACAAAGUCAGUAACGGGAGAUAUCUCUGUCGUGCUUGCAACGGGAAGCUGGUUGAUGAAAAGACUCGAGAAAUGAAGGAAUUUCUUGAUAACGCUCCUAAAGCCUCUGAACGUCUUGCCAUGGAUGGUCCAAGUGCUGGGUUGCCACUGGAAACAUCAGAACUAGUUGGAGAGGAAGCUGUCAGAAAAGAGAUUUGGGCAUGUUUGAUGCAGGAGGAGGUAAGCAAGAUUGGGGCUUGGGGGAUGGGCGGCGUGGGUAAAUCGACCAUAAUGAAGCACAUCCACAAUGAUCUUUUGAAAGAACAACGAUUUGAAAGGGUGGUUUGGGUUGCUAUAUCAAAGGAGUUCAAUAUUGUGAAGUUACAAAAUGAUAUUGCAAGUGCAUUGAAUGGAAAGAUGCCCGAAGAAGCAAACAAGGUCAGACGAGCAGCAAUCUUGUCCGAAAAGCUGAAGAGAGCAGGAAAACAUGUUCUAAUCCUAGAUGAUGUGUGGAGUGAAGUCUCGUUGGAAGAAAUUGGGAUCCCUAAGCCAAGUAGCAGCAAUGGGUACAAGUUGGUGUUGACAACCCGUGUGGAGCAAGUUUGUAAGUCUAUGGGCUGUAAGGUGAUAAAAGUGAAGCCCCUUUCAAAAGAAGAGGCAUUGAUACUAUUCUUGAGUGAAGUUGGACCUAACAUAGUGCAAAAUCAAACUUUAAUGCCAACUUUGAAGCUUGUUGUCAAGGAAUGUGCAGGUCUGCCUCUUACAAAUUGUUGUCAUAGCUGGUACAUUGAGAGGAGAAGAUGACCCUCUUAUUUGGAAAAACACACUCAGGGAAUUGAAAGAGAGAAUAGGGAAAGUGAAAGAAGGGGAAGAUAAAGUGAUCGAGAGUUUGAAAGUUAGCUUCAAUCACUUAAAAGACGAGAAAAUGAAGCAUUGUUUCAUACAUUGCGCAUUAUAUCCUGAAGAUUUUCAAAUUGGGAAGGAUGGGCUAAUUGAGUGCUGGAUUGAAGAGGGAUUCAUAGAUGAUAUGAGUACAAGACAAGAAAUGAAAGAUAAGGGCCAUGUUAUUUUGAAGAAAUUAGAAGAUAAUUGCUUGCUGGAAAAUGUCUCGAGUGAAACAGUAAAAAUGCAUGAUGCAGUGAGAGACAUGGCAUUGUCGAUCACAAGAAUGAAUCCUCGAUAUAUGAUACAAGCAGGUUCGCAAUUAGAAGAGUUACCAGAAAAGGAGCAAUGGAGUCCGGAUAUUGAGAAAGUGUCACUUAUGUAUAACUCCAUAUCAGAAAUUUCCAUAGAUGUGUUGCCCACAAAAUGUCAACUGCUCACAACCUUGUUAUUGCAGCAUAACCCUAUAAAGAAGAUCCCAUAUUCUUUCUUCACAAACAUGCCCUGUCUUAGUGUUCUCAAUUUGUCCUCUACGAAGAUCAAAAGUUUACCAAAUUCCAUCUCUGAACUAAAGAACCUCACAACAUUGUUGCUUUGUUGCUGUGUAGAAUUAAGAGAUCUGCCAUGUCUUUCGAUGCUUCAAGAAUUGAAUAAGUUGGAUCUUUAUGGGACUAACAUUGAGGAAGUCCCUGAAGGAAUGGAUAUGCUGAUAAAGCUAAGCUAUCUUGAUCUUACAGUGUUCACUCUGAAAGAGAUACCCGCUGGACUUUUACCAAAACUCGUUCACCUUCAGCACUUGAGUUUUGCUGGGAACAAUGAAAAAACAAGUCUAAAAGCAGAGGAGAUGGAACCAUUGAAGAAGUUGGAGCGCUUUACUGGGUGUUUCGAAGACACAAGUGAAUUCAAUAAGUUCAUCUCUUCAAUGCAACAAAGUAAGAAAAGUCUCAUCAAGUACCAUUUACGGGUGGGCUCAUAUUUUAUUCCUAUGUGGAGGACUCCUAAAAGAGAUAAAACAAUAGUAAUUGGAGGAGUGGACAAUUGGGAAGGUGAGUUAAUUAUGCACCCAAUUGAAAUUCAAGAGUUGCAUAUUAUUGAGUGCGACUAUGUGAGAAGCCUAGUCGAUGACAAUUCUUCCUUCAAAAAUGCGAUUGACUUGAGGGUUUGUAGGAUUUGGGGGUGUGAAGGGAUAGAGUGUGUUGUUUCCCUGUCCUUUUUUGCCUCUUCUUCCGCUCAUCCAUUUCAGAGCCUCGAGAUGUUGGAUCUUGAACAUCUGCCAAAGUUUAGUGCCCUUAUUAUGAAUGAUACAGGAAUUGGUUCAGCAACAUCAACAGUGGCUCCGUCUGCCAGCUUUUCCCAUCUUAAGGAAAUUAAGAUAAUGAACUGCUCAAGUAUGAAGACGUUGCUUCCACAUUGGUUGCUUCCAAACCUCCAAAACCUGGAAGAAAUUUGGGUGUCACACUGUGAUGAGUUAGAAGAAAUAUUGGGAGCAGCAACAUCAGAAGUUGAAGAAAAAGGGAGUGAUGCAUUAAUCAAAUUCCAUCAUCCCAAAUUGAGAAAGUUGGACUUGUGGGUAUUACCAAAUUUGAAGAGCAUUUGCAGCAAAAGUGGAGUGAUGGUUUGCGAUUCUCUCCAACUUAUCCAAGUUCUAGACUAUUAUAAACUGAAGAGAAUUUCUCUAUUUGUUCCCCUUGUUGGCAAUGGGCAGCCAUUUGCAUAUGCUCCACCUUCUCUUAUCAUCAGGUCAAUCACAGAAUGGUGGGAAUCGUUGGAGUGGGAUGACCAUCCAAACUUUAAAAAUGUUCUUCAACCCCUUUGGAAGGAUAAGAGGUGUGAACUAUUUAUGGUUUAGUUUAUUUUUUUAGUUUGAUAAAUCUAAUUUCUCCAACUCGAAUUUACUUUAAAUUAUAGAACUUGUAGUAAAAUUAUAUUUUAGUUUAUAAAAUAGGGUAUGUAAUCAAUAAAUUAUUUUUAUGCUAUCAGUCAUUACUAUUAUAUCAUAUUUACAUACAGUUAUCUAUUUUAUAUAUUUGAAUUUGAUGACCCAAAUAUUAAAAUUAUAUAUUUAGACAUCAAUACUAAUGAUUAGCCACCCAAUAGUUACUAAGAUGACAUGGCAUUGCUAAUCACUUGUCAAUAACUUGUGAAAUUGCCAUGUCAUCUUAUACGUUACAUAGCAUUUUAUUAUUUUUAAAUUAAAAAAAAGAUAAACUAUAAUUUUAACCAUUAAUUUUUCAAGAAGUUAUAUUUUAGUUAUCAAACUUUGAAAUUCAAAUUUUAGCUUAGCAGUUUUUUAGGUUUCUCAACUUUUCAUAUUCAAGUACCUUUGAGGCCCUCGGUGAACCAUUCAAUGGUUCUUCUUGGAGGUAAAACAUAUCUCCAAAAAUUGAUAGUUGGGUCUUUCCGUUAACCGUUCUACGACUUUCCACGAAUGUGAGACAUAUCUCUAAAAAUUAAUAGUCGAGGCCCUUCAUGAACCAUCCAGCGGCUCUCCAUAAAGGUGAUGCAUAACACCAAAAAUCGACAAUCAAGCCUCCCAUAAACUGUUUAGUCACUCUCCAUGAAGAUGAGGCAUAUCUCCAAAAAACGACAGUGAGAUGUAUAUAUCUCUAAAAAUAUAACUCUAGACCGUUCAAUCAACAAUUAUACAACUCGUGAUAAUAUGCAUUAUAAAUUCCUCGAUUUUUGGGCUAAUAGAUACACUACUCACCAAAUCACAAAGUGAAAUUUAUACAAGUCAGCUACGAAUAAAAACACUAUCGCUAACACAUUGUUAAAAUAGAUAAAAGGCAUGAAUUUCAAUAAUCUCAUAAGUCAUUGUACAUUCUCAAGUCAAUGACUACCAUCCAUCAAACUACAAAGUGAAUUUCAUAUAAGCCAGACGAAAGCACUAUCCAUCAAUAUACCAAUAAAAAAAAUUAAGUCAAGACUUGGAUUCAGUUCAGUAGUGCAAUCCACGGUGUGAUUCAUAAAGGUAUUUAUCCACAGUAAAGGCACCCUUCCAGCAAUGGUUCAUUUUCAUUUCACUAAAGAUCAUUUAUCGAAUGGUAGCUCGCUUUAUUACAAUUCUAAAUAUUUGUAAAUUACCACAAUUUUUAUAAGAAAAAAAAAAGCAAAUAGUUCUCGUCCAGGACGCAUGUAAGAUCAUUUAUCGAACGGUAGCUCGCUUUAUUAUAUUAGCAUAGUCUUAAAUAGUUUCUAUUGCCUCCGAAAUUAGUUUGAUUUCAAACGAUUGCUUUACCUUCAACGUUAGCAUAAUUUAAAUGCUAAUGAACAAUUACAAUACGCCAACACAAUUCUAAAUAUUUGUAAAUUAUCACAAUUUUUAUAUGAAAAAUACAAGCAAAUUGACCUCGUCCACAACACAUGUAAGAUCUGAUUUUACCUCAGAUUUUUGAAAAACAGAGAAUGAUUUAAACUAAAUGAAAAAAAAAACCUGGAGAUAAUGAUUUUUUGUAUUUAAGAUGAGAGGAAGUAAUUAGCCGAUAACUUAAAAACACUAAUAGUUAAUUAAGAAUUUAGGUAUAGGUAUAGGUAGUUGACUGUUAGGAUUUGUUAAAUUAAUGUUCUCUUACAUCUGUUUCUUUUUGGAUUAAAUCCUGAACUGCAUAAAGCAAAAACGUGAGACAAAUUAAUGUUAGCUUGUGCUCCUUCAACUUUUUCGACUUCCAUCUUACUCUGAUUUCAACAUUUCAUUACCACUCUCCAUUAUUUAUAUCUCCUUCUCCUGCAAUGGAAGCUGCAGGUUUCAGAGCUGCCAUAAAUAAGGAUUUCAUAGCUCAAGAACUAGACAAUGACAGGGAAGAUGACCAAGAAGAAGAAGGGGUUGCUAUGAGAAGGUAGGGUUCAGUGAUGGCUUGUCACAGCUUAUGCUACCAAUCUUAAGAACCAAAACAUCAACUUACUAUACUAUGAUGAAGGAUUUUAUAAAAACGUCAGGUAUCAGAAUUAAAAUUCAAUUAUCCAAGGGAACCUAAGGGAUAACAUCUGAAGGAAAUUCAGAUUGUUCAAGAACAAAUUUGAAAUUUAAUGGCAGAUUAGGUAUCCAAUCAGCUGAACCGCUAAAGCGAUUGAAAGCUUGGUAGAAUAUUAUGUUCCAAUGCUACAAAUUCAACUUUAGUUUCCUUCAUUAUAGUUUUCCUAUGUAUAGAAAGCUUAGGAUACCACACAAAAUAUGCAUAACAUUCUAUCCAACAUAAGAAAGGUACAAAAAAGAGUUCGUUAUCAUACGGAAACAGGUGAAGUUGCCACACUUACAGAUCACUAAAAUUUUACAACAAUGAUGGAAAUGUCAUCCUUGCUCUUUCUCUUUACAGCUUCCUCAGUUAGGUGCUUUGCAGCAGAUCGAGCAUCCUUAAUGCCUUUGAUAGCAUCGACAGCUUCUUGGUUUGACAUUACCUGGAAUUUAAGGAACGGACCAUUAAAUCUCAGGUUAAUGUGAUUGGAUAGGGCUUACCUUCCAUAAACCAUCACUAGCCAAUAUUAUGAGGUCAGUAUCAUCGUCGAUUGUUUCAAUGCUCACAUCUGGCUCCGAAGUAAGAUGUUUCCUUAAACUCUUGUCACCAAAUGCUCUCGCCACCACAAGCUGGCCGUCAACACGUGCGACAUCCCCUGAAACAAAAACAAUAUAUAUCAGGAAAAGCUGGUGUAACCUUGAGCGUCAUCCCCAAAAGAUCAGGCACCCAUUACCUGGAAAGUUCGAAACAAAACCACCUCUAUUUUCAAUGCUCUCCUUUCAGAAGCGGGCUCAUGAUCAACUGAAAGCUGCUUAGGCACACCGUUCUUAGAAAUCACAGCCCGGGAAUCGCCAACAUUUGCUAUUACCAGCUUCUGGCAGUUGAUCAAUAUUGCUGUCACUGCCCCAAAUCAAUGGCUUGUUCCAAUAUAUUUGUAUCCGUUAAACGAUACGCUUUCCUAAUCGCAUUCUCUGGUUCCGACCAAAAGUCGGGCUGCUCGCAUAAAAAGAAACAGAGGCGCUUAGUUAAAACUACAAGCAAAACACAGUCAAUGCAUAGGAAAAAGAUACCGUAAGAUCCAGCUUAUUAUAGUUUACCUCAUUCAAGAUAUAGUUAAACAAGUUCGCCUUCAAAUAACCGGGAAUUACAUGGCUCAAAUGGCCAUCGAAUAUGGCAAAUAAACCGAGCUCACUGCCAUUGACUUGCUUAAACUCCGGGAAAACAUAGUCCCCCAUUGGAUGAUUCGCUUUCCCCUUCACUAAAUGAUAACCAUGCGUUAUAUUCUUCGACAUCUUACUCUUCCCUUUUCCAGAUUCAGCAUUAUUAGAAGGGUUUAAGCCAACUUUUUCUUGAACUUUCUCCUGCAGUGAAUCAAUAUAAACAGCUCAAUAAGCAGUAAAUUUACACGUUUCCUAGAAAUCGCCAUUGAUGAAGAAAAACAUGCCAUCACCCGUAAAGCAUUGUGGUGGAAAUGGGUUAAUUCCUUUCCAAAAUGCAGUUAAUUGAUUCAAAACUUUUUAACAAUUUCAUUUUCUUGGGAAAUUAUUGAGGUCAAAUCAUCCAAAAACAUCCAAUUCUUCCCACAAACUAGUUCUUGGAAACAAUUUACUCCAAUUUCCAAAUUUCCAAGAAAAAACAAUCAUAAUCAAACCCCAUAUAUAAUAAAUCCAAAAUCAAUCACUUUAAGAUGCUGCAAAUGGGUGCAAAUGGGUUAUUUCAAAGAAAAAUCAUAACCCAUUUUUUCAGGAUUUUGCUUUGCUCAGUUGGAUUUAGUAAUUAUUACUUAAAACUACAAGAUUUUGGGUUUUACAAAUUAAGUAAUGGUUUUCAAAUUUUAGUACUCUAAAAUUUUCACUCCAAAAUAAAGUAAUCACUUAAAGUGUUUUUUUAUAACAAAAUAAAUAGUUUUAAUGAUUGUUUUCUUAAAAAUUGAAAAGUGAUUUGUCAGAAUUAAUAUUAUCAAAACACACAAUUUCAAUUUUAUUUUUUAGGUUUUUAAACAAGUCAAUAUAAUUCUUCUAGAUUCAACCAUAAUAAACCAGGUUUGUGGCGUUACAAUUUUUUUCCUUAAUUUAUAAAUAUAUUAUCAAUUUUUCUUUGAUUUUAUAUAAAAAAUUAAAAUCAUUUAUAUAAUAGAAAAAUGUAUAUAAAAAUCUAGAAAAAUAAAAUCUUGAAUAUGUUGUUGAAGAACUAAAAUGUAUGAGCAAUAAAGAAAAGUAUCAUUCAAUAGAAUCCAAUAACAAAUUAGAAACAAAACAAAAUAAAGAAAGUUUAGUUUCAUGCUCUUGAAGAACAUCUAGGACUGGUAUUACAUAGUGCAAAAUCAAACUUUAAUGCCAAUUUUGAGGCUCGUUGUUGAAGAAUGUGCGGGUCUACCUCUUACAGUUGUCGUCAUAGCUGGUACAUUGAGAGGAGAAGAUGACCCUCUUAUUUGGAAAAAUACACUAAGGGAAUUGAAAGAGAGAAUAGGGAAAGUGCAAGAAGGGGAAGAUAAAGUGAUCGAGAGUUUGAAAGUUAGCUUCAAUCACUUAAAAGACGAGAAAAUGAAGCAUUGUUUCUUACAUUGCGCAUUAUAUCCCGAAGAUUUUGGAAUUGAAAAGCAUGGGCUAAUUUGUUGGAACAAUGGCAGCAGCAAACAUCAAAACAAAGUUGCAACUCAGUGUUUGCAAGACUGAAGCAAGAAGAAUCGAGGCAAAGCAAAGCAAAAAUUUGGUAAAAAAAAAUCAAAAUACUCAGCAAUGUUGUGACUGAACAUACAUCAUUUUUCAUUCAACUUGAAAUAUAUAAAAGAGUUACAUUGUACAUUGACAGUUACCUAAUGUAUUUAACUGCCCCAACUAAUACAAACCUAAUCACUAGCCAAAAAAAUAAUCAAACAUAGCUGACCAAUCAGCCAUUACAUCAAAAGAUCUUGUCACUAACUUAAGUUUAACUAGUAUUACAAACAAACUAAAGUUGAACUGAACCAAAUUACAUCAAAACAAAGCAGCAAAGUUGGUUGCUUCAUUCGGUUCAAAAACCAUUCGUGCGCACCAAGCAAAAUGAGCUGAGCUCGAUAGCUGCUGGUCUCGACAGUAGCAAGCUUUUGGCUCCAUGUUGCAUUGCAGUCCAGCUUUCAACACUCCUCCUUGGACUGUAUGCAACACAUUCCAAUUGCACUUCUCAAAGAUUCAAAUCGAGCAGCCCCUAAGGGCUUGGUCAUUAUGUUAGCCAAUUGUGCUCCUGAGCUGCAAUGCACAAGGCUGACUUCCUUUGCUUGUUCAGCCUCUCUAACAAAAUGCAAUUUGAUCUUAAAAUGCUUAGUCUUGCAAUGGAACACAGGGUUCUUGGCUAUUGCAACUGCAGACUGAUUGUCCACCCAGAUUUCAGUUGCUUCAUCUUGAGUUUCAUUAAGGUCAUAAAGCAGCUUUCUUAGCCAAAUGGCCUGAUUAACUGCUCCUGCUGCAGCAAUGUACUCUACUUCAGCUGUGGACUGAGCAACAGUUUGUUGCUUCUUAGAACUCCAGCAAAACAUGCCCGAUCCAAUUGUGAAGAAGUAUCCAGAGGUACUCUUCAUGUCAUCGAGAGAUCCUGCCCAGUCGCUGUCAGAGUAGCCUUCUAGUUUCAGUUGGUUCUGACUUUCAAACAUUACACCAAAACUAGCAGUGCCCUUGAUGUAUCUAAGGAUCCUCUUUGCUGCCUUCAAAUGUGCCUCAUUGCAACAAUGCAUAAAUCUCGAUAACAGGCUGACACCAAACAUGAUAUCUGGCCUGGUUGCUGUUAGAUACAACAGACAACCAACUAGGCUUCGAUAGUGCCUCUCAUCAACCCUCUGCUGAUCACCACUGCUAGUCAGCUUUUCUCCUUGAGCCACAGGUGUGCUGACUGCUUUACAGUUAUGCAUGCAAAAUUUGUCUAGGAUCUUCAAAGCAAAUGAGUGUUGGCUGAUGAAGAUACCUCGAUCAGAUUGGUGCACUUCCAUGCCAAGGAAGUAAGUCAUGAUCCCCAAAUCUGUCAUCUCAAACACUUGCUGCAUUUGGACCUUGAACUGAUCAAUGAGCUCGAUUUUGCUCCCUGUCACAAGCAAAUCAUCCACAUACAAGGAGACUAUCAGCAAGGUUUCAUGUUCUGACUUUUUAACAUAUAGAGUAGGCUCACUAAGACUCUUUACAAAUCCAAGUUUGGUCAGGUAGGCAUCAACUCUGUCAUACCAGGCCCUUGGUGCCUGUUUCAGGCCAUAGAGGGCCUUUCUCAACUUAUACACUUUGUCUUCAUGUCCAACAACUUCAAAACCUUCAAGUUGCUCGAUGAAGAUCUCCUCCUUGAGAAAACCAUUCAGGAAUGCUGAUUUGACAUCCAAUUGGUGAACUCUCCACUGCUUCUGAGCUGCUAAAGCAAACAGCAGCUUAAUUGUAUCCAGUCUUGCCACUGGAGCAAAAGUUUCUAGGUAGUCAACACCAUACUGCUGACUGUAGCCCUUCACCACAAGCCUGGCCUUGUGCUUGUUCAGUGAGCCAUCAGCAUUGUACUUGGCCCGAUACACCCAUUUAACUCCUAUGACCCUCUUGUGUUCUGGUCUGCUCACCAACUCCCAAGUCUGAUUUUUGUUGAUCAUUUCCAACUCAGCUUCCAUAGCUUUCAUCCAGCUUCUGUUUUUAGCAGCCUCUUCAAAGUCUGAGGGCUCAAUCACAGCAACAUUGCACCUCUGAUAAACAUCAACCAAAGUUCUGGUGCCCCUCACUGGUAUAUCAUCGACAGCAUCAUUACUUGGUCCUUCUUCUGCAGGUUCAGCAACCAAGUUUAACUGGUCCAAUUCAGACAAGUCAGCCACAACACCAUUCCAAUUCCACACCUUUUCCUCAUCAAACUUUACAUCCCUGCUGACUAAAACCUUCUUUGCUGUAGGAUCAUACACUCUAUAGCCCUUCUUGUUGCUGCUGUAGCCAACAAAGAUUCCUGGAGUUGCUCUGCUCUCAAGCUUGGUCCUUUUCUCUACUGGAAUAAGUGCAUAACAUACACAGCCAAACACUUUUAAGUGUGUUACCACAGGUUUGACUCCAUGCCAAGCCUCAAAAGGAGUCUUAUCCUUGACUGCUCUAGUUGGCAGUCUGUUGAGCAGAUACACUGAGGUGUUGACUGCCUCAGCCCAAAACUGACUUGGAAGCUUGCCUUGAAACAAGAGGCACCUGGCCAUGUUCAGUACAGUCCUAUUCUUUCUCUCACAGACUCCAUUCUGUUGAGGAGUAUAGACUGUUGUGAGCUGAUGGUGAAUCCCAGCACUGUCACAAAGCUUCUGAAAUCUCUCAGACACAUAUUCAGAUCCAUUAUCAGUCCUCAAGGCUCUAAUUUUGCAGCCUGACUGAUUUUCAGCAUAAGCCUUGAAUUUGCAGAAGGCUUCAAACACUUCUGACUUUUGCUUCAAGAAGUAGACCCAGCACAACCUUGUUAAAUCAUCUAUAAACAAGGCAAAGUACCUGUUCUCACUGAUUGAAGGUGUUCUCAUAGGGCCACAAACAUCAGAGUGCACCAAUUCGAGCUUGUCUUGAGCUCUCCAAGCACUGUCAGCAGGAAAAGGUAGUCUAGCCUGCUUACCAAGCUGACAAACCUCACAAACAUUCCCACUAGCUUCAAUUUUUGAAAUGUCAUCAACCAGAUUCAGCCUAUGUAACAGAUCGAUGGAUCUAAAAUUUGCAUGGCCUAGUCUCCUAUGCCACAAGUCAGUGCUUUCAACAAGGCUGGUGUAUGCCUUUCUUUCUAUUUGGCUAACAUCCAGCAUGAAGCACCUAUCAGUCAUAGAGACUGUGACUAACUCCAGACCAUUCAUGUCUUGAACAAUACAGCAACCAUCCUUAAAAACCAAUGUAUAGCCCUUUUCAACUAAUUGGCCUACACUAAGCAAAUUCUGGUCUAAGUCAGGUACAAAAAACACAUCUGAGAUCAGCUUGUACCUGAACCAGUGCUAAUCAACACACUGCCCUUGCCUUUAGCCUCAAUCAGCCUACCAUCUCCAAUUUUAAUCCUCGAGUGGAAGCUUCUGUCUAGGCUUUUGAACAGCUUCUCAUCUGCUGCCAUAUGGUGUGAGCAGCCACUGUCUAGUAGCCAAUCAUUGCUGGCCUUGGUUGUGCCAACAAAACAAGUUGCUGUGAACACUUGCUCCUCCUGAGCUUGAAUGUCCUCAGCAGGUCUAGCUUGUUGCAGAGUAGCCUCCCUUGGUUUGCCCUUGCACACCUUCUCCACAUGGCCAAACUGUUUGCAUUUUCUACACUGAAUAUCUGGCCUAAACCAGCAAUACUUUUCUGAAUGUGUUGUCUUCUUGCAAUGAACACAUGGUGGGAACACCCUUUUUGCUUCAUCUCUUCCUGACUUGACCCUUCUAUUGUGCCAAGGCUUCUUGCCUUUUGCACUCACACUCGAGCCUUCACUGGCUUUAGCCUGGAAAGCAGCUUCAGGAUUCUCCUCCUGCCUAUUUGCCCUCCUUUGCUCAAGUGCAUAUAGGGAAUUUAUCAGCUCAGACAAUGAAAUGGCUGAUAAGUCCCUCGAGUCCUCAAGUGAAGAGAUUUUAGACUCAAAUUUCUCAGGGAGAGUUGUAAUAACCUUUUCAACAACUCUGCUCUCUGUGAAGUCCACUCCCAGGAGCCUAAUGCUGUUGACAAUGGCCAUUAUCCUGUCUGAGUACUGCUUGAUGGUCUCAGACUCCUUCAUCCUCAAAUUUUCAAAGUCUCUCCUGAGGUUGAUUACUUGCUGUUGCCUUGUCUUAUCAGUCCCCAUGAACUCCUCCUUCAGCUUCUCCCAAGCCUGCUUAGGUGAGCCACAGGCCAUGAUGCGAGUAAAUAUCACAUCAGAGACUCCAUUUUGCAAGCAGGCCAUAGCCUUAUGCUUCUUGGCUCGCUCCUCAGUAUGUUGCCUCAUCUGUGCAAUGGUGGGAUAGGCUCUCAAUGGAGGUGGUUCAGCAUCAUUCUCGAUCACACUCCAAAGAUCAUGUGCCUGGAGAUAAGUCUUCAUUUUAACUAUCCAAAUGUGAUAGUUUUCUCCAGUGAACACUGGUGGAGGUGGUGGAGUGAAACUCAUUCUGCUAAACUGAUUUUAAAUGCUUCAAUCUUACCAAAUUUUGAACUUGUUGUUGGUUUUGAUUCGAACACAACAGAUUGCAUACAAAAGCCCCUUAAAGACUCGGGCUCAUGAUACCAUUUGUUGGAACAAUGGCAGCAGCAAACAUCAAAACAAAGUUGCAACUCAGUGUUUGCAAGACUGAAGCAAGAAGAAUCGAGGCCAAGCAAAGCAAAAAUUUGGUAAAAAAAAAAUCAAAAUACUCAGCAAUGUUGUGACUGAACAUACAUCAUUUUUCAUUCAACUUGAAAUAUAUAAAAGAGUUACAUUGUACAUUGACAGUUACCUAAUGUAUUUAACUGCCCCAACUAAUACAAACCUAAUCACUAGCCAAAAAAAUAAUCAAACAUAGCUGACCAAUCAGCCAUUACAUCAAAAGAUCUUGUCACUAACUUAAGUUUAACUAGUAUUACAAACAAACUAAAGUUGAACUGAACCAAAUUACAUCAAAACAAAGCAGCAAAGUUGGUUGCUUCAUUCGGUUCAAAAACCAUUUGUGCGCACCAAGCAAAAUGAGCUGAGCUCGAUAGCUGCUGGUCUCGACAGUAGCAAGCUUUUGGCUCCAUGUUGCAUUGCAGUCCAGCUUUCAACAUAAUUGAUAGCUGGAUUAAAGAGGGAUUCAUAGAUGACAUGAGUACAAGACAAGAAACGAAAGAUAAGGGCCAUCUUGAGUGUAACAGUGAAAAUUCAUGAUGCAGUGAGAGACAUGGCAUUGUCGAUAACAAGAAUGAAUCCUCGAUAUAUGAUACAAGUAGGUUCGCAAUUAGAAGAGUUACCAGAAAAGGAGCAAUGGAGUCCGGAUAUUGAGAAAGUGUCACUUAUGUAUAACUCCAUAUCAGAAAUUUCCAUAGAUGUGCUGCCCACAAAAUGUCAACUGCUCACAACCUUGUUAUUGCAGGAGAACCCUAUAAAGAAGAUCUCAAGUUCUUUCUUCACAAACAUGCCUUGUCUUAGUGUUCUCAAUUUGUCCUCUACGAAGAUCAAAAGUUUACCAAAUUCCAUCUCUGAACUAAAGAACCUCACAACAUUGUUGCUUUGUGGUUGUGAAGAAUUAAGAGAUCUGCCAUGUCUUUCGAUGCUUCAAGAAUUGAAGAAGUUGGACCUUUCUGGGACUAAAAUUGAGGAAGUCCCUGAAGGAAUGGAUAUGCUGAUAAAGCUAAGAUAUCUUGAUCUUAGAGUGCGCACUCUGAAAGAGAUACCCGCUGGAGUUUUACCAAAACUCGUUCACCUUCAGCACUAGGGUUUUCAUGAGAACAAUGAAAAAACAAGUCUAAAAGCAGAGGAGAUGGAACCAUUGAAGAAGUUGGAGUACUUAACCAGACAUUUCGAAGACAUCAGUGGAUUCAAUAAGUUCAUCUCCUCAAUGCAACAAAGUAAGAAAAAUCUCAUCAAGUACUUUUUACAGGUGGGCUCAUAUAAUGUGUGUAUUGGAAGGGAGAAAACAGUAACAAUUGGAGGAGUCCAGAAUUGGGAAGGUGAGUUAAUUAUGCACCCAAUUGAAAUUCGAGAUUUGACUAUUACAAGGUGCGACUAUUUCAGAAACUUAGUCGAUGAUGAUUCUUCCUUCAAAAAUGCGAUUGACUUGAGGGUUUGUAGGAUUUGGGGGUGUGAAGGGAUAGAGUGUGUUGUUUCCCUGUCCUCUUUUGCCUCUUCUUCCGCUCAUCUAUUUCAGAGCCUCGAGGUGUUGUAUCUUCGUGAUCUGCCAAAGCUGAGUGCCCUUAUUAUGAAUGAUGCAGGAAUUGGUUCAGGAACAACAUCAACAUUGGCUCCGUCUGCCACCUUUUCCCAUCUCAAGGAAAUUAUGAUAGUGAACUGCUCAAGUAUGAAGACGCUGCUUCCACAUUAGUUGCUUCCAAACCUCCAAAACCUGGAAGAAAUAGAUGUGGAUGCUUGUAGUCAGCUAGUAGAAAUAUUGGGAGCAGCAACAUCAGAAGUUGAAGAAAAAGGGAGUGAUGCAUUAAUCAAAUUCCAUCUUCCUAAACUGAGAGUGCUGUCAUUCUGGGAAUUACCAAAUUUGAAGAGCAUAUGCAGCAAAAGUGGAGUGAUGGUUUGUGAUUCUUUCCAACUUAUCCAAGUUGCUGGAGACUGUUAUAAACUGAAGAGAAUUCCUCCAUUUGUUCCUCUUGUUGGCAAUGGGCAGCCAUUUGCAUAUGCUCCACCUUCUCUUACCAUCUUCUCAAGCACAGCAUGGUGGGAAUCGUUGGAGUGGGAUGACCAUCCAAACUAUAAAAAUGUUCUUUGCUUCAACCCCCGUUGAGGAUAAGAGGUAUGAACCAUUUAUGGUUUAGUUUAUUUUUUUUUAUUUUGAUAAAUCUAAUUUCUCCAUAUUAAUAAAAUUUGAAGUAUAUUUGUGAAGAUGUUGAAGAGAAAGAUAAAAGGGUUGGUGGGAAAGAAGUAGGGGAGAGGAUAGUGCAAAAGAGAGGAGAAAAGGAAUAAUGGAAGGAAGAGGUUAAGAGCAUGGAGACUGAGAGGCAAAGGUAAAUAAGAAAUCAAACUGCCUCCACUUUUUAAGCAUUUUCCCUCUCUUGCCAUUCCUUCUAUUCUCUUAUAUAUUCUUCUCUAGUAUAUAAUAUAUAUACUUCCCAAAAUAACCUUCUAAAUAUUUAUUAUUAAAAUAUUUAUAUUAAUCAAAAUGACUUAAGGUGAGACAAAACUAUGAUCAUAGUUUUAUUUCCAAUAAAAGUUAGGAAAGUAUUGUAAAAAGACAUAAUAUUUUUUAAUUUCCAUGUAAAAUUUCUGGAAACAUUAAGAUUUAAAAAAUAAUAAUAUAGUUAGAAAUUAAUACCAAGAUAGCUACCCAGAAGCAAUAUAAUGUUGAAAUCCCAAACUGUUGAACAUUUUACCUCUUAAUAUUCUAUUGCACACUUGAAUCCAGCAUUUUCUAUACAUUGAGAGGUUAAUUCUGGAUAUACAAAUUUCAUCAUGUUUCUGUCUGCCACCCAUCCAUGGCUCCAUCUAAUAAACGCCAUUGCUUCAAACUUGCAUUCAUGCUUACACUGACAUAUCAAAAAGCCAAUACAUUCACAGAUUUUCAUUAUCUGCUACUAUUAUAUAUGAUUGCGUUGCAUGGACAUAGCAAUGGAGUACGUAGAGCCUGUUCUUGGCAUUGCAAAUUGUCUCGGAACCCCGGCUUAUAAAUACUUGCUGUAUCACAGAAAGCUCAAUGAUUAUGUGAGAAACUUCAAGAGGACGAGAGAUGAGUUGAAUUGCAAAAUGGAAGAUAUAGAGUUGCAAUUGAAAGCAGAGCUUCUUCGUCCUCUGGGGAAGAUACCGAAGAAGGGAGUUGAAAAUUGGUUGAAAGCUGUGAAAGAGAUGAUUAGGGAAGCACAAGUUGUUGAAAACAAAGUCGGUAACGGGAGAUAUCUCUGUCGUGCUUGCAACGGGAAGCUGGUUGAUGAAAAGACUCGAGAAAUGAAGGAAUUUCUUGAUAACGCUCCUAAUGCCUCUGAAGGUCUUACCAUGGAUGGUCCAAGUGCUGGGUUGCUACUGCCAACAUCAGAACUAGAUGGAGAAGAAGCUGUCAGAAAUGAGAUUUGGGCAUGUUUGAUGCAGGAGGAGGUGAGGAAGAUUGGGGUUUGGGGGAUGGGCAUAAAAAAUUAUUAAAAUAGAUCAUUGCUAAUUCUCUCUUUUCUUAAUCGGUAAGUUUCUCUCUUCAAAUCCUUUUAUUUCUUUAUUGAAUCCAUCGCAUAUCAUUUGCAAACCCAUUUCUGUACAGUUUGUUUGUUCAAUUUUUCUUUUUCCAGUUUUUUUCUUGAUUUAGAUGGAAGAUUCUUUUUGUAGCAUUUGAAGAGUUUCUAAAAAUUUUAGGGUUUUCCUAAAUCUAACUUUCUUGACACCACGUGCACGUAUAAAUUCCUUUCGUGGAGAUUAUUUAUCAUGUUUGUGUGUUUCGUCUUUUGAGGUUGAGCUAUUUUUAUUUUCAAAAAUAAAUAUUUAUUUUCUUUUGCAUUUAUUUCUAAGAUCACCAUAAAUUGUUUAGGGUUGUCGAUUUUGGGGAUUUUAUGGAUAAAUUUUUUUUCAUAUCAGAUGCUCCAACUUUGUGCUUAUGAGUGAUCUUCAAACCUAGGUUAAUGCUGCUCUGACGAAUGAAGAUACUUGCAUGGAUGGAUUCUUAAGCAGGGCUAUGAAUGGGUAUGCAAAGAUGAUGGUGAGGAAACGAAUUAUUAAGAUUACACAAUUGACGAGCAAUGUUUUGGCUCUCACCAAUGACUAUUCUUCAUCUCAGAUCCUUCAUUGAUUUUCUUGAGAAAAUUUUGAUGGCAAGGAAAGCAUUGUGUUUCAUGGAUUUAUGUUCAGUAUGGGAUUUUACGAUUUUCGAACAGGACUUAAGUUUUUAAGGUAUUGUAGAUUGUGUUCUCAAUUCUAUGUUUGUGGUUCUUGAGUUUUGCAAUUGUAUCAGUUUGAAUAUGAAAUUUGUGUUAGUGUAUGUUUAGGGUUUUUUUAUUGUUCUUUUAAUAAUUUUAAAACCAUUUACUAACGUGGUAAAUAAGAGAAAAUAAUGUUAUGUUAGUAUCUAAAUUUAUUUGGACCGUCAUGUCAGAGGUUAAUGUUGACCGUUAAACAACUAACGGUCACAUCAGCCUCUAUGUUAAAAACGAACCAAUUUGUUAGAAAUUUAAAUUUUACACUAUAAAAUUAAUUUUUAAAAUUAACUAUUCAAUUUGUAAUUGAUUUUAUUAAAUUAAAAUAUUCACUAAUGUUUAAAAAUAUUCUCCAUGUUAAUUAAAAAAAUAUUUAAGAAUUCAGUUAAAUGGUAAUCAAUUUAUAUUAAAAUAUCAGCUUUAUUAGUUGUAUUAUUUCAUUAAUGUUCUUAUAAUAUUAUUUCAUUUUUAUUUAUAGACACCAACUUUAAAAUUAGAAGAGAAUUAAUUUACGAGAAGACAUGAUUCAUACUGUAAAUGAUAAAUAAGAUAUUAUAAAUUAAUAUGAUUAAAAUUUAAAUAAUACACAAAGAGUAGCAAAAUAAAUUGAAAACAUUUGAUAUGGUCUAAAUGAACUAUUUAAUAAAAGGAUUAUAUAUUUUGAAAUGGUGAUUUGAGAGACAACUAUAUAAUAAAAGGAUUAUAUAUUUUGUCUUUUAUAAAUAAUUUGUGAUCAAAGAUGACUCACAUAUGUUUUCCAAAGUUGUGGUAAAUAUAUAUAUAUAUUCCUAUCAAGCAAGUUGACAGCUGAAGGGUGCAAAUUUGACUUUGCUAAAUUCUCUAGCAUCAAAGAGGCAAGAUAUGCUGCAAACAAGACAUAAACCAAUAUCAACAUGGUGAUUCCAAAAUUCAGAAGACACUAAACCCCUACUUUUGUAUGAUAGAUGAAAUAUGAUGUACAAAUUUACAGUCAUGGAAUUAGGUGCACUGAAGAUAAUUCAGUGUUAAAAUCAAAGAAAUUUAUCAUUAUUUUUGUUAAUUGUAAAAUUGUGCAUAAACUGGAAAAAAUGUUUCAUUGCCAUUACAAGAAUUUCUUUAAAGUUAAUAGUUUGAGAGAUAAUUUUAAGUAAGAAUUGGAAGGCAUUGUUAUAAAGAGAAUCUGAAGAAAGUAAUUUCGUUUUGAGUUUCAAGUGAAAGGAAUGAAAGAAAGGUUGCUUAAAUAAAUACGGGAUUGGAUAUCGAGCUGUUUUGAAUAGUUGGAGCGAAGGACACAUGGACCAUAUGGAAUUCAAGUCUACUAAAGUAAUGCUAAUCAGGUUCCUCUUUAGAAAUGACAACUUUUCAAAACAUUAUCAAUCUACCUUGAAAGGUGGCAUCAGUGAAAGAAUCAAUCAUGAAAUAUUAAAAUUAUACUAAAAUUACUACAAAGAUUUAUUUCCCUAUAAAUAAACAUUUUCUUAUUCUUCCUUAAAAAUUAUUAACAUGAUUUUAUCUUAAUAUACAUGUGUUUAUAUAUAUUUACGUCCCAAAAUAGCCUUCUAAAAUAUUUAUUUUAAAAAAUAAUUUAUAUAAUACAUAUAACAAUUAAUUAUAAACUUAUUUUGAUAUGAUGUCAAAAUUAAAUAUUAUAACGGUCCUUUACCACAUUCAACACUAACUUUUAUUUUAUAAUUUUUGUUUAAAAAAUAAACUUUAAAUUUUAUAUAUAUAUAAAAAAGCAUGCAUAGGCUUCAAAUUUUAAGUUAAAAAUAUGGGAUAAUAGUUUACUAUAGACCCAUCCAUGGGCCCUCGACCAGAGUCGGGUCUAUAUAGAUAAAGUUUUUUAUAAUUCGGGUCAGCCCAACUCAAAUUUAAUUUAAAUAAUAAAAAAUAUUUUAAAAUUUAAAUUUAAUUAUAAAAACAUACUUUUAUUUUUUUUGAACAUUGAAAUGAGCUUUUUAAGUAGAUCGAGUUGGGUCGAAAACGGGCCCCUUUUACAAAAAUCGAUUGGCUUCUUUAUAGCCGAAUCUUUACAACCCAAAUAAUAUUUUUUUCAAUUUUUUCUCUAUUUCCCCCCCUUUUUUGCUUGAUGUUCGUGGUUUACUUGUUGCAGGUACAUGGAAACAGCAUGGGGGUUGCUACGACGUGGGGCGUGCACGGCGCUGGGGGUUGCUGUGACGUGGGGUGUGCACGACGCUGGGAGAGAAGGGGUUUCUAGAAUUAGGCUAACUGGGCUAGGCUAGAUUUGAGUUUGGGUUAUUGGUUGGGUCAAUUUUAAGUGGGCUGAGGCGAUUUGGGUAUUACAAACGCCACUAAAAAUUAAAGUUCUAAUAAAAAACGGCGCCGUUUUAUUAAGCUUUAAUGCAUAGUUCUGGCGUUUUUUGUAAAAACGCCACUAAAAAUUGAUUUACUUAAGUCAAACGGUUACGUUUUAAAAAAAUAAUUCUAAUCUUUUUAAGUAAUAUUUAUAAGAAUUAUAUAAAAUUAUAAAUUUUAGGUUUUUUUUUGUUUUUUGUUUAUUUCAUUUCUUAUAAUUUGGUCAUAUAUUUCCUAAAUAAAUAGUUAUACAUAAAUAUAUAUCCAUCCAUAUAUAUAUCAAUACUUUUUUUAACUUAUUUAUUAAUUCUAUUUAAACUAAUAUUUAAAUAUAUCAAAUCGCUUAGAUUAAAUUUUUAUAUUAUAAUUUUAAAAAAUAAUUAAUCUAAACCCAAAACCCUGAUCCGACCCUUGAAUUCCUAAACCCUAAACUAUUAACCUUUAACCCCUAACCCCUAAACUUUAAAUCUCAAACCCUAAGUCCAUACCCCCUAAUCCUUAAAAUAGUAAGCCCAUCCAAAAAAUCCCUAAAUCUUUAAUAAUCAUAAAUUAGUUAAAAUCGAUUAAACAUUAAUUAAUAGUUAAAAAUUUUGUAUAAAGUAGCAAUAAACAAUAUUAUCUUUAUAAUAUUUAUUUUUUCAUAUAAAGUUUGAAAUUUAUAAUAUUUUAUUUUAUUGAUAAAUGAAUAAAUUUCUCUAAUUAAGUAAUUUAUUAUAUUCUUUGUCAAAUAGAUAAAUGAAAACAACAAGGAGUAACAAGUAUAUGGGAUUUUUUUUAUUGAAGUGAUAAAAAUAGGAAUGAUAGCGAGUCAGGUAUAUGCAUAUUUUUGAAUGAUUUCAAUUUAAAUUCACAAAUUUAUUUAAGUAUUUAAAUGUUAUUCAUGAAUAAUUUGAGUAUUACUAUUCAAAUUCAAAUUUAAAUUAAAUAAUAUUAUCCAUCGAAUAUUUCAAUCCUAAAAAAAACCUAAAUUUAAAUUUUUAAUUUUUUUGUGGAUAUUUUCAAGUCCACAAAAACCUGAAUUUGAAUAUGGUAAAAUUAUUUUAAUAUAUAUAAUCACAAUUGUAAGAAUUUAGUAACUACUAGAUUUAUAUAUUUGAAAUUACAUUUGUUAUCUGAAUAAGAAAUGCAGAUUUAAAUAAUGGAUAUUCAAGGUAUCUUAUACCCACAUCCACUUCGAAUUCAUAUAGCAUAUAGCAAUUUUAAAAUCUGAAUCUAACUAUUAUUCCAACCUAAAAAAAAAAGUCUUAGAUCAUCAAUCUGAAUUUUCAUCUUUAACUAAAAUAUUCUUUAUUCCAUUAACAUAUGUAAGUGUCCACCGAGCUUUGUUCUUUAUUGUAAUAUUUAUUGAUUUUUUUCUAUUUCUUCAAGGAUUAUUUUUUUAUCGUGCUUUUAAUGUGGUGUUUUAUUAAUUUUUUUAGAUUUUGUUGGUUAAUAAUUUUUAUUUAUGUUGAAAAAUAAUGAAAAAAUAGUUGAUAUAUAUUGUUCGGAACCAAGAUAACUUGGUUGAAGAAAUGAAAGUGGGAGUGAAAGUGCAUUAUGAAGAAGCGUACUAUCUUUUACAAAUUUAUUAUCUCUUUUACAAUUAUAUACACAAACCAAAUCAUAUACCGAAACUAAAAACCCUAAACAAAUUUAUUAUUAUCUUUUUUACAAUUGUACAACCCAAUUUUGCCCAAAACCGGGCCCAUUACAAAACUCAAACAGACCAGCCCAAACCCGAACAACCCAGCAAACUCGGAGCCCAAUAGCUCAGGCCCAACAUCCUAAAAAAGUUGCUUAGGGUUUCAAAAAGUCUGAAACCCUAGCGCCGCAUCUAGGGUCUUUGACCCCUAGAUUUCAGCCGCCGCCGCCAUCGCCUUGCACCGCCACUGUCCCAUCGUCCCACUUGCGCCGUCACCUGCAAGGAAGAAAACAAAGAAAGCCACAGCAACCAAAGAGAGAGAAAUAAUAGAAUAUAAAAUACAUGUAAUUUUUGGGCUAUAAAAAGCUAGUGAUUAUCAUUGUAAGGGGUUCGGAUUCCCCUCUUUUACAAAUAUUUUCAAAAAUCAAAAGCAAACAAAGCGAUUGAAGGUGAUUUUCGCCUUUCACUUCUCUGUUUUUCUUACACUUUUCAUAAAAAUAUCAUUAUUUUUCGAUUUAUUUCUUUAAAAAACAAAAAAGGAGUAAAAAAUACCUUUUAGCGCCGCGCCGGAGGAAGAGGAGACGGACGGUUACUCCUCGUUUUGUGGGGUUAGGCUCGCCUUUUACAAGAUUCGGUGUUGGAUCCGUGUUUAGGAGGCCUUCGGCAUCAAAAAGGAACCGAAAAGGUUCCAUUUUGUACCUCCGGCCACCGCCUGCGGUGAGGAUACGACGGAGGUACGCCGGAGCGUUUGAUCGGAUCCAAGCCGGAGCCUUGAGAGGAGGAGGGGAGCUCUGUUGUUUUUUUAAAGAUGGGGGGGUUGAAAUGAGUUUUUAGAAAAUUUUUGGGCAUAAAUAGCCCUUUUAAAACGACGCCGUUUUGCCCUUAGGGGUCAGGUGACAAAACAACGCCGUUUUGGCCUUGACCCGCGCGGUGACCCGACCCAGGGGGAGGAUCCGCGUGUUUUCUUUAAAGGGUAUAAUUGCGCGCGCAGUCCUUCGACUCUGCAGCGCGUUUCAAUCAAGCCCCUUUUCGCUAUUUUCUUUUAUUUUCAAUCUAGCCCUAUAAUUUUAUUUUUGUUUCAAUUUAGUCCAAUGCAACGCCGCGUUUUUAGAACUCCGUCUAUUUACUAUUUUGGUCCCUCUCUGUUUGGCGCGAGUUACAAUUUAAUCCUUAUUUGUUUUUUUAUUUCGAUUUCGCCCAGUACUUUCGUUUUUAUUUCGAUUAAGUCCAUAUUUAGCAAUUUUAUUAUUAUUAUUAUUAUUAUUGUUAUUAGUAUAUUUAUUAAUAUUAUUGUCAUUAUUGUUAUGUUUUUUUAUUUCUAUUUUCUUAUGAAAGUUUUAGAUAUAUAUGUUUUAUUAUAUUAUUUUUAUUAUAUAAUUGUUUAUAUAUAUGCGUAUAUAUAUAUCUUCUUUUUUUAACUUAUUUAAUACAAAUACUCAUUUUUAUAUACAUAUCUAUCUUACAAUCUAUAUAUAUGCAUGUAUUUUUAUUAUCUUAAUAUAUACGUACAUGUUUUAGGAUAUAUAUAUAUAUACAAGUGUACAUUUAUCCCUUUGUUAGUAUUCAUGUACAUAUUUAUGUAUUUAUAUAUUUCCCUAAUAUAUACUAUAUUUUAUAUAAUAUGUUAUGUAUGUCCUAUAUACGUUCUAAUUUUCAUAUAUAUAUGUUUAAUAAUCUUAUAUAUGCAUAUUUUUAAUUUUCACAAAUACAUGCUUACAUAUUCUUAUAUGCACAUACGUAUAUUUUUAUGCUUUAUAAUUCUAAUACACACACAUACACAUACACAUAUAUAUAUAUACUAUAAUGUUAUCCAUUACUAUUGUUUCAUUUGGUGUUAAUUAAUUUAUUUAUCUACAUGCUUAUUAUUAUUAUUUGCUUAGGUGCUUUAAUUUUUAUUUGUUCAUUUACUUUUAUUUAUUGAUUUCUUUUUAUUAUAUGUUUGCCAUCUUAUUUAUUUAUCAAAAAAAACGGAAAAUUCAAAAAUAAAAACAACACUCGGUAUUUGGGAUCUUCGAGAGAAUCGAGCCCUAACGUAUUGGGUUUUGAUUUUCUUUGUUGAAUCUAAAUAAUCGAGAUUACCUUUUUUAUAAAAAAGACAUAAACGAAAACUCUUUACCGAGAAUUCAAUACGUCGUGUCCUAAUGCAUUGGACAUGAUACAUCGAUUUCUCGAGACGAGGAUUUUUCAAAAUAAUUGCAAUAUUCAAUGUUUAAUAUUUGAAGAAAUUGUACCCUAACGUAUUGGGUUGCAAUUUUUUCAUAUGACUUAAACAAUUAAACACUCUUUUAAACUUUUCUAUGCGAGUUUAGACUUGCUCAUUUCUGAAAAGGUAAGAUAUCGUACCCUAACGUAUUGGGUAUGACAUUUUCUCUUUCUGAAACGAAAAAGUCUUAAUAAGCAGCUCGAUUUUUAUAAAUUUUAUUUCAAAAUAAGGAUUGUAUUUUUAAAUUUCUUUAAAGUUCUCAGUUUUUCGACAUUAAGACAUUAACUAAUCAACUAGGUACCAAUUUUUGGGCGCUACGAGGGUGCUAAUCCUUCCUCGUACGUAACCGACUCCCGGACCCAUUUUCUGAAUUUCAUGGACCAAACUCGUUGUUUUUAAUAAAAUUAAAUUGUUUAUUAAAAACAACCAUUUUUCAAGGUGACCCGAUCACACCUCAUCAAAAAGAUCGGUGGCGACUCCCAUUUUUUUUCGUUUUUGUCAAAACCCAAGUUGACCCCGUUUUCAUCCCAAAAAAUGGUGUCAACAACAGUUAUAUAAGAACAUAUUUAAAAUAUAAAUUAAAAAACUAAUUAAUCUAAACCCAAUACCCUAACCCGACCCCUAAACCCUAGCUAAACCCUAAAUCCCUAACUCCCAACUCCCAACAUCUAACCCCGGCCCUAACCCCUAAACAUUAAAUCUCAGCCCUUAAACCAUAAUCCCUAAAUCCAUAUAUAUAUAUACUCCUGAUCAAUUAUAAUAACCUUAAAAUAGUAAUCCCUAAACCAACCUAAAAUAUUAAAUUAAUAAUUAUAUACCCUAAACCUAAAACCCUAAAUCAACAAUAGUGAUACUUAAUUCAAUAUUUUAAAUUUAAAUUAAUACUAUCUCUUUUACGAUUAUAUAAGAAUUUUUUUAAUAUAUAAAUUAAAAAAUAAUUAGGAAUCAUGUAACCAAAAAACUUUAAAAUUAUUUUAAAUAAUAGUCUUUUAAUUUUUCCAUGUGUUUUAUUUCAAAUUAAUUCUACGUGUUCUUUUUUUUCUGAAGAUUUUAAAUAUUCAAUUAGAAAUAAGUUGAAUUUUAUUUAAUUAAUAUAAAUAAUUAACCAAUUAAGGUAGAAUGUUUUUUGCGGCGCUUUCACAAAAACGUCGCUAAAAACACGAGCAUUAGCGGCACUUUUUCAAAUUGACCCUUAUUUUAUAUAAAAUUAUAAAAAAAAACUCAAAAUCAUUUAUAAAAUAGAAAAAUGUAUAUAAAAUUCUAGAAAAAUAAAAUAUUGAAUAUGUUGUUGAAGAACAAAAUUGUAUAAGAAAUAAAGAAAAAUAUCAUUCAAUAGAAUCCAAUAACAAACUUGGCAAAUAACAAAAUAAAAAAGUUAGAUCAUUACAUACUUCCUCAACGUGUCUCGAAACCAAAUUAGUAGUAUUAUCUAGUUGAGUUUCAUGCUCUUGAAGAACAUUUAGAACCGGUAUUACAGAGGCUUAUGAAAUCGACCCGGAAGUCAUUUUUUUUUAGUCAAAAGAUUACAAAAUAUACCACAAAAUUUUUUUUCAAACUCAAUUCAAGAUUUAAUUAUAUUUAAAUUAUUUUCCAUAACCCAAAUUGUAAAAACAAAUUAUGUUUCUUCUUCCAUGGUCGAGUUGGGCUUGGACAAGGUUUUUAUGUCUUGAGCCGUUACAACUUGAAUUCAAUUUAAAUAAUAAAAUUUAUUUUUAAAAUUCAAAUUUAAUUAAAAAUAUAAAAAUAUUUUUUAAUAUUUUAUUAUUUUCUAAACUCGCAAAUAGACUUUUUGGAUUGACCAAGCUAGGCUAAAAAUGGGUUAGGCUUGAAAAAAUAUUAGAUUAUUUAUAAGAGUAUAUCAAGGAGUCUAAUAAUUACAAUUUUUUUUGGAAGGUCUUAAUAACACUAGAAAUCUUAUCACACGCGUAUGCAUGUGGAAAUCACAUAUUUAUAACAUAGACUAUGUUUAAAAAUAACAUACAAUGAAUACUGAAAAGUAUAAUUUGGAACUAAUUAAUAAUAACACGUGAAAUAUGUAUGAUAUUAAAAUAAAAUUAGAUUAAAUUGAGAGUAAAACAAAAUCUAAACACAAAAACACAUCAUAUUAAGAAUACUAAAUAAAUACAAAUGUUUAUCAUUGUUUUUUCUUCAAUCUCGAGUUGGUGAUGCUAAAUCAAUAACAUUAUUUACAUACACAAAUAUAUAAAAACCUAGAACACAAAUGUUUAUCUGUUAUAAAGCAUGUAUGACAUGGACAUUUCUGACAUUUGUUAAUUCUGCAUGUGCAUUAGGGUGAGAUUUGUGUUUAUGGAGGAAGUGUGGGAGUUUAAUUCAUUUGCCAUAUUUAGUGGCUCAACCACACGUAUUUCUGCAUUUGGCGAUGAAUCACCUAAUGAUCUGGCAGUUAGACUGCGAAUAUUUUGAAAAGUUUCAUAUUGCAACUAAGUGGUGUGUAGGGUUUGAUAGGUAUUUAAUACCCUAUAUGGUGCGUAGGAAUGGUCGAAGAUGGUGUGUAACGAAUUGGAUUAAGAUUGUAAUCUACACAUGAUAUGUUCUGAUUCUGUUUCUGUAUAUAUGAUAUAUGUCUAAUUGACUUCCGAAAGCAUGUUUGAAAAUUAUAUCCAAUAUUUUUACUCUUAUAAGUUACACAUUUAGUUUGUAAGCUCACUCUCAAUUUCUCUUAUUCUUAGGUAAUCCUUAGACUUAGGUGGGUCGGUGCAACUGGAGUUCGAUUAAUUAUCUACUUGUUAUAUUUGUUAUUUUAAUAUGGUUUAUUCUGUUUUGGUUUUGGACUGUUUUUAAGUUUAGGUUUAGUUUUGUUUUAUUUAUUUAUUUAAACAUUUUUGGUUGGUUUAAAUUUGAUCUACAAAAUGUUAAAUUAUAUAGCAACAAAUCGUGUUUUCAAAAUCGGAUUCAACUAAGAAUUUUCGCUGCAAACGUAAGUGUUUUAUGAGUAAACAAUCAACAAAUUUAUCGAAAUGGUUAAGAAGGAUAUUUUCCUCAAAUAAACUCAAAUUUUACUUAAUAAGAGGUAGCAUUGUUUUAUAAGUCGACAGAUUCUGGGUUUUUAAAUAAAUUGUAGUAAUAUCUCCAGAUUUGGCCAUAACGUCUAGGCUAGGUUUGGGGUGUUACAGAGCCUAUAAGCUCACCCAAUGUUUCUAACUUCUCAAUUAAUCAACAUAUUUAGGACCAAACGACGUGCAAGAGAUCAGAUUGAGUUCUCAAUUAUUUAAAUAUGAUGGUUCAUGUUUUUAAAUUAUUCUGGACAUUCUGAUUUUUUUGGGGGGGGGUUGUAAAUCUUUUUUUGGAUUUUGCUUUGCUUAGUUGGAUUUAGUAAUUAUUACUUAAAACUACAAGAUUUUGUGUUUUACAAAUUAAGUCAUGGUUUUCAAAUUUUAGUACUCUAAAAUUUCCACUACAAAAUAAAGUAAUCACUUAAAUGUUUUUCUAUAACAAAAUAAAUAGUUUUAAUGAUUGUUUUCUUAAAAACUGAAAAGCGAUUUUCCAGAAUUAAUAUUGUCAAAGCACACAAUUUUAAAUUUAUUUUCUGGGUUUUUAAACAAGUUAAUGUAAUUCCUCCAGAUUCGACCAUAACGUAUAAACCAAGUUUGUGGUGUUACAAUUUUUGUCCUCAAUUUAUAUAUAUUUUUAUCAAUCUGACCCUGAUUUUAUAUAAAAAAAAUUAAAAUCAUUUAUAAAAUAGAAAAUGUGUAUAAAAUUCUAGAAAAAUAAAAUCUUGAAUAUGUUGUUGAAGAAUUAAAAUGUAUGAGAAAUAAAGAAAAGUAUCAUUCAAUAGAAUCCAAUAACAAAUUAGAAACAAAACGAAAUAAAAAAGUUAAGUUUCAUGCUCUUGAAGAACAUCUAGGACUGAUAUUAUAGAGACUUAUAAAAUCGACUCGACUGUCAUUUUUUUGGUCAAAAGAUUACAAAAUAUACCACAAAUUUUUUUUUCAAACUCAGUUCAAAUUUUAAUUACAUUUAAAUUAUUUUUCAAAACCCAAAUUGUAAAAACAAAAUUUGUUUCUUUUUCCAUGUUGAGUUGAGCUUAGACAAGGUUUUUAUGUCACGAGCUGUUCCAACUCCAAUUCAAUUUAAAUAAUAAAAAAUAUUUUUAAAUUUUAAAUUUAAUUAAGAGUAUAAAAAUAUUUUUUAACAUUUUAUUAUUUUUUUGAACUCUUAAAAGGUUGACUGAGCUCGGCUAAAAAUGAGUUUUGCUUGAAAAAAAUGUAGAUUAUUUUUAAGAGUAUAUCAAGGAGUCUAAUAAUUACAAUUUUUUUAAAAGGUUUUAAUAACACUAGAAAUCUUAUCACACGCAUAUUUCUUACUUUGCAAAUAAAAUAGUAUUUUUGGUAAUUUUCUUAUUGAGUUGGAACCCGAUUGAUGAGUGACACCAACUCAGUAAAAUGUUUAAUACAUAGUAUAGGUAAAACAAUUCUAAACUAAAAUUUUUAAAAGAAUUUAGGGUAAAAUUCAACUAUGGUUAAGUUUUCAUUUUGGUCACUUAAUUAAAAAAUGUUACAAUUUGAUCACUAAUAUUUUCAAAAUUAUUUUCUUUUUGUCACCCAACUGUUAAGUGGCACUUGUUUCAGUUGGUAUAAUAAUAAUUCUAGUCAUCAGUUUUUAUAUUUUCUAUCAAUUUGACUCUGAUUGUGUAUAAAAAAUUAUUAAAAAACUCAAAAUAUUUAUAAAAUAGAAAAAUGUAGAUAAGAUUUCUAGAAAAAUAAAAUCUUGAAGUUGUUGAAUAACUAAACUGUAUGAAAAAUAAAGAAAAUUAUGAUUUAAUAAAAUCCAAUAAUAAAUUAAAAACAAAACAAAGUUACAUUUUGCACCUUAUGCUUGUUCAUAAUAGCUAAUAUUCACAUAGUUUUUCAAUUCAGCCCAUUUUAGUGAUGAAUUCACUAAAUUCCAGUUAUACCAUGAAAGGAGAAGAUAACCCUCGUAUUUGGAAAAAUGCACUCGGGGAAUUGAAAGAGAGAAUAGGGAAAGUGGAAGGAGUGGAAGCUGAGGUAAUCGAGCGCUUGAAAUUUAGCUUCGAUCACUUAAAGGACGAGAAAGUGAAAUAUUGUUUCUUACAUUGCGCAUUAUAUCCCGAAGAUUUUGGAAUUGAAAAGGAUGAACUAAUUGAGUGCUGGAUUGAGGAGGGAUUCAUAGAUGAUAUGGGUACAAGACAAGAAAUGAAAGACAAGGGCCGUGUUAUUUUGAAGAAGUUAGCAGAGAAUUGCUUGCUGGAAAAUAUUACCAAUAAACGUGGUCAACCUUGCAUAAAGAUGCAUGAUGCAGUGAGAGAGAUGGCAUUGUCGAUCACAAGAAUGAAUCCUCGACAUAUGAUACAAGCAGGUUUGCAAUUAGAAGAGUUACCAGAAAAGGAGCAGUGGAGUCCGGAUAUUGAGAAAGUGUCACUUAUGUGUAACUCCAUAUCAGAAAUUUCCAUAGAUGUGCUGCCCACAAAAUGUCAACUGCUCACAACCUUGUUAUUGCAGGAGAACUCUAUAAAGAAGAUCUCAAUUUCUUUCUUCACAAACAUGCCUUGUCUUAGUGUUCUCAAUUUGUCUUUUACAAAGAUCGAGAGUUUACCAAAUUCCAUCUCUGAACUAAAGAACCUCACAACAUUGUUGCUUCGUGGCUGUUAUGAAUUAAGACAUCUGCCAUGUCUUUCGAUGCUUCAAGAAUUGAAGAAGUUGGAUCUUUCUGCGACUAAAAUUGAGGAAGUCCCUGAAGGAAUGGAUAUGCUGAUAAAGCUAAGAUAUCUUGAUCUUGGAGUGUUCACUCAGAAAGAGAUACCCGCUGGACUUUUACCAAAACUCGUUCGCCUUUAGCACUUGGGUUUUCAUGAGGACAAUGAAAAUACAAGUCUAAAAGCAGAGGAGAUGGAACCAUUGAAGAAGUUGGAGUGCUUAACUGGACAUUUCGAAGACAUCAGUGAAUUCAAUAAGUUCAUCUCCUCAAUGCAACAAAGUAAGAAAAAUCUCAUCAAGUACAAAUUACAGGUGGGCUCAUCUUUUAUGCCUGCUAGAAGAGAUAAAACAGUAACAAUUGGAGGAGUCCAGAAUUGGGAAGGUGAGUUAAUUAUGCACCCAAUUGAAAUUCAAGAGUUGCAUAUUAUUGAGUGCGACUAUUUGAGAAGCUUAGUCGAUGAUAAAUCUUCCUUCAAAAAUGCGAUUGACUUGAAGGUUUGUAGUAUUUGGGGGUGUGAAGGGAUAGAGUGUGUUGGUUCCCUGUCCUCUUUUGCCUCUUCAUCCGCUCAUCCAUUUCAAAGCUUCGAGGUGUUGGAUCUUCGAUUUCUGCCAAAGUUGAGUGCCCUUAUUAUGAAAGAUGAAGGAAUUUGUUCAGCAACAACAUCAACAUUGGCUCCGUCUGCCACCUUUUCCCAUCUCAAGGAAAUUAAGAUAGUGAGCUGCUCAAGUAUGAAGUCGUUGAUUCCACAUUGGUUGCUACCAAACCUCCAAAACCUGGAAGAAAUAUUAGUGGAUCAUUGUGAUGAGUUCGUAGAAAUAUUGGGAGCAGAAACAUCAGAAGUUGAAGAAAAAGGGUGUGAUGCAUUAAUCAAAUUCCAUCUUCCCAAAUUGAGAGAAUUGAGUCUACGUAGGUUACCAAAUUUGAAGAGCAUUUGCAGCAAAAGUGGAGUGAUGGUUUGCGAUUCUCUCCAACUUAUCCAAGUUGCUAGAGACUGUUAUAAACUGAAGAGAAUUCCUCCAUUUGUUCCCCUUGUUGGCAAUGGGCAACCAUUUGCAUAUGCUCCACCUUCUCUUACCAUCAAGUCAAGGAAAGAAUGGUGGGAAUCGUUGGAGUGGGAUGGCCAUCCAAACUUUAAAAAUGUUCUUCAACCCCUUUGGAAGGAUGAAAGGUAUGAACCAUUUAUAGUGUAGUUCAUUUUUUUAUUUUGAUAAAUCUAAUUUCUCCAUAUUAAUAAAAUUUGAAGUAUAUUUGUGAUGUUGAUGAAGAGAAAGAGAAAAGGGUUGGUGGGAAAGAAGUAGGGGGGAGGAUAAUGCAAAAGAGAGGAGAAAAGGAAUGAUGGAAGGAAGAGGUUAAGAGCAUAAAUAAAUAAGAAAUCAAACUGCCUCCACUUUUUAAGCAUUGUCCCUCUCACCAUUCCUUCUAUUCUCUUAUUCUUCUCUAAUAUAUAUAUACUUCCCAAAAUAACCUUCUAAAUAUUUAUGAUUAAAAUAUUUAUAUUAAUCAAAAUGAUUUAAGGUGAGACAAAACUAUAAUCAUAGUUUUUUCUUUUUCCAAUAAAAGUUCGGAAAGUAAUGUAAAAAGACAUAAUAAUUUUUAAUUUCGAUGUAAAAUUUCUGGAAACAUUAAGAUUUAAAAAAUAAUAAAUGCUUUUUUUUUAGAACAUAAUAUUUAUUAAACAAUAUAAUUGGAUUCAUUCAUAUGUAAACGUAAUCAUAAAGAGUAAAACAAUAAUGUACGUACUUUCAUAAAAGUAUGAUUUUAGAAAUUAAAAGUGGAAAUUAAAUAAGACAAAUUCUUUUUCUUAAGUAAUAUAAAAAUGGUAGGGAUUAACAUAGUUAAUCCACGUUUCCCAUAUAUAAAAGACAUUUUCCUUUUUCUUUUAAUUUGUGAUGGAUAAGUUGGAAAAUAAAAAUAAAAAAAACUUAGUUUCCUUCUUUUUUUUUUUUUCUUGCUUCAUUUUGUUGUCCGACUUUUAUUUUGAAGCUGAAGGUUUAAUUUUUUUUUAUUCUAAAUACCGAAAAUAUCAUAAGUUCUCAAUAAUUGUGUAGUUUGUAACGCUAGAAAGUUUACAUUUUUAAAAAAGAAAAAGUCAAAAUAGGAUGUUUUUGUUGUCAAGAGAGGCAUAGAUAUAGAGAUUCUGAAUAAAAAAAAAAACUUCGACUUUUUUUAUUUUACAUUGGCGUAAUGCCCCAAAUUUUAUGAAUUCUAGUUGUUAAGCAUGUUAAGUAAUUUGAUUGGGUGUGGUGGUUAAGUGCCUUGAAUGUUUGUUUUAAGUCUUGAGUUCAAUUUUUUUUUAAUUUUUCCUAUUUAUUUUGGUAUUAUGUUCAACUUAAGCCUUAGGGCUUAUCUCUUAUUUUGAAUGAUGAGUAGUGAUAAGGCUUUAGGUUAUCACCAAUUUAAAUUCUAUAAAAUCUGGUAAGUUGGAUUUGGAUUAACUUAAAUCUUUUUAUUUAUUUAUUUUAGUUUAAUUUUACUAAAUCUCUAUUUUCACUCAUUGUUUCAACCGUCCACGCUCUCACCCCACUUUGUACGCUACUUUCUUUUGUUUCCUUAUUCGGCCGUUUAUCUUCUUUUCUCAUCCUUCUUUCUCCUCUUUGAUUAUUCCUAAAUACUACAGUUUAUUUUGUGAGUUCUGUCACUUGAAUCGUAUUCUGUUUGCAAUGUUAGUUUUAUUUGGUUACUUUUGUUAUAUUUCCAUUAAUAGUUUUGUUUUGUUUUGUUUCUUGAACAAGUUGAGUUUGUGUUGGUAUUUUCUGUUCGUUGUCAUGAUUAGUAUUUUUGUGGUUCUCGAUUAGGCGAAAGGUGUGAGAAUCCUAACAUUCCAGCAAAGUAGACACAAUUUUCGAUGUUGUUUUGGAUAACUAAGUAUUCAAAAUCUAUUUUAGGGGCUGAAAUUUUGAUUCAACGAUGUUAUUUUGGAUAAGUAUUGUUAGUUAAUCGGUGUGGUUUGAUGAACGUUUAUAGGAUUCGUGAGUUUCAAUUGAGCGGUUGAUCAAAUCAGCAAUGGGUUGAUGAAAUUAACCCGAAAACUCAAUUGAAACUCGAGAAAUCUAGGGGCCACGCGACUAUGUGGGAAUUUUGGCCAAUUUUAAGCCCUAAUUAGGGGCCGAUUAAAGGACUCAAUUAUUGGGCAUCAUAUAAGCCCAAAAAACUAUAAGUUUUAGUACGUAUAUAUACUUGGCUAAGCUUAGAAGGUAUGUUAAGUAGGUGGUAUAUAAAUCAUAUGCUACGUUAUGUUUCUUAUAAAAAUAUAUGUAUGCAUGUCAUACAAAUUAUGAUAUAUGUAUUUAUGGUAUUAUAAUUAUGAUUAUGCCUAUGUUUUGGGAUGGGUUAUGAUAUGAUGGAGGAAACGUUAUAUGAUAGUUUUUACCGCAACUAUGACGAUAAUACUAUAAAAUUUUUAUCUGAUAGCUCAGUUGCAUAUUUAUGAGUGACAUACUGCCACAUAUUGGUGUGAUUGGAUGGAUGGAUUCUUGGAGUCGUAAUUGGUGAUAUUGCUUGGACGGAGAUGAUAUGUAGCAAUUGGGGGUAUGAUAUGAUAUGAUGUGGGAUAUGAUAUGAUAAGAUAAGAUAUGAAACAUGCUAUAACAUGAUAUGAAAACUGAUAUGAUAUAAGAUAUGCUCCGAUAUGCUAUGAUACAUUAUGAUUUAUAUAUGUACUGCAAUGUGUGGGUCAAAUCACACGUUGGAUGUUAAGCUCACAUGUUUGUUUAUUUUGUUUCAGGUGAUCUUCAGACUUAGGAUUGGACAAUGACUCUAAAGCUCAUAUUUCACUCUUUCGGUUUAAGUAUGCAUUAGACUCUCUUUUGUUUAUGUAGACUUUUUGGGCUUUUGGAUAUUUUAAAUUUAUUUGGGACACUAAAAAUUAUUUUAGCAUUUAUUUUUCAGAAGUUUUAACUUUUACCCAUACUUAAAUCAAGACAACUAAAAAUAAACUAUAGUUAUAAGGUAAAUUUGCUAUAAUGCUUUCUGCUAUAAUGUUGUCCUCCGCAAGUUUUAUUUCAAUUUGCUAUAAUGUUGUCCUCCGCAAGUUUUAUUGAAAUUUGCUAUAAUGUUUUAUCUCACAAACAAAGUAAAUAAAUUAAAUGCAUUUUGAUAAAAUUAAUAAAUAUGGCUUUCUUCAAUGUACUCACGGGUUUUCAAAAAUGAUACGUCUUCAAUAGGUUUUCACUUGAGUUAAAUAGUUUUUUGCCAAAAUGAAGUAAAAUUGUUCUUUUAAUAAUUUUAAAACCAUUUAUUGGUGGUAUAUAAGAGAAAAUAAUGUUAUGUUAGUAUCUAAAUUCAUUUGGGCCGUCAUGUCAGAGGUUAAUGUUGACCGUUAAACAAAUAACAGCCACAUCAGCCUCUAUGUUAAAAACAAACCAAUUUGCUAGAAAUUUAAAUUUUACACUAUAAAAUUAAUUUUUAAAAUUAACUAUUCAAUUUGUAAUUGAUUUUAUUAAAUUAAAAUAUUCACUAAUGUUUAAAAAUGUUCUCCAUGUUUAUUAUACCCUUGUUUGUUCUUUUUUUUUUUAAUUAUUUAAGAUUUCAGUUAAAUGGUAAUCAAUAUAUAUUAAAAUAUUAGUUUUAUUGGUUGUAUUAUUUCAUUAAUGUUCUUAUAAUAUUAUUUCAUUUUUAUUUAUAGACACCAACUUUAAAAUUAGAAGAGGAUUAAUUUACGAGAAAAUAUGGCUCAUACUGUAAACAAUAAAUAAGAUAUUAUAAAUUGAUAUGAUUAAAAUUUAAAUAAUAUAGAAAGAGUAGCAAAAUAAAUUGAAAACAUUUGAUAUGGUCUAUAUGAACUAUAAUAAAAUGAUUAUAUAUUUUGAAAUGGUGAUUUGAGAGACAACUAAUCAAUCCUACUAUUUUGUCUUUUAUAAAUAAUUUGUGAUCAAAGAGCCAUCAAAGAUGACUCACAUAUGUUUUCCAAAGAUAUGAUAAAUAUAUAUAUAUAUAUUCCUAUCAAGCAAGUUGACAGCUAAAGGGUGCAAAUUUGACUUUGCUAAAUUCUCUAGCAUCAAAGAGGGAAGAUAUGUUGCAAACAAGACAUAAACCAAUAUCAACAUGGUGAUUCCAAAAUUCAAGACAGUAAACCCCUACUUUUGUAUGAUAGAGAUAAUAUGAUGUACAAAUUUACAGUCAUGGAAUGUAUUAGGUGCAUUGAAGAUAACUCAAUGUUAGAAUCAAAGAAAUUUAUCAUCAUUUUUGUUAAUUGUAAAAUUGUGCAUAAACUGGAAAAAAAUGUUUUGAUUGCCAUUAUAAGAAUUUCUUUGAAGUUAAUAGUUUGAGAGAUAAUUUUAAGGAGGAAUUGGAAGGCAUUGCUAUAAAGAGAAUCUCAAGAAAGUAAUUUCAUUUUGAGUUUCAAGUGAAAUGAAUGAAAGGAAAGGUUGCUUAAAUAAAUAUAGGAUUGGAUAUUGAGCUGUUUUGAAUAGUUAGAGCGAAGGACACAUAGACCAUAUGAAAUUCAAGUCUACCAAAAUAAUGCUAAUCAGAUUCCUCUUUGGAAAUGACAACUUUUCAAAAAAUUGUCAAUCUACCUUGAAAGGUGGCAUCGGUAAAAGAAUCAAUCAUGAAAUAUUAAAAUUAUACUAAAAUAACUAUAAAGAUUUAUUUCCCCUAUAAAUAAACAUUUUCUUAUUCUUCCUUAAAAAUUAACAUGAUUUUAUCUUAAUAUACAUGUAUAUAUAUAUGUCUCAGAAUAGCCUUCUAAAAUAUUUAUUUUAAAAAAUAAUUUAUAUAAUACAUAUAACAAUUAAUUAUAAACUUAUUUUGAUAUGAUGUCAAAAUUAAAUAUUAUAAUGGUCCUUUAUCACAUUCAACACUAACUUUUAUUUUAUAAUUUUUUAAAAAUAAACUUUAAAUUUUAUAAUAAAAAGGCUUCAAAUUUUAAAUUAAAAAUUUUAAGUCAAAUUUUAAGUUAAAAGAACAUGUUCUUUAGCGGCGCUUUUAAAAAUAAACGCCGCAAAUGUUUGUGGCGUUGUCAUGAAGCGCCGCAAAUACUUUUAGUGGCGCUAAAAAGCGCCGCUAAAGGCUUAAAAAAAUGCCGCUAAAAACCUGUUUUGGUGUAGUGCCUUGACCAGAGUCGGGUCUAUAUAGAUAAAGUUUUUUAUAAUUCAUGUCGGUCCAACUCAAAUUUAAUUUAAAUAAUACAAAAUUAUUUUUAAAAUUUAAAUUUAAUUAUAAAAAUAUACUUUUAUUUUUUUGAACAUUGAAACGAGCUUUUUAGGUAGAUCGAGUUGGGUCAAAAACGGGUUUGGACUUGAAAAUUUUUAGAUUAUUUUUAAGAGAAUAAUAAUAUCAAGGAGUCUAAUAAUUAAAAAUUUUAAAUUAAAAUUUUAUUGUUUGAAAUCUUCUAAUAACAUAAAAAAAUUAAACUAAAGUUUUUAAAAGAAUUUAGGGUAAAAUGCACCAUUCGUCACUCAACAAAGGGUCAAUUUUCAUUUUGGUCACUAAACUAAAAUAAGAUACAAUUUGGUCACUAAUGUUUCUAGAAAAAAAAUUUUGGUCACCCGACUGUUAAGUGGCACUUACUUUAGCUGGUAUGAUAACAAUUUUUGUCACAUUCCAAAAAUCAAGUUAGUAGAAAUUGGGUUAGUGAAACCAAGAGUGGUCACAUCCUAUUUUUGAGUUAAGAUUGUGAAAAUUACGUUAAGUAAAUUGAUUUAGUUAAGUGGUUAAGUGCUUUAGAUGUGUGUUUAAGGUUUUGUGUUCAAAUCUUUCCCCUUAAAUUUUCAUUGUAUUGUCCUAACUUCCAUCUCUAAACAUCUAGCUUAUAUAUUAUUUUUGUUCAAUUGAUUAUAAGAAUGAGUUUGCUCGUUUAGUGGUAAGGCUUUAGUUUACUUAGAGUUCUUAUGUGUGUAAAUUGGAAUUAUUUUUGUUUUUAAACUCUGAGAAUUUUUUUAUAAGGAUAACUAAUCAAAUUGAGUGGGGAAGUUUUCCACUUUCCUACAAAAUUUCCCCAAAAUUUGCCUCAUUCUGUUGUCCACUUCUUGCCACAUUGUUCACGUUUUCUUUUCCCUUUUUUUUUCCAUCUAAUGAUUUCUAUUUUCUUUUUGCUUUAGUAGUUUUGCUGCCUUCCUUUCUCAUCUUUACUCUACUAUUUUCUUUUAUGUUAUUCUAUUGGUAUGCUAUUGAAUCUCUGUUAUUCCUUCGAGUAAGUGUUGGUUAUUUGUUUUAUAUAAAUGUGGUGUUGGGUUAAUCUUUCAAGUGAUUGAUGGUUUCAAGUUUGAUCUUUGCAAUGUGUUGACAUUUGUUAAUUCUGCAUGUGCAUUAGGAUGAGAUUUGUGUUUAGGAGGAAGUGUGGGAGUUUAAUUCAUUUUCCAUAUUUGGUGGCUCAACCACAUAUAUUUUUGCAUUUGGCGAUGAAUCACCUAAUGAUCUGGCAACUAGGCUGCGAAUAUUUUGAAAAGUUUCAUACCGGCACUAAGCAGUGUGUAGGGUUUGAUGGGUAUUUAAUACCCUAUAUGGUGUGUAGGGAUAGUCAGAGAUGGUGUGUAGCGGAUCGGAGUGGGAUUGUAAUCUACAUUUAAUAUGUUCUGAUUAUGUUUCUGUAUAUGAUAUAUGUCUGAUGGACUUCCUAAAGCAUGUUUGAAAAUUAUAUCUGAUAUUUUUACUCUUAUAAGUUACACAUUGAGCUUGUAAGCUCACUCUCAGUUCCUCUUAUUCUUAAGUAAUCCUUAGACUUAGGUGGGUCGGUGCGACUGGAGCUCGAUUAAUUACUUCUUGUUAUAUUUGUGAUUUUAAUCUUGUUUAUUCUGUUUUGGUUUUGAACUAUUUUUAAGUUUAGGUUUAUUUUUGUUUUAUUUAUUUAUUUAAACAUUUUUGGCUGGUUUAAAUUCAAUCUGCAAAAUGUUAAAUUAUAUGGCAAAAAAUCGUGUUUUCAAAUUUGGACUCAAUUAAGAAUUUUCACUGCAAACAUAAGUGGUUUAUGAGUAAAUAAUUGAAAAUUUUAUCGAAAAGGUUAAGAAGGAUAUUUUCCCCAAAUAAACUCGAAUUUUACUUAAUAAGAGCUAGCAUUGUUUUAUAAGUUGAACGGAUUCUAGAUUUUCAAAUAAAUUGUAAUAACAUCUCCAGAUUUGCCCAUAACGUCUAGGCCGGAUUUGGGGUGUUACAGAGCCUAUAAGCUCACUUAGUGUUUCUAACUUCUCAAUUAAUCAACAUAUUUAGGACCAAACGACGUGCAGAAGAUCAGAUUGAGUUCUCAAUUAUUUAAGUAUGAUGGUUCAUGUUUUUAAAUUAUUCUGGACAGUCUGAUUUUUUUGGGGGGGUUGUAAAUCUUUUUCCGGAUUUUGCUUUGCUUAGUUGGAUUUAGUAAUUAUUACUUAAAACUACAAGAUUUUAUGUUUUACAAAUUAAGUCAUGGUUUUCAAAUUUUACUACUCUAAAAUUUCCACUACAAAAUAAAAUAAUCACUUAAGUGUUUUUCUAUAACAAAAUAAAUUGUUUUAAUGAUUGUUUUCUUAAAAACUAAAAAGCGAUUCGCCAGAAUUAAUAUUGUCAAAACACACAAUUUUAAAUUUAUUUUCUAGGUUUUUAAACAAGUUAAUGUAAUUCCUCCAGAUUCGGUCAUAACGUAUAAAUCAGGUUUGUGGCGUUACAAUUUUUGUUCUCAAUUUAUAUAUAUAUUUAUCAAUUUGACCCUGCUUUUAUAUAAAAAAAUUAAAAUCAUUUAUAAAAUAGAACAAUGUAUAUAAAAUUCUAGAAAAAUAAAAUCUUGAAUAUGUUGUCGAAGAACGAAAAUGUAUGAGAAAUAAAGAAAAGUAUCAUUCAAUAGAAUCCAAUAACAAAUUAGAAACAAAAUGAAAUUAAAAAGUUCAUUUUCAUGCUCUUGAAGAACGUCUAGGACUGAUAUUAUAGAGACUUAUAAAAUCGACCCGACUGUCAUUUUUUUGGUCAAAAGAAUACAAAAUAUACCACAAAAGUUUUUUCAAACUCAGUUCAAAUUUUAAUUACAUUUAAAUUAUUUUUCAAAACCCAAAUUGUAAAAACAAUAUGUGUUUCUUCUUCCAUGGUUGAGUUGGGCUUAGACAAGGUUUUUAUGUCACAAGUUGUUCCAACUCCAAUUCAAUUUAAAUAAUAAAAAAUAUUUUUAAAAUUUAAAUUUAAUUAAGAGUAUAAAAAUAUUUUUUAACAUUGUAUUAUUUUUUGAACUCUCAAAUGGACUUUUCUAGGUUGACUGAGCUUGGCUAAAAAUGGGUUAGGCUUGAAAAAAUUUUAGAUUAUUUUUAAGAGUAUAUCAAGGAGUCUAAUAAUUACAAUUUUUUUAAAAGGUUUUAAUAACACUAGAAAUCUUAUCACACGCAUAUAUCUUACUUUGCAAAUAAAAUAGUAUUUUUGGUAAUUUUCUUAUUGAGUUGGGACCCGAUUGAUGAGUGACACAAACUCAGUAAAAUGUUUAAUACAUGGUAUAGAUAAAACAAUUCUAAACUAAAAUUUUUAAAAGAAUUUAGGGUAAAAUUCAACUAUGGUUAAGUUUUCAUUUUGGUCACUUAAUUAAAAAAUGUUACAAUUUGAUCACUAAUAUUUUCGAAAUUAUUUUCUUUUUGUCACCCGACUGUUAAGUGGCACUUGUUUCAGGUGGUAUAAUAAUAAUUCUAGUCAUCAGUUUUUAUAUUUUCUAUCAAUUUGACUCUGAUUGUGUAUAAAAAAUUAUUUAAAAAACUCAAAAUAUUUAUAAAAUAGAAAAAUGUAGAUAAGAUUUCUGGAAAAAUAAAAUCUUGAAGUUGUUGAAUAACUAAACUGUAUGAAAAAUAAAGAAAAUUAUGAUUUAAUAAAAUGCAAUAACAAAUUAAAACAAAACAAAACAAAGUUACAUUUUGCACCUUAUACUUGUUCCUAAUAGCUAAUAUUCACAUAGUUUUUCAAUUCAGUCCAUUUUAGUGAUAAAUUCACUAAAUUCUAGUUAUAGCUAAACAUAUAGAUGAAAUCAAGUACAAAUUACACAUAAUAUAAAACCAGAUAGUAAGUUUCAUAUUUAAUGUCACACCCUAAUACAACUCAUUCACUUGUAUAUUUAAUUUCAAGUUGUAUAUUGAAUACUGACAACUUCAACAAUGCAAAAAAUUUAGUAAUGGGGUGCGAAUAACUAUACCUAAUGCAACUCCUUUACUUGUAUAUUUAAUUUCAAGUUGUAACUUAUAAUUAUGCAUUCUUAUACCCUGCCGUCCCAACUAUUAUUAUUAUUAAAUAUUAUUUAUUGCCAACUUCAAUGAUUUUGUUUUGAUGUCCAAGGUCUAUCCCCAAAUUUCAAGCAUCCUGUCAAGCUAAUUUUCUUUCAUUUGCUUAAUCCAUCACAUGCUUUUCUUUGCUUGAUUCAUGACUUUGCAAUUUCACACCCUAAUACAACUCAUUCCUAAUACAACUCAUUGACUUGUAUAUUUUAUUUCAAGUUGUAACGUAUGAUUAUGCAUUAUUAUACCCUGCUGUCCCAUACUUUUCCAUUAAUUAUUAGAUUUAAUGAUAAAUUUAGCCUUUAACAUUAGAUUAUUUUAUUAAAAUGGCCCUAAUUGUGUUUUUGAGGGUUUUUUUUUUUGCUUAUCAACCUUCGUUCUUUUUUUUUUAGGUAUCUGAUCAGCUGAACCGCUAAAGCGAUUGAAAGCUUGGUAGAUUAUUAUGUUCCGAUGCUACAAAUUCAACUUUGGUUUCCUUACUUCAUUAGACAGUUUCAUUAUAGUUUGCCUAUGUGUAGAAAGCUUAGGAUACGACACAAAAUAUGCAUAACAUUCUAUCCAACAUUAGAACGGUACAAAAAAAAAGUUAGUUAUUAUGAUGGAAAUGUCAUCCUUGUUCCUCUUAACAGCUUCCUUAGUUAGGUGCUUUGCUGCAGAUCGAGCAUCCUUAAUGCCUUUGAUAGCAUCGACAGCUUCUUGGUAACGGACCAUUAAAUCUCAGGUUCAACAUGUAGGUUCAAUAAAAGAAAAAUGUGAUUAGAUAGGGCUUACCUUCCAUAAACCAUCACUAGCCAAUAUUUUAAGGUCGGUAUCAUCGUCGGUUGUUUCAAUGCUCACAUCUGGCUCCGAAGUAAGAUGUUUCUUUAAACUCUUGUCACCAAAUGCUCUUGCCACCGCCAGCUGACCAUCAACAGGCACGACAUCCCCUGAAACAAAAACAAUAUCAGGAAAAGAUGGUGUAACCUUGAGCGUCAUCCCCAAAAGAUCAGGCACCCAUUACCUGGAAUCCAAUAUAUAUUUUUUUGGACCCAUAUCAUGGUUUCAAACAGGUCAUUAGAAAAUUUUGUAAAACCUUAAAAAGAAUAACCAGUACCACACUAAGGUAUCUCUUGUUCUUAAAAAGAAUAAACAGUUCAUUGAAUAACUAAAUUGUAUGAGAAAUAAAACAAAUUACCAUUCAAUAAAAUCCGAGAACAAAUUAAAAACAAAAUAAAACCAAAAAAAGCUUCCUCAUUGUUUCUCAAAAUCAAAUUAGUAAUAUUAUCAAGUUGAGUUUCAUGCCCUUGAAGAACAUCUAGAACUCAUAUUACCAAGUCUUAUGAAAUUGAUCCUAAUGCCAUUUUUUUAGUCAAAAGAAUACAAGAUAUAUAACUAAAUUUCCUUUUUCAAACUUAAUUCAAGUUUUCAUUACAUUUAAAUUAUUUUUCAAAACUCAAAUUAUUAAAAUAAAUUAUAUUUAGAAACAAAAUUUUAUAACGUAAAAGCUAUGUCAAGAAACAUAGAACAAAUAAUUUUGCUUAAUGUUUUUCUACGUUUUUUACUAAAGAACGUGUAUUGGAUAUUUCGAUACAGAUAAUAUAAAUAAAUUUUGUACGGCUUAAAAACAAUUAUCUCUCAUUUUCUCUCACUUUAUUUAUUUUUGAAUAUUUUAUCUACUUUUAUUUAAUUUUUUAUUUUAUAAUGUUCUAAAUUUUUUUAAAAAAAUUAAUUUUUACCACUUUAUAUAUUAUCAAGAUCAAAUUGACUAAAAGUAUAAAAUUUGAGGAUUAAAAUUGUUAUUAUAUCAAUUAAAAAAGUGUCACUUAACAUUUGAGUGACAAAAAAAUAAUUUCAAAAACAUUAGUGAUGAAAUUGUAACUCUUUUAAUUAAGUGACCAAAACAAAAAUACCCAUAGUUUAGUGACUAAUAGUGUAGCCUUUUUUUGGUAAAAUGAAAAUUUGACCCUAAUUUUAUAUAAAAAACUCAAAAUUAUUUAUAAAAUAGAAAAAUGUAUAUUAUUCAACAUAGGGUUUUUUAUCCAAAUCAUACAAAAAUAAUAAUUAAUGACGAAAAUGAUAUGGAAAAUAAAUUAAUUACAAAAACAAGUCAUUUGUUUCGAUGUUCUGCUGGUGUUGUCUGACAUAUUGGCAACACCAGACUAAAAUGUGAUGACCAAAAAUAUUCAAAGACUUGAUAUGUAAAUUUCUCAUUUUGAUUAUCUGUUGAAAAUAAGCUCUAAGGGUGUUGUGUGACAGUGUGGCGGCUCAAAAUCUUAAAUAGUUUUAAUACUUGCAAAAUCAAUACUUCAUCCAAUACAUUCACAAAUUUUCAUUGGUUUUAUUUGUUUUGUUUUAGCUUCUUCUUUUUUUAAUUGUUUUAUUUUUAUUUUUAUUUUACUUUUUUUCCAUUUAUUAUCUUUUGAAUUAUAAUUUUAUUUUUAUGGUUGUUUCUAAAGUUGUAACCUUUUAAUCUUCUUCAGUAUUUGUGUUUAGUUUCUUGUUAGUUUGCUCAAAACUAUGCACUACACCUUCAGUUGCCUACAAUUCCAGUUUUGCAAUUUUAUAUAUAUUAAGGUAGUUUCAAUUUUCUCCCUCUCUUAUGAUAUUCUACUUAGUUUGUGUUUAUAUCUGGUUGUACAUUGAGCACAAUGUACAUUUUAAGUGUGGGGAGGUUAUUUAUAUAAUUAUUAGAAAAUUCUUGAAUUAUUUGUGGUACUUAAGUAAUUUUCUCAUGCUUCCAUUAGAAUGAAUUUUUAUCGAUUUGAGAUUUUUAUUGAUAUUGUUUUGGAUUAAUUUGUAGAUACUUGUGUAUUGGUUGAUUUAAACUUUAAGACAUAAGAGAAUCAAGCACGAUAAGUUAUUUUUUACAAAACAAAUUUCAGUUGUUUCCCUAAAUUUAAGUAUUAUUUUGAAGUUUGAGAUUUGCAAGUUUGACGUCAAAAACUAUGAUUUUUUUUUGAGAUUUUGAGAUUUUCAGCCACUAAGUCAGGUAAUAAGACUGAAGCUAUGAUUUCCUCUGCUGAUUAUCAACAGUUUUAGAUUUCAAGACUGGAUGAUCAGCAGACAUAAUCUACUUUAGAUAGAAAUUAAUACCAAAAGAGCUACCCAGAAGCAAUAUAAUGUUGAAAUCCCAAACUGUUGAACAUUUUACCUCUUUAAUGUUAAAACUCAUUGCUAAUACAACUCAUUGACUUGUAUAUUUAAUUUCAAGUUGUAUAUUCAAUACUGACAACUUCAACGAUGCAAAUCAUUUAGUAAUGGGGUGCGAAUAACUAUACCUAAUGCAACUCCUUUACUUGUAUAUUUAAUUUCAAGUUGUAACUUAUAAUUAUGCAUUCUUAUACCCUGCCAACUAUUAUUAUUAAAUAUUAUUUAUUGCCAUCUUCAAUGAUUUUGUUUUGAUGUCCAACGUUUAUCAUAACAUUUCAAGCAUCCUGUCAAGGUAAUUUUCUUUCAUUUGCUUAAUCCAUCACAUGCUUUUCUUUGCUUGAUUCAUGACUUUGCAAUGAUUGUUUCUGAUUAUCUGCUAUUCUUCGGAGCUAGCUUUGUAAGACAGUCAAGGAAGAAGUGAACUUCACUGCUUCAUUUUUAGUUCUAUUCUCUCGACACUUUUCAGCCACUAAGUCUGGUAAUAAGAUCUGAAGCUAUGAUUUCCUCUACUGAUUAUCAAUAGUUUUAGAUUUCAAGACAAGAUGAUUAGCAGACAUAUUCUACUCUAGAUUGAAAUUAAUACAGAAAGAGCUACCCAGAAGCAAUAUAAUGUUGAAAUCUCAAACGGUUAACAUUUUAGCUCUUAAUAUUCUGUAAUGAACUGUUGCACACUUGAAUCUAGCAUUCUAUAUACAUCGAGAGCUUAAUUCUGGUGACCAGAAUUUCAUCAUGUUCCUGUCUGCCACCCAUCCAUAGCUCCAUCUAAUAAACGCCAUUGCUUGAAACUUGCUUUCAUGUUUUCCUUUUCAUGCUUACACCGACAUAUCAAUACUUCAUAAAAUAUCCAAUCCAUUCAAAGAUUUUCAUUCUCUGCUACUGUUAUAUAUGAUUGCAUUACAGGGACAUAGCAAUGGAGUAUGUAGAGCUUGUUGUCAGCAUUGCAAAUUGUCUCGGAACUCCUGUUUGUAAAUAUUUGCAAUAUCACAGAAAGCUGAACGAUUAUGUGAGAAACUUCAAGAGGAUCAGAGAUGAAUUGAAUUGCAAAAUGGAAGAUAUAGAGCUGUAAUUGAAAGCAGAGCUUCUUUGUCCUCUGGGGAAGAUACCGAAGAAGGGAGUUGAAAAUUGGUUGAAAGCUAUGAAAGAGAUAAUUAGGGAAGCACAAGUUGUUGAAAACAAAGUCAGUAACGGGAGAUAUCUCUGUCGUGCUUGCAACGGGAAGCUGGUUGAUGAAAAGACUCAAGAAAUGGAGGAAUUUCUUGAUAACUCUCCUAAUGCCUCUGGAGGUCUUGCCAUAGAUGGUCUAAGUGCUGGGUUGCCGCUGCCAACAUCAGAACUAGUUGGAGAAGAAGCUGUCAGAAAUGAGAUUUGGGCAUGUUUGAUGCAGGAGGAGGUGAGCAAGAUUGGGGUUUGGGGGAUGGGCGGUGUGGGUAAAACCACUAUCAUGAAGCACAUCCACAAUGAUAUUUUGAAACAACAUAGAUUCGAAAGAGUAAUCUGGGUUACCAUAUCAAAGGAGUUCAAUGUAAUGAAGGUACAAGAUAAUAUUGCAAGUGCGUUGAAGGCGAAAGAAUAUUUAGACAAAGAAGAGGACAAGCUCAGACGAGCAGCAAUCUUGUCAGAAAUGCUGAAGAACGCAGGAAAGCAUGUUCUAAUCCUAGAUGAUGUGUGGGAUAAAGUCUCUCUAGAGGAAGUUGGGAUCCCAGAGCCGAGUGGCAGCUCUGGCUGCAAGUUGGUAUUGACAACCCGUUCGGAGCAUGUCUGUAAGUAUAUGGGUUGUAAGGUGAUAAAAGUGAAGCCCCUUUUAGAAGACGAGGCAUUGAUACUAUUCUUGAAUAAAGUUGGACCUAACAUAGUUCAAAGUCCAACUAUAAUGCCAACUCUGAAGCUUGUUGUCAAGGAAUGUGCGGGUCUACCUCUUACAAUUGUCAUGGUAGCUGGUACCAUGAAAGGAGAAUAUAACCCUCGUAUUUGGAAAAAUGCACUCAAAGAUUUGAAAGAAAGAAUAGGGAAAGUGGAAGGAGUAGAAGCUGAGGUAAUCGAGCGCUUGAAAUUUAGUUUCGAUCACUUGAAAGAUGAGAAAGUAAAAGAUUGCUUCUUGUAUUGUGCUUUAUAUCCUGAAGAUUAUGAAAUUCAUAAGGUUGAACUAAUCGAGUGUUGGAUUGCUGAGAUAUUCAUAGACGAGAUGGACACUAGACAAGAAAUGGAAGAUGAAGGCCUUACUAUUUUGAAAAGGUUGGAAGAUAACUGCUUGUUGGAAAAUAAUACCACUCAAUUUGGUUUACAUGGUAUAAAGAUGCAUGAUGCAGUGAGAGAGAUGGCAUUGUUGAUCACAAGAAUGAAUCCUCGAUAUAUGGUACAAGCAGGCUUGCAAUUAGAAGAGUUACCAAAAAAGGAGAAAUGGAGUCCGGAUAUUGAGAAAGCAUCGCUUAUGUGUAACUACAUAUCAGAAAUUUCCAUAGAUGUGCUGCCCACAAAAUGUUAACUGCUCACAACCUUGUUAUUGCAGGAGAACCCUAUAAAGAAGAUCUCAAUUUCUUUCUUCACAAACAUGCCUUGUCUUAGUGUUCUCAAUUUGUCCUCUACAAAGAUCAAAAGUUUACCAAAUUCCAUCUCUGAACUAAAGAACCUCACAACAAUGUUGCUUCGUGGCUGUCGAGAAUUAAGAGAUCUGCCAUGUCUUUCGAUGCUUCAAGAAUUGAAGAAGUUGGGUCUUUGUUGGACUAAAAUUGAGGAAGUCCCUGAAGGAAUGGAUUUGCUGAUAAAGCUAAGAUAUCUUGAUCUUGAAGUGUUCACUCUGAAAGAGAUACCCGCUGGACUUUUACCAAAACUUGUUCACCUUCAGCAUUUGAGUUUUGAUGUGGACAAUGAAAAAACAAGUCUAAAAGUAGAGGAGAUGGAACCAUUGAAGAAGUUGGAGUACUUUACCGGACGUUUUGAAGAAUUCGGUGAAUUGAAUAAGUUCAUCUCCUCAAUGCAACAAAGUAAGAAAAAUCUCAUCAAGUACUCUUUACACGUUGGCUCAUAUAGUAUGGGUUGUGAAAGGGGUAAAAGUGUAUCAAUUGUGUUAGAAAAAAACAGCAGCAACAAUGAACAACAAAGAGCAUAAGCUCAUGAAAACAGCAAGCAAAAAUUGAUAGGCUAAAAAAUAGCCGAAUGAGAAAGUCCACACUUUCAUUUCCAUUACAAAAUAUAUAAGAAUUACAAAAAUGGAAUGUUUACCUAACAAUUUCCACUAAAUUUGGCAACUUGCCAAUUAAUAAUUAAAAAGAUGAAAGCAUUAUAACUAUCAUUAUGAAAGCAUAUUAGUUAUCAUUAUGAAAGCAAAAGAUGAAAGCAUUAUAGCUAUCAUUAUGAAAGCAUAUUAGCUAUUAUUAUGAAACCAAGUUGCAUAUCAACUUGUUUCAAUUAUAGCUAUCAUUACAAAUAUUAAAAAUAAACAAAAUAAACAAAAUGCACCAAGUUGCUCCUUUGUUGCUUUACAGUCCAUGUUCAACACUCCUCCUUGGACUGUAGGCAACAAACACCAAUUGAUUUCCUUAGAAAUUCAAACCUGAUUGUGCCAAGAGGCUUUGUCAAAAUGUCAGCCAAUUGAUCUUGUGAGCUGCAAUGUAUUAGACUCACUUCUUUGGAUUGGACAACUUCUCGAACAAAGUAAAACUUGAGCUUAAAAUGUUUGGUUUUGCCAUGAAAAACAGGAUUUUUAGAGAUGGCAACUGCUGACUGGUUAUCCACCAAAAUUUCAGUAGGCUCGAGCUGUUCUUCAUUCAAAUCACAUAGCAACUUCCUAAGCCAAAUGGCUUGAUUCACUGCUGCAGCUGCUGCUAUGUAUUCGGCUUCAGCAGUAGACUGAGCAACAGUUUGUUGCUUCUUUAAACUCCAACUGAAAACUCCCGAACCAAGUGUAAAGAAGCAGCCUGAAGUACUUCUCAUAUCAUCAACUGAUCCACCCCAGUCACUAUCUGAGUAGCCAGUUAAUUUCAGCUCACUUCCUUUCUUGAACAUUACACCAAACUUCAAAGUACCUUUGACAUACCUGAGUAUCCUCUUUGCUGCUUUCAAAUGAGUUGAAUUGCAGCUGUGCAUGAAUCUAGACAGUAGACUAACUGAAUGCAUAAGGUCAGGUCUGGUUGCUGUCAAGUAAAGUAAACAUCCAAUCAGGCUUCUAUACUCCUUUUCAUCUACCUUUUCUUCAUUUCCAAAGCUGCUUAGUUUCUCUCCCACAGCUAAUGGUGUGCUCACUGGUUUGCUGUUUUCCAUAUGAAACUUAGUGAGAAUUUUCAAGGCAAAUGCAUGUUGGCUGAUAAAAAUGCCUUGAUCAGACUGGUCUACUUCCAUACCAAGGAAGUAAGUCAUGAUUCCCAAGUCUGUCAUGUCAAACAUGUCUUGCAUAUUCUUCUUGAACUCCUGAAUCAAAUCGACCCUGCUUCCAGUCACUAAUAGAUCAUCUACAUAUAUUGAGACAAUCAGCAAAGUCUCAUCUGUGAACUUCUUUAUAAACAAAGUUGGCUCACUCAAACUUUUCUCGAAAUUGAGCUUAGACAGGUAAGCAUCUAUCCUGUCAUACCAGGCUCGAGGAGCCUAUUUUAGUCCAUAGAGUGCCUUCUUCAGCUUGUAAACCUUGUCCUCCUUUCCUUGGACUUUAAAUCCAUCAGGCUGUUCAACAUAAAUCUCCUCUUUAAGGAAGCCAUUCAGGAAAGCUGACUUGACAUCAAGCUGAUGGACCUUCCACUGUUUCUGUGCAGCCAAAGCAAACAGGAGCUUUAUGGUGUCCAGCCUUGCUACUGGAGCAAAUGUCUCCUCAAAAUCAAUGCCAAACUGUUGAUUGUACCCUUUCACCACAAGCCUUGCCUUGUGCUUGUUCAAAGAGCCAUCAGCAUUGAAUUUGGUCCUGAAAACCCAUUUGACACCUAUGACCUUCUUCUGAUCAGGUCUGUCUACCAGAUCCCAAGUGUCAUUCUUAUGGAUCAUGUCGAUUUCAGCCUCCAUAGCCUUCUUCCAGCUCUUGCUUCUUGCAGCUUCUUCAUAGCUUGAAGGCUCAACAAUGGCCACAUUGCAUCUUUGGUAGAUAUCAGCAAUAGACCUGGUCCCUCUCACAGGAGUAUCAUCUAUAUUGGCAUUACUGACUUCAUUUUCUGCCAAUUCCAGAUUGUUGUCAAUCUGCUCUUCUUCAAACUGACUUGUGUUAGAGCCAUCUAGACUCCAAAACCUUCCUUCAUCGAAUUUGACAUCCCUGCUUACCAAAAUCUUCUUGGUUGAAGGAUCAAAUACUCUGUAGCCCUUCUUGCAGCUACUGUAGCCAACAAAUAUACCAGGAACUGAUCUCUUCUCAAGCUUGGUUCUUCUUUCUGCAGGGACAAGUACAAAACACAUGCAACCAAACACUUUUAAAUGGGAAACUGUUGGUUUAAGAUCAUACCAUGCUUCAAAAGGAGUUUUAUCAUUUAAAGCAUGUAUUGGCAGCCUAUUGAGCAGGUACACUGAGGUGUUGACACCUUCAGCCCAAAAAAUGUUUGGAAGCUUGCUUUGAAACAACAAACACCUGGUCAUGUUCAUCACUGUUCUGUUCUUCCUUUCACAUACUCCAUUUUGCUGAGGAGUAUACACUGUGGUCAAUUGAUGAUGAAUCCCAGCCUGCUCACAUAGCUUCUGAAAUCUUUCAGACAAGUAUUCAGAACCAUUGUCUGUCCUCAAGGCCUUAAUCCUGCAGCCUAUUUGAUUUUCUGCCAAUGCCUUGAACUUUCCAAAAACUUCAAACACUUCUGACUUUUGUUUCAUGAAAUAAACCCAGCAAAAUCUGGUCAGAUCAUCAAUAAACAGUAUAAAAUACUUACUGCCAUUCAGUGAAGGAGUCUUCAUUGGUCCACAGACAUCUGAGUGCACCAAUUCAAGUCUUUCUCGAGCCCUCCAUGCUUGGUUUACUGGAAAAGGCAACCUGGCCUGUUUACCAAGCUGACAUACUUCACAAACAGACUCAUUUACAUCAACCUUAAUCAUGUCCUCUGUCAAACUCAUCUUGUGCAGCAAAUUGAGUGACCUGAAAUUGACAUGGCCAAAUCUUCAAUGCCACAGAUCAGCAUUGUCAACUGAACUUGUAUAGGCUCUUCUCUCAAGUUGGCUCACAUCAAACAUAAAACACCUAUCUGCCAUGGGUGCUGAAACAACUUCUCUACCAAGAGUAUCAUUAAUAACACAAGAAUCAUUCUUGAAAACUAGAGAGUAGCCUUUCUUAACCAGCUGACCUACACUAAGUAGAUUUUGAUCUAUUUCAGGUACAUAAAGCACAUCUGAAAUAACCUUGUUACCUGAACUGGUGUUGAUCACAACAUCACCUCUGCCUUUAGCUUCAAUCAGAUUCCCAUUGCCUAUUCUGACCUUUGAAGCAAAACUCCUGUCAAGAUCCUUGAACAGGCUCUCAUUUGAUGCCAUGUGAUGUGAGCAGCCACUAUCCACAAGCCAACUGCAUUUGGAUUUGCUUGUGGUUGUAGAACAUGAGGCAGUGAAGACAUGCUCCUCCUGAGCUUGAAGAUCUUCAGCAGUCUUGGCUUGUACUGGCAGAGUUUGUGACUUUUCUUGAUUUCUACAAAUCUUUUCAUGAUGACCAUACUGCUUGCAGCUCUUGCAUUGGAUGUCUGGUUUGUUCCAGCAAUACUUCUCCAAAUGGUUAGUCUUCUUGCAGUGAACGCAUGGUGGAAACCUCCUUCUACCGACAUCUUUCUUUGAUCUUUCCCUCUUUUCAAACCAAGGCUUCUUAUAUUAAAAUUAUGUUAAAAUAACUAUAAAGAUUUAUUUCCCCUAUAUAUAAACAUUUUCUUAUUCUUCCUUAAAAAUUAACAUGAUUUUAUCUUACUAUUUAUGUAUAUAUAUAUUUACGUCUCAAAAUAGCCUUCUAAAAUAUUUAUUUUAAAAAAUAAUUUAUAUAAUACAUAUAACAAUUAAUUAUAAACUUAUUUUGAUAUGAUGUCAAAAUUAAAUAUUAUAAUGGUCCUUUACCACAUUCAACACUAACUUUUAUUUUAUUAUUUUUUAAAAAAAUAAACUUUUAAUUUUACAAUAAAAACCAUACAUAGGCUUCAAAUUUUAAGUUAAAAACAUGGGAUAAUAGUUUACUAUAGCCCCAUCCAUGGGCCCUCGACCAAAGUCGGGUCUAUAUAGAUAAAGUUUUUUAUAAUUCGGGUCAGUCCAACUCAAAUUUAAUUUAAAUAAUAAAAAAUUAUUUUUAAAAUUUAAAUUUAAUUAUAAAAUAAUACUUUUAUUUUUUUUAACAUUGAAACGAGCUUUUUAGGUAAGUCGAGUUGGGUCGAAAAUGGGCUUGGACUUGAAAAUUUUUAGAUUACUUUUAAGAGAAUAAUAAUAUAAUGGAGUCUAAUAAUUAAAAAUUUUGAAUUAAAAUUUUAUUGUUUGAAAUCUCCUAAUAACAUUAAAAAAUUAAACUAAAGUUUUUAAAAGAAUUUAGGAUAAACUACACCAUUAGUCACUCAAAAAAUGGUCAAUUUUCAUUUUGGUCACUUAACUAAAAUAAGAUACAAUUUGGUCACUAAUGUUUCUAGAAAAAAAUCUUGGUCACCCGACUGUCAAGUGGCGCUUACUCUAGCUAGUAUAAUAACAAUUUUUAUCACAUCCCAAAAAGUAGGUUAGUAGAAAUUGGGUUAGUGAAACCAAGAGUGGUCACGUCCUAUUUUUGAGUUAAGAUUGUGAAAAUUAUGUUAAGUAAAUUGAUUUGGUUUAGUGGUUAAGUGCUUUGGAUGUGUGUUUAAGGUUUUGUGUUCAAAUCUUUUCCCUUAAAUUUUUAUUAUUUUUGUCCUAACUUCCAUGUUUGAACAUCUAGCUUAUAUAUUAUUUUUGCUCAAUUGAUAAUAAGAAUAGUUUGUUAGUUUAGUGGUAAGGUUUUAGUUUAUUUAAAGGUCUUGUGUUUGAACCCUAUAUAAGUAAUGUGGAAAUUUUUUUUAUAGGGAUAACUAAUCAAUUUGAGUGGGGAAGUUUUCCAUUUUCCUACAAAAUUUCCCCAAAAUUCUCCUAAUUCUAUCGUCCUCUUCUUGCCACAUUGUUCACAUUUUCUUUUCCCUUUUCUUUUUCCAUCUACUGAUUUCUAUUUUCUUUUUGCUUCAGUAGUUUUGCUGCCUUCCUUUCUCAUCUUUGCUCUAAUAUUUUCUUUUGUGUUAUUCUAUUGGUACGCUGUUGAAUCUCUGUUAUUCCUUCGGGUAAGUGUUGGUUAUUUGUUUUAUAUAAAUGUGGUGUUGGGUUAAUCUUUCAAGUGAUUGAUGGUUUCAAGUUUUAUUUUUGCAAUGUGUUGUUAGGAGAAGAUCGAUAGACUCGUGAAUUGUCUCCAGCAGUUUAUGUCUGGGAAAGGGCUAUUGUUUUUGCAAGGGUAAGUGAUUAAAGUUUUCAAUUGAAGGUUGAUUUGGUUGCUUAGGCUAAGUGUUUAGCAUUUGCAAUUGAAUUAGUGACUUGGAUGUAGCACAUUACUAAUAAUUCUUAGGUUCUAAAAUGUCGGUUUAGGUACUAGAAUCCUCAUAGUGGUGUUAGCAUCGAAAACCGACCAAGUGUGUAACAAAAAUAUUAAAAAAUAGUGAACGGCACGAUGUCAAAAAACCCACUAUCGACGUCACACAGCCAUGUGCCAGGUUAUGUGGGUCAUAUAGGCUGAGUUAUUUGGGCCGUGUGGGCUACACAGGUGUGUGUUAAGCUGUGUGCUAGGUUGUGUAGGCCACAUGGGUUAGGUCAGUUAGGUCGUGUGGGCCCAUUUUUUGUAUAAUCUCGUCAAGGUCGUAUUUGAAGUGUGAUUUGAAAUUCGUUACUUCGUAAGUUCCGAAAUGUGUUAUGUAUGCGUUCUAAAUACAAAAUUUGAUAUUUUAUUUCUGUUAAUGUGAUUUUUGAAGCAUAUUAUUCAAUAUUGACAUUGUACAUGUAACAUUCAAGAGCAUUCUGUGGUAUAAUUUAUGCUUCUGAUCUGUAAUUUGAGAAUCUAUUUAAGCAUGAUUCAUUUAUGUACAUCUUAGUAUGUAAAAUAUUUUGACAUAUGCAUUAGGGUGGGAUGAUGGUGUGAUGGAAGAAGUGUUUUGGCAGUUUAACUGCAUACUGAUGUUUAUAAGCCACCGUUGUUUGGCAACUCGGGAUAACUUAAUUUGUGGUUUAACCACAUAUCUAAUAUGGUGGCUUGACCAGACUUAUUGAUUUUGGCGGAAUACCGCAUUAUUUCUGGCAAUUUAACUGCGCUAUUUUAAAAAGUGAUAUAUGCUUACUUAUUGGUGUGAUGGAUGGAUGGGCUCUUAUAGUCCUAUGUGGUGUGUAUUGGUGGGACGGAGAUGGUGUGUAGUGGAUUGGGAUAGGAUUUAUUUCUGUGUCUGUAUUUGCAUCUGUAUUUGUAUCUACAUCUGAUUCUGCAUAUGAGAUUGCAUCUGUAUCUGAAACUGAAAUUAUAUAUGUAAUUGAAUUGUAUCUAUUUUUGGAAUUGUUACUGUAAUUGAGUCUAUUCUGCCUGUUUGGGUUGAGUUACACAUGUAAUUGUUACUGUAUUUGAGUCUAUUCUGCCUGUUUGGGUUGAGUUACACACUAAGCCUAUAAGCUCACCCAAGUUCUUUAACUUCUCAGGUAAUCGACAUACUUAGGACCAAACGACGUGCAGAAGCUCAUAUUGGGUUCUCAGUUAUUUAAGUAUGAUGGUUCAUGUUUUUAAAUUAUUCUGGACUUUCUAGAUUUUUUUAGGGGUUUGUAAAUCUGUUUCUGUAUUUUUCUUUAUGUUUUGGUUUGCUUAGUUGAAUUUAGUAAUUAUUACUUAAAACUACAAAGUUUUGUGUUUUGCAAAUUAAGUCACGAUUUUCGAAAUUUAAUACUUUGAAAUUUCCGCUACAAAAUAAAGUAAUCAUUUAAGUGUUUUUCUAUAAUAAAAUAAAUAUUUUUAAUGAGUGUUUUCUUAAAAACUGGAAAGUGAUUUGCCAGAAUUAAUAUUGCCAAAACACACGAUUUCAAAUUCAAUUUCUAGGUUUUUUAAAUAAGCUAAUGUAAUUCCUCCAAAUUUGGCCAUAACGUCUAGGCCAGAUUUGGGAUGUUACAAUUUUAGUCCUUAAUUUUUAUAUUUUUAUCAAAUUGAUCCUGAUUUUAUAUAAAAAUUAUAAAAAAACCUCAAAAUCAUUUAUAAAAUAGAAAAAAUGUAUAUAAAAUUCUAGAAAAAUAAAAUCUUGAAUAUGUUGUUGAAGAACUAAAUUGUAUGAGAAAUAAAGAAAAGUAUCAUUCAAUAGAAUCCAAUAACAAACUAGGCACAUAACAAAAUAAAAAAGUUAGAUCAUUACAUACUUCCUCAACGUUUCUCGAAACCAAAUUAGUAAUAUUAUCUAGUUGAGUUUCAUGCUCUUGAAGAACAUUUAGAACCGGUAUUACAGAGGCUUAUGAAAUCGACCCUGAUGUCAUUUUUUAGUCAAAAGAUUACAAAAUAUACCACAAAAUUUUUUCAAACUCAAUUCAAAAUUUAAUUAUAUUUAAAUUAUUUUUCAUAACCCAAAUUGUAAAAACAAAUUAUGUUUCUUCUUCCAUGGUCGAGUGGCUUGGACAAGGGUGUUAUGUCUUGAGCCAUUACAACUUGAAUUUAAUUUAAAUAAUAAAAUAUAUUUUUAAAUUUUAAAUUUAAUUAAAAAUAUAAAAAAAUUUUAAUAUUUUAUUAUUUUCUGAACUCUCAAAUGGACUUUUUGGAUUGACCAAGCUAGGCUAAAAAUGGGUUAGGCUUGAAAACAUUUUAGAUUAUUUUUAAGAGUAUAUCAAGGAGUCUAAUAAUUACAAUUUUUUUUGAAAGGUCUUAAUAACACUAGAAAUCUUAUCACAUGAUUAUGCAUGUGGAAAUCACGUAUUUAUAACACAGACUUGUGUUUAAAAAUAACAUACAAUGAAUACUGAAAAAUAUGAUUUGGAACUAAUUAAUAAUAACACGUGAAAUAUGUAUGAAAUUAAAAUAAAAAUUAGAUUAAAUUGAAAGUAAAACAAAAUCUAAACACAAACAAAUCAUAUUAAGAAUAGUAAAUGAAUACAAAUGUUUAUCAUUGUUUUGUCUUCAAUCCUGAGUUGGUGAUGCUAAAUCAAUAACAUUAUUUACAUACACAAAUAUAUAAAAAUUUAGAACACAAAUGUUUAUCUAUUAUAAAAGCAUGUAUGACAUGUACAUUUCUGACAUUUGUUAAUUCUACAUGUGCAUUAGGAUGAGAUUUGUGUUAAUGGAGGAAGUGUGGGAGUUUAAUUCAUUUGCCAAAUUUGGUGGCUCAGCCACACAUAUUUCUACAUUUGGCGAUGAAUCACCUAAUGAUCUGGCAGUUAGGCUGCGAAUAUUUUGAAAAGUUUCAUACCGACACUAAGCGGUGUGUAGGGUUUGAUAGGUAUUUAAUACCCUAUAUGGUGUGUAGGGAUGGUCGGAGAUGGUGUGUAACGGAUUGGAGUAGGAUUGUAAUCUACAUCUGGUAUGUUUUGAUUCUGUUUCUGUAUAUGAUAUAUGUCUCUUAUUGACUUCCGAAAGCAUGUUUGAAAAUUAUAUCUGAUAUUUUUACUCUUAUAAGUUACACAUUGAGCUUGUAAGCUCACUCUCAGUUUCUCUUAUUCUUAGGUAAUCCUUAGACUUAGGUGGGUCGGAGCGACUGGAGAUCGAUUAAUUAUCUUCUUGUUAUAUUUGUUAUUUUAAUCUGGUUUAUUCUAUUUGGUUUUGAACUGUUUUUGGAUUGUUUUUAACUUUAGGUCUAUUUUCGUUUUGUUUAUUUAUUUAAACUUUUUUGGUUGGUUUAAAUUUGAUCUACAAAAUGUCAAAUUAUAUAGCAACAAACCGUGUUUUCAAAAUUGGACUCAACCAAGAAUUUUCGUUGCAAACGUAAGUGUUUUACAAGUAAAUAAUCGACAAAUUUAUCAAAAUGGUUAAGAAGGAUAUUUUUCCCAAAUAAACUCGGAUUUUACUUCAUAAGAGCUAGCAUUGUUUUAUAAGUUGAACGGAUUCUAGAUUUUCAAAUAAAUUGUAGUAACAUCUUUAGAUUUGGCCAUAACGUCUAGGCCGGGUUUGGGGUGUUACAGAGCCUAUAAGCUCACCCAAUGUUUCUAACUUCUCAAUUAAUCAACAUAUUUAGGACCAGACGCCGUGCAGGAGAUCAGAUUGAGUUCUCAAUUAUUUAAGUAUGAUGGUUCAUGUUUUUAAAUUAUUCUGGACAUUCUGAUUUUUUUCGGGGGUUGUAAAUCUUUUUUCGGAUUUUGCUUUGCUUAGUUGGAUUUAGUAAUUAUUACUUAAAACUACAAGAUUUUGUGUUUUACAAAUUAAGUCAUGGUUUUCAAAUUUUAGUACUCUAAAAUUUCCACUACAAAAUAAAGUAAUGACUUGAGUGUUUUUCUAUAACAAAAUAAAUAGUUUUAAUGAUUGUUUUCUUAAAAACUGAAAAGCAAUUCGCCAGAAUUAAUAUUGUUAAAACACACAAUUUCAAAUUUAUUUUCUGAGUUUUUAAACAAGUUAAUGUAAUUCCUCCAGAUUCGACCAUAACGUAUAAACCAAGUUUGUGGCGUUACAAUUUUUGUCCUCAAUUUAUAUAUAUAUUAUAUAUAUUUAUCAAUUUGACCCUGGUUUUAUAUAAAAAAUUUAAAAUCAUUUAUAAAAUAGAAAUAUAUAUAUAUAAAAUUCUAGAAAAAUAAAAUCUUGAAUAUGUUGUUGAAGAACUAAAAUGUAUGAGAUAUAAAGAAAAGUAUCAUUCAAUGGAAUCCAAUAACAAAUUAGAAACAAAACGAAAUAAAAAAGUUCAGUUUCAUGCUCUUGAAGAACAUCUAGGACUGAUGUUACAGAGACUUAUAAAAUUGACCCGGAUGUCAUUUUUUGUCAAAAGAUUACAAAAUAUACCAUAAUUUUUUUUCAAAGCCAGUUCAAAUUUUAAUUACAUUUAAAUUAUUUUUCAAAACCCAAAUUGUAAAAACAAAAUGUGUUUUCUUCUUCCAUGGUUGAGUUGGGUUGGACAAGGUUUUUAUGUCACUAGCUGUUCCAACUCGAAUUCAAUUUAAAUAAUAAAUUUUUUAAAUUUUAAAUUUAAUUAAGAAUAUAAAAAUAUUUUUAAUAUUUUCUUAUUUUUUGAACUCUCAAAUGGACUUUUCUGGGUUGACUGAGCUGGGCUAAAAAUGGGUUAGGCUUGAAAAAAAUUUAGAUUAUUUUUUAGAGUAUAUUAAGGAGUCUAAUAAUUAUAAUUUUUUUGAAAGUUUUUAAUAAAACUAGAAAUCUUAUCACAGGCAUAUGCGUGUGAAAAUCACGUAUUUAGAAUACAUAUUUGCGUUUAAAAAGAACAUACAAUAAAUAAUGAAAAGUAUGAUUCGGAACUAAUUAAUAAUAACACAUGAAAUAUGUAUGAUAUUAAAAUAAAAAUUAGAUUAAAUUGAGAGUGAAACAAAAUUUAAACACAAAAACAAAUGAAUAUUAAAUGAAUACAAAUGUUUAUCAUUGUUUUGUCUUCAAUACUGAGUUGGUGCCAUGUUCAUUUGUGACGCUAAAUCAAUGACAUUAUUUACAUAUACAAAUAUAUAAAAAUUUAGAACACAAAUAUACUUAUUAAAGUUUCAAAUGAAAACCUUAAAUUGUUUUAGUUACAAUGUAAAUGAAAAAGCUUUAUAUGCUUGGUGUCCCCUAGUUCAAAUAUCAUUAUGGGUAAAUUUUUAUUGAUUUAUAAAAAAAUAUAUAAAAUGAUGAAAACACCCUCAUAAACAUAUAUCUUACUUUGCAAAUAAAAUAGUAUUUUUGGUAAUUUUCUUAUUGAGUUGGGACUCGAUUGAUGAGUGACACUAACUCAGUAAAAUGCUUAAUACAUAGUAUAGAUAAAACAAUUCUAAACUAAAAUUUUUAAAAGAAUUUAGGGUAAAAUUCAACUAUGGAUAAGUUUUCAUUUUGGUCACUUAACUAAAAAAUGUUACAAUUUGAUCACUAAUGUUUUUGAAAUUAUUUUCCUUUUGUCACUCGACUGUUAAGUGGCACUUGUUUUUGUUUGUAUAAUAAUAAUUCUAGUAAUCAAUUUUUAUAUUUUCUGUCAAUUUGACCUUGAUUUUGUAUAAAAUUAUAAAAAAACUAAAAAAUAUUUAUAAAAUAGGAAAAUGUAUAUAAAAAACUCUAAAAAAUAAAAUCUUGAAUAUGUUGUUGAAUAGCUGGAUUUUAUUGAGAAAUAAAGAAAAUUAUCAUUUAAUAGAACGUAAUAAUGAAAAACAAAACAAAACAAAGUUACAUUUUGCAUCUUAUACUUGUUCAUAAUAGCUAAUAUUCACAAAAAUUUUCAAUUCAGUCCAUUUUAGUGAUGAAUUCACUAAAUUCUAGUUAUAGCUAAACAUAUAGAUGAAAUCAAGUACAAUUUAGACAUAAUAUAAAACCAGAUAGUAAGUUUCAUAUUUAAUGUCACACCCUAAUACAACUCAUUCACUUGUAUAUUUAAUUUCAAGUUGUAACAUAUGAUUAUGCAUUCUUAUACCCUGCUGUCCCAUACUUUUCGAUUAAUUAUUAGGUUUAAUGAUAAAUUUAACCUUUAAUGUUUGAUUAUUUUAUUAAAAUGGUCCUAAUUGUGUUUUUGAGUUUUUUUUUUGCUAUCAACCUUUGUUCUUUUUUUUUCACUCUUCUUUUUUAAAUAGAUUUAAUGAAAGUACCUUAAAAAAGUGAAAUUUCAUAUGUCGAAUAUUUUUAAUGAGAUAUAAUUUAUUAGUUAGAAAAUCCAAUAAGAUAUUUAUAUUCUUGUGAAAAAAAUAAUACAUUAAAGUGAAAAAAAACUUAAUUUAAAGAAAAUAAAUGUAAUUAUUUUAAAAAAAUUAACUCAGUAGAAAAACUUUUCAGUAAACAAACAUAUGAAAGAUUAAAAACUUUUGAAAGAAAAAAAAUUGAAACAAAUGCUGAUGGUAAAGAAAAGCUCAAAAAUAGAAUUAGGGCCAUUUUGACAAAACAAGCAAAAAUUAGUGACCAAAUUUAUCAUUAAACCUAAUUAUUAUUAUUAUUAUUACUAUUAUUUAAUGCCAAUUAUAAUGGGUGACAGCAAAGAAAAGAGUCAAAAAAGACGGAUUUCUUAUUCAUGUCCACAACAUUCGUCUUUUUAUACAUGUAAUUAUUCAUUAUUUUCUCUUUCUUCUUCUUCUUCACAUACUUUCCCAUUAAUUCCUAUCACAAUUUUGCUUAUUUCUAUUUUCACCUUCUUCUUCACUCUUGUUAAUUUCUUUUCAUCUCCAAGGUCUAUCACUAAUUUUCAAGCAUCCAGUCAAGGAAAUUUCCUUUCAUUUGCUUCAUUCAUGACUAUACAAUGAUUGUUUUUUAUUAUCAGCUACUGUUAUAACAGCUUGCUUUGUAAGAUGGUCAAGGUAAUAAGAUCUGCAGCAAUGGUUUCCUCUAGUGAUUACCAACAGUUUUAGAUUUUAAGACAGGAUGAUCAGCAGACAUAAUCUACUAUAGUUAGAAAUUAAUACCAAAAGAGCUAUACUUUGUAAGAUGGUCAAGCUAAUAAGAUCUGAAGCAAUGAUUUCCUCUACUGAUUAUAGAUUUUAAGACAGGAUGAUCAGCAGACAUAGUUUACUAUAGAUACAAAUUAAUACAAAAAGAGCUACCCAGAAGCAAUAUAAUGUUGAAAUCUCAUGCUGUUGAACAUUUUACCUCUUCAUAUUCUGUAAUGAACUCUUGCACACUUGAAUCUAGCAUGUUAUAUAGUUUGAGGGGUUGAUUCUGGAUAUACAAUGGUGACCAGAAUUUCAUCAUGUUUCUGUCUGCCACCCAUCCAUAGCUCCAUCUAAUAGACGCCAUUGCUUGAAACUUGCAUUCAUGUUUUCCUUUUCAUGCUUACACCGACAUAUCAAUACUUCAUAAAAUAUCCAAUUCAUUCACAGAUUUUCAUUUUCUGCUACUGUUAUAUAUGAUUGCAUUGCAGGGACAUAGCAAUGGAGUACGUAGAGCCUGUUGUCGGCAUUGCAAAUUGUCUCGGAACUCCUGUUUGUAAAUAUUUGCAAUAUCACAGAAAGCUGAACUAUUAUAAGAGAAACUUCAAGAGGAUCAGAGAUGCAUUGAAUUGCAAAAUGGAAGAUAUAGAGCUGCAAUUGAAAGCAAAGCUUCUUCGUCCUCUGGGGAAGAUACCGAAGAAGGGAGUUGAAAAUUGGUUGAAAGCUGUGAAAGAGAUGAUUAGGGAAGCACAAGUUGUUGAAAACAAAGUCAGUAAUGGGAGAUAUCUCUGUCGUGCUUGCAACGGGAAGCUAGUUGAUGAAAAGACUCGAGAAAUGAAGGAAUUUCUUGAUAAUGCUCCUAAUGCCUCUGAAGGUCUUGUCAUGGAUGGUCCAAGUGCUGGGUUGCCACUGCCAACAUCAGAACUAGUUGGAGAAAGAGCUGUCAGAAAUGAGAUUUGGGCAUGUUUGAUGAGGAGGAGGUGAUCAAGAUUGGGGUUUGGGGGAUGGGCGGUGUGGGUAAAACCACUAUCAUAAAGCACAUCCACAAUGAUCUUUUGAAACAGCAAAGAUUCGAAAGGGUAAUCUGGGUUACCAUAUCAAAGGAGUUCAAUGUAAUGACGGUACAAGAUAACAUUGCAAUUGAGAGAACUGAAAUUGUGGAGAUUACGAAAUUUGAAGAGCAUUUGCAGCAAAAAUGGAGUGAUGGUUUGUGAUUCUCUCCAACUUAUCCUGAUUAUUAGAUGUCAUAAACUGGAGAGAAUUCCUCCAUUUGUUCCCCUUGUUGGCAAUGGGCAGCCAUUUGGAUAUGCUCCACCUUCUCUUACCAUCACGUCAAGCACAGAUUGGUGGGAAUCGUUGGAGUGGGAUGACCAUCCAAACUUUAAAAAUGUUCUUCAACCCCUUUGGAAGGAGAAGAGGUAUUGUUAGUUAUUUGCUUAAGGAACGUUAGUUUGAUUUCUUGUUUAUUUGAAAUUCAAUAAAUUUGUUUCACAGUUAGAGCAUAUCCCUAUUUUGAAGGGAAUUGUUAGUAUUCUGAUUCUCAGAAUUGAUAUUUUUGGAAACAACCUACGUUGUAACUCAGCUAUUUAAAAGGCUGAAUACUGAAUAACUUAAAAUAUACAUAUAUACAAAUAAAAACUAUUCUCUGCAGUUUCUUCUCUGUUAAAGCUUUAAACUCUUUCUUGUAUUGCUGCAACUGCAUUUUUAUUAUUAUUUUUUAUUCCAUUUUCUUCAUUUGAAUCUUACAAUUGGUAUCCGAGCUAUUUUCUUAAGGGAUCUGUGUGUGAAAUGGAGACCGAAACCAGCUUUUCUCAAAUUGCUCCUCCUGUUUUUGAUGGUCAGAAUUAUCAUUUGUGGGCAGUAAAGAUGGAAACUUACCUUGAGGCUUUGGAUCUUUGGGAGGCCGUGGAAGAGGAUUACGAAAUACCUCCGUUGCCGAACAAUCCUACCAUGGUCCAAAUCAAAACUCACAAGGAAAAGAAGACCCGAAAAGCUAAGGCAAAAUCAACUCUGUUUGCUGCUAUUUCAACAAACGUUUUCACAAAAGUUCUCACUCUCCGAUUAGCAAAAGAAGUGUGGGACUAUCUCAAAGAAGAAUAUGAAGGAAAUGACCGAAUACGAGGAAUGCAAGUGCUAAAUUUAAUACGGGAGUUUGAAUUGCAAAGGAUGAAAGAGUCAGAAACAAUCAAAGAGUACCAAGACAGAUUGUAUGAAAUUGCCAACAAGGUAAGGUUACUUGGCACUAAAUUUCCAGAUUCUAGAAUUGUUGAAAAAAUUCUUGUAACAGUGCCUGAAAGAUAUGAAGCUUCAAUAACCACCUUGGAAAAUACAAAAGAUAUGUCUAAACUCAGUUUGGCAGAAUUGAUGAAUUCUUUGCAAGCUCAAGAACAGCGAAGACUCAUGAGGCAAGAACAAAUAGUAGAAGGAGCUUUGCUAGCUAGGCACCAGGAAGGAGGAAAGCACAAGAAGAAUACUAAGAGAAAAACACAAGUAACAUCUGCAGCAAAUUCUUCGAACACUCACACUCGAGGUAAGGGUAGAAAAUCAAAGAAAGACUAUCCGCCUUGUCAGCACUGCGAAAAGAAAGGCCAUCCACCGUUCAGAUGUUGGUGGAGACCAGAUGCUAAAUGUACCAAAUGCAAUCAACUUGGACAUGAAGCCGUGGUUUGCAGAAGCAAUAAGUUGAAGCUUGAAGAAGUCCAUGUGGCUGAUCAAGACGAGGAAGAUCAGAUAUUUGUCGCAGCAUGUUUUUCAACUAAAAGUUCUUCAGAAAGCUGGUUGAUUGACAGUGGUUGUACAAACCAUAUGACUCUGGAUAAAACUCUCUUCAAGGAUUUGAAGCCGAGAGUCAUGAAGGUCAAAAUUGGAAAUGGUGGCUAUAUUUCCGCAAAAGGGUCGGGAACCGUGGCAUUUACAACAAGUUCAGGUACAAAAACAAUCUCAGAUGUACUUUAUGUUCCUGAAAUUGAUAAAAAUUUGUUGAGUGUUGGCCAGCUUAUAGAAAAAGGAUUUAAAGUAUCCUUUGAAAAUUCCUAUUGCUGCAUUUAUGAUGUUGCUGAAAAAAGAGAUUUUAUGGGUUAAAAUAAGGGGUAAAAGUUUCUCAUUUGAUCCAAUGGAGGAGGAGCAAAUAGCCUACGUCAACAAAGUUUGCACUACGGAAAUUUGGCACAAAAGGCUUGGUCACUGUCAUCUUCAAAGAAUGCUGAAAAUGAAGAAGAAAGACAUGAUAAAAGGAAUGCCAGAACUUGAUGAUCAUCUUCCAACUUGUGCCGCCUGUCAAUUCGGUAAACAAAAUAGGCUGCCGUUUCCGAAAUCAACUUGGAGAGGUUCUCAAAAGUUGCAACUAAUUCAUACUGAUGUUGCCGGACCACAAAGAACACCAUCUUUACAAGGUAGCAUUUAUUGUAUUAUUUUCAUUGAUGAUUUUACAAGAAUGUGCUGGAUUUUUUUCUUGAAAUUCAAAUCAGAAGUGGCUGGUGUGUUUUGGAAGUUCAAGAAAAUGGUAGAAAAUCAAAGUGGCUGCAAAAUUCAGGUGUUGAGAUCCGAUAAUGGGAAUGAGUAUACUUCGGCAGAAUUCAAUUUAUUUUGCGAAGAAGCUGACAUUAAACAUCAGCUUACUGCUUCAUACACUCCGGAACAAAAUGGGGUCAGCGAGAGAAAGAACAGGUCCGUAAUGGAGAUGGCUAGAUGUAUGUUGCAUGAAAAGAAGUUGCCAAAGACAUUUUGGGCAGAGGCAGCCAACACGGCAGUUUUUUUACAGAACCGACUUCCAACCAAAGCUUUGGAAGACAAGACUUCAUUCGAAGCUUGGUACGGUUAUAAACCUUCACUUAGCUUUCUUAAAGUAUUUGGAUGCAUAUGUUUUGUUCAUGUUCCAAAGGUUAAACGUGACAAACUUGAUAAAAAGGCAAUUCCUAGCAUCUUCGUGGGAUAUAGUUCAGUUUCAAAAGCCUACAAGGUUUAUCAUCCUCAAACCGAAAAAUUGACAAUUAGCCGAGAUGUACAUUUCAACGAGGACGAGCAGUGGGAUUGGAUGAUUUCAUGAAAAAAAGAGAUGUCUCAAGAACCGAAAGGUGCUUUUGAAACAACCGACGAAUGGAUGAUGAUCCUCCAGUUAGAGGUACAAGGCUACUUUCAGAUAUCUAUCAAAGAUGCAAUGUGGCAGUUUGCGAACCAGCCAGCCAUGAUGAUGCAUUAAAAGAUCCAAAAUGGAGGAAAGCAAUGGAGGAAGAAAUGACAAUGAUUAACAAAAAUGAGACAUGGGAGCUGGUAGAAAAGCCUGAAGGGAGAAAAGUUAUUGGAGUCAAAUUGGUGUUCCGAACAAAGCUUAAUGCCGACAGCUCCGUCAACAAAUACAAAGCAAGGCUCGUCGUUAAAGGGUAUGCUCAAAUUUAUGGUGUUAAUUAUUCUGAUACGUUUGCUCCUGUUGCAAGAUUAGAUACGAUCAGAUUGUUGCUUGCAAUAUCGGCACAAAAAGGCUGGAAAGUGUUCCAAUUAGAUGUCAAAUCAGCGUUUUUGAAUGGCGAAUUACAAGAAGAAAUAUACGUGGAGCAACCUGAGGGAUUUGUGAAGCAAGGCGAAGAAGAAAAAGUUUACCUGCUCAAAAAGGCUCUCUAUGGCCUAAAACAAGCUCCAAGAGCUUGGUACAGCAAGAUCGAUGCUCAUUUGUUAAGUCUUGGCUUUGUUAAAAGCUUCUAAGAAUCCACUCUUUAUGUGAAACAUAAAGAAGUAGAUACUCUCAUUGUGUCACUAUAUGUUGAUGAUCUUUUGGUGACAGGAAAUAAUACAAGGCUGGUUGAGAAAUUUAAACAAGAAAUGAUGCAAGUGUUAUGGCUAAAAAAGAUAAUGUGUGACUUGCAUAUGGAGCAGAAAAACGAUACUGAGAUUUUUGUUGACAAUCAAGCAGCUAUUGCAAUCUCAAACAAUCCAGUAUUCCAUGGGAAGACCAAGCAUUUCAACAUCAAACUUUACUUCUUGAGGGAAGUACAACAGAAUGGUGAAGUUACUUUGGUUUACUGCAAGUCUGAAGAACAACUAGCAGACUUAUUUACAAAGUUGCUUCUAGCCAACAUGUUCGAGUAUCUAAGGCAGAGAAUUGGAGUUUGCAGUUCCUUAACCAAGGAGGAGUGUUAGUUAUUUGCUUAAGGAACGUUAGUUUGAUUUCUUGUUUAUUUGAAAUUCAAUAAAUUUGUUUCACAGUUAGAGCAUAUCCCUAUUUUGAAGGGAAUUGUUAGUAUUCUGAUUCUCAGAAUUGAUAUUUUUGGAAACAACCUACGUUGUAACUCAGCUAUUUAAAGGGCUGAAUACUGAAUAACUUAAAAUAUACAUAUAUACAAAUAAAAACUAUUCUCUGCAGUUUCUUCUCUGUUAAAGCUUUAAACUCUUUCUUGUAUUGCUGCAACUGCAUUUUUAUUGUUUUUUUUAUUCCAUUUUCUUCAUUUGAAUCUUACAGGUAUGAACUAUGAACCAUUUAUGGUUUAGUUUAUUUUUUUAUUUUGAUAAAUCUAAUUUCUCCAUUUUAAUACAAUUUCAGGUAUAUUUUUUAUGUUAAUGAAGAGUAAGAUGAAAGGGUUGGUGGGAAAGGAGGAGGGGGAGGAUAGUGCAAAAGAGAGGAGAAAAGGAAUGACGGAAGGAAGAGGUUAAGAGGGUCCACAUUGUAAACAUUGUCCCUCUCUUGCCAUUCCUUCUAUUCUCUUUUUCUUAUAAUGUAAAAGUUAUGCCAAGUAACUGAAGAGGUAAAAAAACAAAUAAAUUUGCUUAAUAUUUUUUCUAUGUUUGUUUUGGAAGAAUGAGUAUUUGAAUAUGGAUAAUAUAGAGAAAUUUGGUAGGGUUUAGAAAUAAGAUCAAGAUGAAAAAUAAAAUAUAAUUUAAAUAUCAGUUGAUAAAUUAAGUCUAUUCAAAAUAAUGGUAUUUUAGAUAGCAAAGGUAUUGGAAAUUUAAAGUGAUAAAUUACCCUUUUAUCAUUAUAAGUAAAUACCAGAAUUUCUUUUUAAAUAAAAUAAAAAAUAUCAUUAUUUCUUCUUUCAACAACCAUUCUAUUCUAAAAAAAAUAUCAUUAUUUCUUUUAGUGCAUUAAGGGGAAUUAUGAUUAUGGUAUGUUAGACAUCAGAAGAACCUAUAUAUUCUUAAAAGUAAAGAUAUGAAAAAGCAGAGUGUUGAAAUGACUAUUCAAUGACAUUUAAAAUAAUAUAUGGGUGUCCAAAAUUCAGAUUCAAUGGCAUAAGCAAAGCAAAUAACAAAGACAAUGUCACCACAGAAACUGUAAACUAAAUGAAAUAUCGUGCAAGGUUGAUCCAGAGAUAAAAAAUAAAAUCUUUAUUUAAAGUUCAAGGUCUUUGAAAUGAAGAUACCCAAGCAAGCAACAAGGUAUCUUCCAAAGCAAUACAUUGCAAAUGAUUCAUAGCAAUCAUGUAGAAUCGAACAAUCAACACUAACUGAUGGAUGCACCAAUGAUACAAACUGUUAAAAUAAUCCAGGUUAAUAAGACUGAAAAUAACAUAUAAUUACACUAAAUGCAUGGUGCAAAAUUAACAUGUUGCAUGUUGUGCCAAAACUAUACUCAAAACUUCAAUAGUAACCUAAGUUGAAUAUAGGUCAAUUUUUUUUGUAACAUAAAUAUGCUACUGCUGGUUUUUACUAAUUCCUAGCACAUAAGUUGCUGAACAGCUCAGUUUAACAAGAAGGUUUAACAGUGUUACUCAAUUGGACUAAUUUCGUUAUCUAUGUUUGUAUGAAAUUUUGCCUACAUACCAAAUCCUUUAAAAUGUUUUACUAAUUUUGAAUAAUAUUAUAAGACAUUGGGGUGAUAAAAAUUAAAUACAACUUUAUGUUUUUGUUAUACCUAAUUAAAGUAUUUUACCAGUAUAUUAGACAUUCUUAUACCCUAGUUUCCCAUACUUUCCCAUUAUUAUCGUGAUGAUGAUAAUGAUGAUGUAACAAUUGAGCACUAAGAUCACUGUAAUACUUGUUUUAAUUGGUAUAAUAAUAAUUUUAGUCCUUUUUUUUCUUAUAUUUUUUAUCAAUUAGACUCUGAUUUUGUAUAAAAUCAUUUAAAAAAAUCAAAAUUUUAAAAAUAUAAAAAUGUUUAUAAAAAUUAUAGAAAAAUAAAAAUAUAGAGAAAUUUUGUAGGGCCCAAAAACAAUUAUCUCUCAUUUUCUCACUUUAUUUAUUUUUGAAAUUUUUAUCUACUUUUAUUUAAUUUUUUAUUUUAUAAUAUUCUAAAAUUUUAAAAAUAAUUUUAAUUUUUUACCAUUUUAUAUAUUUUCAAGAUCAAAUUGACUGAAAGUAUAAAAUUUGAGGAUUAAAAUUGUUAUUAUAUCAAUUAAAAAAGUGUCACUUAACAUUUGAGUGACAAGAAAAAAACAAUUUCAAAAACAUUAGUGAUGAAAUUAUAACUUUUUUAAUUAAGUGACUGAAACAAAAAUACCCAUAUUUUAGUGACUAAUAGUGUAGCCUUUUUUUGGUAAAAUGAAAAUUUGACCCUGAUUUUGUAUUAAAAAAACUCAAAAUUAUUUAUAAAAUAGAAAAAUUAUAUUAUUCAGCAUAGGGAAUUUUUACCCAAAUCAUAUAAAAAUAAUUAAUUAUGAAAAUGGUAUGGAAAAUAAACUAAUUACAAAAAUAAAGCAUUUGAUAUAAUGUUCUGUUGGUGUUCCUGACAUAUUGGUAGUACUAGAUUAAAAUGUGACAACCUAAAAUAUUCAAGGACUUGAUGUAACGCCCCAAAAUUUUAAUUUUGAAUAUUGUGAAUGUGUAACAUAAAUAUCUGUCAACUUUAGUAGUUAUAUGUUCUAAAAGUGUUCGGGAGGUCCCAAGUUCAAGUCAAGAUUUGGGCAAAUUUUGAUAUGUAAAUUUAAAAAAUAUUCAAAGACUUGAUAUGUAAAUUUCUCAUUUUGAUUGGCUGUUGAAAAUAAGCUCUAAAGAUGUUGUGUGACAGUGUGGCGACACAAAAUCUUAAAUAGGGUUAAUUUCUUUGUAAACUAUCAUUGUUUAUUAUUUUGUUUUUAUCUCCCUUCAACACCAAAAUUACAAAAGUUUCCUACCUAUUAAUCCAGUUCAAAUUAUGUCUAGCAUAACCGUUAACAUUAUUGUUAGUAAUUUUCUUUGACUCAUAUAUAUAUAAUAAAUUUUUCUAAAAUUUUUCUAAUUAUAAUUUUAUAGGAUACCGUAAAUUAAAUUGAUAAUAAGAAUAAUUAUAAUGCUAUCUGUAAUGGCAGAAGACAGCAAAGAAAAAGGCUAAAAGAAAAAGUAAUAAAAAUAGGAUUCCUUACUAAUAAUUCUGCCUUUGUGGAUCCUACCACUGACUUCAUAAUUUCCCUGUUUUUAUCUUCACUUUCUUCUUACUUCUUACUUCUUCUUCACUGCUUUUAAUUUGUUUCGAUGUCCAAGGUCUAUCACAAAUUUUGAAGCAUCCUGUCAAGGUAAUUUUCUUUCAUUUGCUUAAUUCAUGACAUGCAUUUCUUUGCUUUUGAUUAUCUGCUACUGUUAUAGCAGCUAGCUUUGUAAGAUUGUCAAGGAAGUCAACUUCACUGCUUCAUUUUCAGUUCUAAUCUCUCAAAACUUUUCAGCCACUAAGUCAGGUAAUAAGAUCUGAAGCAAUGAUUUCCUCUAGUAAUUAUCAACAGUUUUAGAUUUUAAGAGUGGAUGACCAGCAGACAUAAUCUACUAUAGAUAGAAAUUAAUACAAAAACAGCUACCCAGAAGCAAUAUAAUGUUGAAAUCUCAAACUGUCAACAUUUUAACUCUUAAUAUUCUGUAAUGAACUCUUGCACACUUGCAUCUAGCAUUUUAUACACAUCGAGAGCUUGAUUCUGGUGACCAGAAUUUCAUCAUGUUUCUGUCUGCCACCCAUCCAUAGCUCCAUCUAAUAAACGCCAUUGCUUAAAACUUGCAUUCAUGUUUUCCUUUUCAUGCUUACACUGUCAUAUCAAUACUUCAUAAAAUAUCCAAUUCAUUCACAGAUUUUCAUUCUCUGCUACUGUUAUAUAUGAUUGCAUUGCAGGGACAUAGCAAUGGAGUACGUAGAGCCUGUUGUCGGCAUUGCAAAUUGUCUUGGAACUCCUGUUUGUAAAUAUUUACAAUAUCACAGAAAGCUGAACAAUUAUGUGAGAAACUUCAAGAGGAUCAGAGUUGAAUUGAAUUGCAAAAUGGAAGAUAUAGAGCUGCAAUUGAAAGCAGAGAUUCUUCGUCCUCUGGGGAAGAUACCGAAGAAGGGAGUUGAAAAUUGGUUGAAAGCUGUGAAAGAGAUUAUGAGGGAAGCACAAGUUGUUGAAAACAAAGUCAGUAACGGGAGAUAUUUCUGUCGUGCUUGCAACGGGAAGCUAGUUGAUGAAAAGACGCGAGAAAUGAAGGAAUUUCUUGAUAACUCUCCUAAUGCCUCUGAAGGUCUUGCCAUGGAUGGUCCAAGUGCUGGGUUGCCACUAGAAACAUCAGAACUAGUUGGAGAGGAAGCUGUCAGAAAAGAGAUUUGGGCAUGUUUGAUGCAGGAGGAGGUAAGCAAGAUUGGGGUUUGGGGGAUGGGCGGCGUGGGUAAAUCGACCAUCAUGAAGCACAUCCACAAUGAUCUUUUGAAAGAACAACGAUUUGAAAGGGUGGUUUGGGUUACUAUAUCAAAGGAGUUCAAUAUUGUGAAGUUACAAAAUGAUAUUGCAAGUGCAUUGAAUGGAAAGAUGCCCGAAGAAGCAAACAAGGUAAGACGAGCAGCAAUCUUGUCCGAAAUGCUGAAGAGAGCAGGAAAACAUGUUCUAAUCCUAGAUGAUGUGUGGAGUGAAGUCUCGUUGGAAGAAAUUGGGAUCCCUAAGCCAAGUAGCAGCAAUGGGUACAAGUUGGUGUUGACAACCCGUGUGCAGCAAGUUUGUAAGUCUAUGGGCUGUAAGGUGAUAAAAGUGAAGCCCCUUUCAGAAGAAGAGUCAUUGAUACUACUCUUGAGUGAAGUUGGACCUAACAUCGUGCAAAAUCAAACUUUAAUGCCAACUUUGAAGCUUGUUGUCAAGGAAUGUGCAGGUCUGCCUCUUACAAUUGUCGUCAUAGCUGGUACAUUGAGAGGAGAAGAUGACCCUCUUAUUUGGAAAAACACACUCAGGGAAUUGAAAGAGAGAAUAGGGAAAGUGAAAGAAGGGGAAGAUAAAGUGAUCGAGAGUUUGAAAGUUAGCUUUAAUCACUUAAAAGACGAGAAAAUGAAGCAUUGUUUCUUACAUUGCUCAUUAUAUCCUGAAGAUUUUCAAAUUGGAAAGGAUGGGCUAAUUGAGUGCUGGAUUGAAGAGGGAUUCAUAGAUGAUAUGACUACAAGACAAGAAAUGAAAGAUAAGGGCCAUGUUCUUUUGAAGAAAUUAGAAGAUAAUUGCUUGUUGGAAAAUGUCUCGAGUAAAAGAGUGAAAAUGCUUGAUGCAGUGAGAGACAUGGCAUUGUCGAUCACAAGAAUGAAUCCUUGAUAUAUGAUACAAGCAGGUUCGCAAUUAUAAGAGUUACCAGAAAAGGAGCAAUGGAGUCCGGAUAUUGAGAAAGUGUCACUUAUGUAUAACUCCAUAUUAGAAAUUUCCAUAGAUGUGCUGCCCACAAAAUGUCAACUCUCACAACCUUGUUAUUGCAGGGUAGCCCUAUAAAGAAGAUCCCAUAUUCUUUCUUCACAAACAUGCCCUAUCUUAGUGUUCUCAAUUUGUCCACUACUAAGAUCAAGAGUCUACCAAAUUCCAUCUCUGAACUAAAGAACCUCACAACAUUGUUGCUUUGUGGCUUCGAGAAUUAAGAGAUCUGCUCCAAAUGAACCAAAUCCACUCAACCUAUUACUGAAACUUCAAGGAAAAUGUGAGAGCAUAGAUUAAUUAUUUUUUCAUAAGUUAAUUGCACCAAAUAUUUAAAUUAUUACCUGCAUUCUAAAUUAAUUCAUUAAAUUUUAAAUCAUUUUAGUUACAUUUCUAAACUAAAGAGAAUAUAUCAAUUAAGUUUUUCUUUUUUUAAAACCAUUAAUUUAAUGAUAAAAGGACAUCUUCAGUCACUCUCAAUUUUAAAAUUGAGUAAAUUAGUCACUUUUAAAAAAAUUGGAACAAUUUAAUCUCUGUCAAUUUUGAAAGUGAGCAACAAAGGACAAUUAAUCACGAGGUUCAUGUCUUUCAUCAAUUGUGCAUAAUUUUGAUUGGUACAAUAACACAUUUAGCCCUUGAUGUUUACAUAUUUUGUUAGUUUGGUCUUAAUUCUAAAAAAAAUCAAUAAAUUCAGUCUCAACAUUUACACAUUUACGAAAAUAUGACGGGCUAAAUUUGUUAUCAUAUCAAUCAAAUUUAUGUAAAAUUGAUGAAAAACAUUAAUAUUGUGAUUAAUUGCUCACUUUCGAAAUUAGUAGGGAUUAAAUUGCUUCGAUUUGUUUAGAGGGACCAAGUUACUGAAUAUCAUAACUGAAAGGGACUAGAGAGGUUGUUUUACCUAGUUUAAUAAUUAAAUGACAUGUUAAAUCUUAUGUGACAUAAUUUAAAAUGAAAAUUUGAAAAAAAGAAGAAGGAAGAUUGUAAAAAUAGUUGUUUUAAAAAUCAUGGCUUUGAAGUUUUUACAAAUUUUUUAUUGCUCAUUUUUUUAAAAUUUCAGUUUUAUUUAAUUUUAGUUUCUUAAAAAUUUUCAUUUUAAAAUUAGCUAUAUAAAAUUUACCGUGUCAUUUAAUGAUUUUAAUAGUAAAAUGACAUGAUUAAUAUAACAUCAAUAGUUUAGAAAUGUAAUUAGAUAAGUUUGAAGUUUGAAAAUAGAUUUAAAAUAAUGGUCAUAAUUUAGGGGUGGUUGAUGUAAUUAACUCAUUUCUAAUGGUACUAAUAAUUAAGGCUGCUAUAGGACAAAGUGAAAAAGUGGAAAGCAGGGUUAAAAUAUGACUCAAAGACUCACCUUUUUCUAAGUUUGCCAUUACCAAACGAUGAAGCAAAAGAAAUGAAGGGCCAUUACCAGAAUUUCAUCAUGUUUCUGUCUGCCACCAAUCCAUAGCUCCAUCUAAUAAACGCCAUUGCUUGAAACUUGCAUUCAUGUUUCACUUUCAAUCAUUUUCGUGUCCACCUUCAACCAUCAGCCAUCACUCACCAUUGCUUAAGCUAUUUUGCAUUUUAGACCAUAAAUUACUGAGUUGAAAACUCUAGUGUCCUUCUGCAACCUUUUUUGGUCCAGGCAGGGCAGGCUGGGCUCAAAAAUUUGGGUCGACCUUGAAUAAAACAUUUAAACCCAUUUUUCAUAUUAGGCCAAGCUUGAGUAAAAAUAACAGUUAGCAAUACCUUUGUUGGAACAAUGGCAGCAGCAAACAUCAAACAAAGUUGCAAAACAGAAUUUGCAAAACUGAAGCAAGAAGAAUCGAAGCAAAGAAGAAACAAGCAAGCAAAGCAGUGAACAAAGUUGAAUACUCAGCAAAAUUGUAACUGUAACACUUUUCAUUCAAAAUUUGAAUAUAUAAAAGGUUACAAUUUUUGAAUCAUUUGACAGUUACCUAAUGACAUAACUGCUCCCACUUAGCUAAACUAAAACAUGCUUAAGUCAAAUACAAAAUAAGCUGACAUAUCAGCUUUUACAUCAUCAAUCCAAUCACUAGCUUAUUCCUACUUACUUUGUAAGCUAGUUACAAGAGAACAAAACUAAAUAACAUUAAAACAAAACAACAAAAACUGGUUGCUUCAUUUGGUCCAAAAAACCAGUCUUGCGCACCAAGCAAAAUGAGCUGAGCUCGAUAGCUGCUGCUGGUCUAAACAGUAGCUUGCUGCUGGCUUCAUGUUGCACUGCAGUCCAGCUCUCAACACUCCUCCUUGGACUGUAUGCAACACAUUCCAAUUUCACCUCUCAAUGAUUCAAAUCGAGCAGCCCCUAAGGGCUUGGUCAGUAUAUCAGCCAAUUAUGUCCCUGAGCUGCAAUGCACAAGGCUGACUUCCUUUGCUUGUUCAGCCUCUCGAACAAAAUGCAGUUUAAUUUUAAAAUGCUUGGUUUUACCAUGAAACACAGGGUUCUUGGCUAUGGCAACUGCUGAUUGGUUGUCCACCCAAAUUUCAGUUGCAUCAGCUUGUGUUUCAUUGAGAUCCUGAAGCAGCUUCCUAAGCCAAAUGGCCUGAUUGACUGCUGCUGAUGCAGCAAUGUAUUCUGCUUCAGCUGUGGAUUGAGCAACUGUUUGUUGCUUCUUUGAACUCCAGCAAAACAUGCCCGAUCCAAGUGUGAAGAAGUAUCCAGAGGUACUCUUCAUGUCAUCGAGGGAUCCUGCCCAGUCACUAUCAUAGUAGCCUUCUAGUUUUAGUUUCUUCCCACUUUCGAACAUCACACCAAGGCUAGCUGUGCCUUUGAUGUAUCUAAGAACCCUUUUUGCAGCCUUCAAAUGUGUCUCAUUACAGCAAUGCAUGAACCUCGAUAGCAGACUGACACCAAACAUGAUGUCUGGCCUGGUUGCUGUUAGAUACAACAGACAACCUACUAGGCUUCGAUAGUGUCUCUCAUCAACCCUUUGCUGAUCACCACUACUGGUCAACUUUUCUCCAUGAGCCACAGGUUUACUGACUACUUUACAGUUGUGCAUGCAAAAUUUGCCUAAAAUCUUCAAAGCAAAUGUGUGUUGGCUGAUGAAGAUACAUCGAUCAGACUGGUGAACUUCCAUGCCAAGGAAGUAAGUCAUGAUCCCCAAAUCUGUCAUCUCAAACACUUGCUGCAUUUGAACCUUGAACUCAUCAAUGAGCUCAACUUUGUUCCCUGUCACUAACAGGUCAUCCUAUACAAGGAGACAAUCAACAAGGUUUCAAAUUCUGACCUCUUAACAUAUAGAGUAGGUUCACUAAGGCUCUUUACAAAUCCAAGCUUGGUCAGGUAAGCAUCAACUCUGUCAAACCAGGCCCUUGGUGCCUGUUCCAGACCAUAGAGGGCCUUUCUCAACUUGUACACUUUGUCUUCAUGUCCAGCAACUUCAAAACCUUCAGGUUGCUCGAUGAAGAUCUCCUCCUUGAGAAAACCAUUCAGGAAUGCUGAUUUAACAUCCAAUUGGUGAACUCUCCACUGCUUCUGAGCUGCUAAAGCAAAUAGUAGCUUGAUUGUGUCCAGUCUUACCACUGGAGCAAAGGUCUCCAAGAAGUCCACACCAUACUGCUGACUGUAACCCUUCACCACAAGCCUGGCCUUGUGCUUGUUCAGUGAGCCAUCAGUAUUGUACUUGGCCCUGUACACCCAUUUAACCCCAAUAACCUUCUUAUGUUAUGGUCUGCUCACCAGUUCCCAUGUUUCAUUUUUAUUGAUCAUUUCCAGCUCAGCUUCCAUAGCAUUCAUCCAGCUUCUGUCCUUGGCAGCCUCUUCAAAGUCUGAGGGCUCAAUCACAGCAACAUUGCACCUCUGGUAGACAUCAGCUAAAGUUUUGGUGCCCCUCACUGGUGUAUCAUCAACAGCAUCUUCACUUGGUCUCUCUUCUGCUGAUUCAAUAACCAAGUCUAACUGGUCCAAUUCAGACAAGUCAGCCUCAACAUCAUUCCAAUUCCACACUUUUUCCUCAUCAAACUUUACAUCCCUACUGACUAAAACCUUCUUUGCUGUAGGAUCAUACACUCUAUAGCCCUUCUUGUUGCUGCUGUAGCCAACAAAGAUUCCUAGAGUAGCCCUGCUCUCGAGCUUGGUCCUCUUUUCCACUGGAAUAAGAGCAUAACACACACAGUCAAACACUUUCAAGUGUGUUACCACAGGUUUGACUCCAUGCCAGGCCUCAAAAGGAGUCUUAUUCUUGACUGCUCGAGUUGCCAGUCUGUUGAGCAGAUACACUGAGGUGUUGACUGCCUCAGCCCAAAACUGACUUGGAAGCCUGCCUUGAAACAAGAGGCACCUGGCCAUGUUCAGCACAGUCCUAUUCUUUCUCUCACAGACUCCAUUCUGUUGAGGAGUAUAGACUGUUGUGAGCUGAUGGUGAAUCCCAGCACUGUCACAAAGCUUCUGAAAUCUCUCAGACACAUAUUCAGAGCCAUUAUUAGUCCUCAAGGCUCUAAUUUUACAGCCUGACUGAUUUUCAGCAUAUGCCUUGAAUUUGCAGAAGGCUUCAAACACUACUGACUUCUACUUCAAGAAGUAGACCCAGCACAACCUAGUUAAAUCAUUAGACCCAGCACAACCUAGUUAAAUCAUCUAUGAACAGGACAAAGUACCUGUUCUCAUUGAUUGAAGGCAUUCUCAUAGGACCACAGACAUCAGAUUGCACCAAUUCGAGCUUGUUUUGAGCUCUCCAAGCACUGUCAGCAGGAAAAGGCAGUCUAGCCUGCUUACCAAGCUGACAAACCUCACAAACAUUCCCACUAACCUCAAUUUCUGAAAUGUCAUCAACUAAAUUCAGCCUAUGUAGCAGAUCAAGAGAUCUGAAAUUGGCAUGGCCUAGUCUCCUAUGCCACAAGUCAGUGCUGUCAGCAAGGCUGAUGUAUGCCUUUCUUUCUACUUGGCUAACAUCCAGCAUGAAGCAUCUAUCAAUCAUAGAGACUGAGAUUAACUCCAGACCAUUCAUGUCUUGAACAGUACAGCAACCAUCCUUAAAAACCAAUGUAUAGCCCUUUUCAACUAAUUGGCCUACACUAAGCAAAUUCUGGUCUAAGUCAGGUACAAAAAGCACAUCUGAGAUCAGCUUGUUACCUGAACCAGUGCUAACCAGCACACUACCCUUGCCCUUAGCCUCAAUCAGCUUGCCAUCUCCAAUUUUGAUCCUCGAGUGGAAGCUUCUGUCUAAGCCCUUGAACAGCUUCUCAUCUGCUGCCAUAUGGUGUGAGCAGCCACUGUCUAGUAACCAAUCGUUGCUGGCCUUUGUUGUGCCAACAAAACAGGUUGCUGUGAACACAUGCUCCUCCUGAGCUUGCAUGUCCUCAGCUGGUCUAGCUUGUUGUAGAGCAGCCUCCCUUGGUUUGCCCUUGCACACCUUCUCCACAUGGCCAAACUGCUUGCACUUUCUGCACUGAAUAUCUGGCCUAAACCAGCAAUACUUUUCUGAAUGUGUUGUCUUCUUACAGUGAACACAUGGUGGGAACACCCUUUUUACUUCAUCUCUUCCUGACUUGACCCUUCUAUUAUGCCAAGGCUUCUUGUCUUUUGCACUCACACUCAAGCCUUCACUAGCUUUAGCCUGGAAGGCGGCUUCAGGAUUCUCCUCCUGCCUAUUUGCCCUCCUUUGCUCAAGUGCAUACAGGGAGUUUAUCAGCUCUGAUAAUGAAAUGGCUGAUAAGUCCCUCGAGUCCUCAAGUGAAGAGAUUUUUGACUCGAAUUUCUCAAGGAGAGUUGUGAUGACCUUUUCAACAACUCUGCUCUCUGUGAAGUCCACUCCCAGGAGCCUAAUGUUGUUGACAAUGGCCAUUAUCCUAUUUGAGUACUGCUUGAUGGUUUUAGACUCCUUCAUCCUCAAAUUUUCAAAGUCUCUCCUGAGGUUGAUCACCUGCUGUUGCCUUGUCUUGUUUGUGCCCAUGAACUCCUCUUUUAGCUUGUCCCAGGCCUGCUUUGGUGUGUCACAGGCCAUGAUGUGAGUAAAGAUCACAUCAGACACUCCAUUUUGCAGACAGGCCAUAGCCUUGUGCUUCUUGGCUCGUUCCUCAGCAUGCUGCCUCAUCUGUGCAAUGGUGGGAUUGGCUCUCAAUGGAGGUGGUUCAACAUCAUUCUCGAUCACACUCCAAAGAUCAUGUGCCUAGAGGUAAGUCUUCAUUUUAACUAUCCAAAUGUGAUAGUUCUCUCCAGUGAACACUGGUGGAGGUGGUGGAGUGAAACUCAUCUUGCUAGACUAAGUUUAAGUGCUUCGAUCCUUUUUAGUUUUAAGCUUUGCUAUUGGUUUUGAUUUGAACUCAACAGAAUGCAAACAAAGGCCCCUCAAAGAUACGGGCUCAUGAUACCAUUUAUUGGAACAAUGGCAGCAGCAAACAUCAAACAAAGUUGCAAAACAGAAUUUGCAAAAUUGAAGCAAGAAGAAUCGAAGCAAAGAAGAAACAAGCAAGCAAAGCAGUGAACAAGUUGAAUACUCAGCAAAAUUGUAACUAAACAUUAACGCUUUUCAUUCAAAAUUUGAAUAUAUAAAAGGUUACAAUUUUUGAAUCAUUUGACAGUUACCUAAUGACAUAACUGCUCCCACUUAGCUAAACUAAAACAUGUUUAAGUCAAAUACAAAAUAAGCUGACAUAUCAGCUUUUACAUCAUCAAUCCAAUCACUAGCUUAUUCCUACUUACUUUGUAAGCUAGUUACAAGAGAACUAAACUAAAUAACAUUAAAACAAAACAACAAAAACUGGUUGCUUCAUUUGGUCCAAAAAACCAGUCUUGCGCACCAAGCAAAAUGAGCUGAGCUCGAUAGCUGCUGCUGGUCUAAACAGUACCUUGUUGCUGGCUUCAUGUUGCACUGCAGUCCAGCUUUCAACAACCUUGUCUAAGCCUGAGCCAAAUCCGGCCUAUGAGAUAAACCAUUCAGUAUGAGAUAAACCAUUCAGAUUGAACUACCGGUAACAUUAUGAGUUUCUGGUCCAUCCUUCAUGAGGAUGCAAAGAACAAAAUUAACUAACCUUUGCCACUAUAGAAUGUUUGUUCAACUAAAUAAAAUAAAGAUUGUCCUAUAACUCUAGUUCCAUUCAAGUUAAAACUUCUUCAGGCAAGAUAAUAGUAACAUAAUGCUAAAAGAACCAGCACAACCACCACAGCAGGAGCUGCCCAUAUCCAAUAGUUCAUCGACUUUUUCUGUUUCAGGAUGGCUUUUGGGAGGGACUCGGUUCUUUUGGUUCAAUUCCUGUACCUACUAGUAUUCUCCUUUGGUACUUUACCCUUCAUUGAAACGGUAGCAGAAACAGGUGCAUCAGUAUUAACAUCGACCUUCUCGGGUUCUGAAUCUUGUGCCACAGCUUCAAUCGGUUCUUCGGGAUUCACAGCAUUUGUCGAUCCUGCCACCUUCUUCUUAGCUCUCCUUUCACGCUCCUGAAAAAAAGAUCGAAAGAGUUUCAGUUUCAACCCACAAACUAAUAACCGAUAAAGUGAAACCAGAUAAGGAAGCAAAUGAUUUCCUUGAGCUUCUUUUCGGCUUCCAUUUGAGCUCUUCUAGCUGCUUUGGCUACUGCUUUUUCAGCCAACUUCUUUUUUCUUUCCAUGGCUUGCUUUGCUUUCGCUAUUUCCUCUUCUCUCUUCAAUUCUUUCAAUUCUUUCAGUUUUGCUGCAUUCGACUCCAUUGCUAUAGUCUGGGCAUCUUUUGGGGCCUUUUUGACUAGUUUAGUAUCUCUUUGGGGACCUGAUUUGACCUCUUCCUUUGGUUGUCUUACACUAGGUCUCAGAAUUGUUUCAGUUUCAGAAUCCACUGGUUUCUCGGGUGCAACCAGUGGUUUCUCAUCAGGAUUCCUUAUCCGACCAUCCCGACUCUAUAGCCGACUGUCCAGGGAUGGCAGAAUUCUUUUCUCAUAAUCAUCCCUGAAGGCUUUAUUGCCAUUCCAGAGAGCCAUAAACUUCUCAACCUAAAUUUAUAAAGCAAAUGAGAUACAUUGGAAGUAACAUUAACAAGCAGUCUCAACAAACCUCCACAAUUGAUAACUCCUCAAGAGCCUUAUAUCUUCCUGUGCAGCAAGCAGUUUGGCGUUGUGUACAAUGGUACGGCUCUGGUAAAAGUGAAAAUUUUGAAAUUUUGAGAAAGAAAGUAAUUAAAACGAUUCAUUAGUAACAUCAUGCACAGGAAUAUUGGAAGUAGACAUAGUAUAUAUCAUUUAAUAUCUUAAGCGAUACUAGUUAUUCAUGCAUAAAUGAAAAUGUUCCGACAUGGUAAAGUAUUAUACGAAACAGAUAUCUUAAGAGUUGAAGCAAAGAAAAGGCUAUACCCCCUAAUCAAUUUGUUUCCUCAGCUCCUGAAUGUAUUCAAAAGCUUUGUCCCUCUUCAAGGUCAUAGCUUUCAGCUCAUUUUGUAAAGACUCGAUUUUAGUCUCAGUUUCAUCCAAUUUAUCUUUAAUUUGCUUUUUUUUUGGACCAGACUGCAUGCUGCUCCUUCCUUACUCCAUUCAAAUCAACACCCAUAAGCUACAAUAAACAAAUAUAGCAUUUUUUUUAGUGUAACACAAUGGUGCUCGAUAUUCACAGAAAAAAAGAGGAGCAAACUCCGAUGGAUAAAGGCAGAAAAUAGAAUUAUCUUACUUUAACUUGAUCUUGAAUGUCUUCUUUCUGGCCUAAUGAAUCUUGAGUCUUUGAUCUCAUUGCAGCAUUAGCAAUAACUUUCUCGCGGGUUCCCUCCAGGUGUUUGAUUGCUUUAAGGAUUCGCUUCUCCUCACUCAACGAGAUGCUUUCAUGCUGAAUGCGAUAUUGCAAGCUAUGAAUCUGCAAUUCAUAAAUUCCAUUGAAGUGACUAAGGGAGAAAAAGAAAAGCAUUAACUGCGGCAGAAAACAAUGAAUAAAUCUAAAUGCAGUUAAAGUUUAUAGAAGUAUCAUACAAUAAAAUCGAGCUCUUCCUCGGAUGCACAUAAACUAAGUCGAUUAUCAACAUCUUUAUUAUUGCGAAGCUUGCCUAAAGCCUGCUGCAGUGGUUCUAUUUCCCUUUUUUUCUCAUCUAAAAUCAUCUUAAAUUGCUCAAAAUCAACAUUCAGCGCUCUCACUUGCGAAAGCAUCUCUGAUCGUUCUGCCUGCAUUAGCAUAAAGAUAAUCACAAUUUAGCCAACUGACAGCGCCAUUAUUUUUUACUUCUUUCACAUUUUUUCUCAAAUUCUGAAGGCAAACACAACAAUAACGAAUCAUUAUACCAAUAGCAUAUCUGUAAGUGUCAUUACAUUUCGAGGACAUACAUUUCGAACAUUCAAAUAAAUGCUUCCGGGUUUAAUUCCCCUACAUCCAUCAUAUUACAAAAAGCACACCGUAAUGACAUAAUGAUAGGGCUAAUAAUUAUCUUAAAAGUAUGACAAUUAAUGGCUACCAUGCUAUACAUCUAAUUGAAAUUUAUAACUUUUCACUCACCCUUUUUGCUUUUAAUUCAUCGGUAAGCUUAAACCUGGCUUUUUUCCACUUUUGUAUCUCUUUAUCAGCCUGAUCAAGUUUGGCUUUUAUAGCUGGAUCUUCGUAGAAGCGAUACCUAAUAAAAUGAAAAGAGUGGAUCUGCUUAGGUGCAGGCCACUCGUCGACCGCAUCCUUCCGAAAGUCGGGAUCGGAUGCACCAUCCUUUUCUUCCUUAUCUGGUUCCUCACUAUGUGAAUCAACAUCAAUGGGGUUAUUAUAAACUGGAUCCUUAUCCAGUUUCCCAUUUUCAUGAAGAAAUGAUUUGUCUACUUCAGUCACUUUGUCAAUAGACAAUUGUGCCAGGCCUGAAUCAACAACCUCAACACCCAUUAAACACAAAAUUGAGCUACCUGAAAACAUCCAAAAACAAAGAUUAUGAUACCAUAUAACAACAAAUAUAAAUAUAAAAUAUUAUUUCAUUCAUAAAAUAAAAAUUUUAAAACCAGACACCUGAUAGACAUGUAUAAAACAAUAUAUAUUAAAUAAAUAAAUUUUAAAGAACAGUGUAGCCAAUACAAUUUGAAAUGGUGCAAUCUAAAGUCAUUCCUUUAGCUAGUUUUCUCAUUAAUCAGAUCAAAAGAGUGAACAAACAGUAGAAUUGCAAAAAUAUAUGUAUAUAUUCUAAAUAAAUGAUAAACUAUAAUGGAGAAAAACAAUAAUCAGAUAAAAUCUAGAUCAAAAACUAAAUUAUAAGUACAUUAGCUCAUGCUAUAACAAAAGAUCAAGCCUUUAUCCGUCAAGAAAAUUAACAUGCAAAAUCAUAUGACACUAAUGGAAAAGAAGGGGGAAAGAAACCCAGAAAUUUACAAACAUGAGAUAAAAUGAAAAAAAAAACCCAGAAAUAAAAAUAUGAGAAAUAAUUAUGUAGUUUGUAAGGCUAGAAAGUUUACAUUUUUAAAAUGAAAACGUCAAAAUAGGAUGUUUUUGUUGUCUAGAGAGGCAAUAGAUAUAGAGGUUUUGAGGUUCUGGAUAAAAAAAAAACUUCAACUUUUUUUAUUUUACAUUGGCGUAAUGCCCAUAUUUUAUGAAUUCUAGUUGUUAAACAUGUCAAGUAAUUUGAUUUGGCAUGGUGGUUAAGUGCCUUGAAUGUUUGUUUUAGGUCUUGGAUUCAAUGUUUUUUUUGUUAAAUUUUUCCUAUUUAUUAUGGUAUUAUGUUCAACUUGAGCCUUAGGGCUUCUCUUAUUUUCAAUGAUGAAUCUACUGAUUCAGUGGUAAGAUUUUAGCUUAUCACCAAUUAAAUUUUAUAAAAUCUGCUAAGUGAAAUUUAGAUUAACAUAAAUCUUUUUAUUUAUUUAUUUUAAUUUAAUUUUACUAAAUCUCUAUUUUCACUCAUUGUUUCAACCGUUUACACUCUCACCCCACUUCGUACGCUACUUUCUUUUGUUUCCCUAUUCUGUCGUUUUAUCUUCUUUUCUCUACCUUUUUUCUCCUCUUUGAUUGUUCUUGAAUACUAUUUUUUAUUUUGUGAGUUCUGUCACUUGGAUCGUAUUCUGUUUGCAGUGUAAGUUUCAUUUGGUUACUUUUGUUCUCUUCCCAUUAAUAGUUUAGUUUUAUUUCGUUUCUUGAACAAUUUGAGUUUGUGUUGGUAUUUUCUGUUCAUUAUCAUGAUUAGUAUUUUUGUGGUUCUCGAUUAGGCAAAAGGUGUGAGAAUCCUAACCCUCCAACAAAGUAGUCACAAUUUUCGACGUUGGUUUGAGAACUAAGUAUUUGAAUUCUAUUUUAGGGGCUGAAAUUUUGAUUCAACGAUGUUAUUUUCAAUAAGUAUUGUUAGUUAAUCCGUGUGGUUUGAUGAACGUUUAUAGGAUUCGUGAGUUCCAAUUGAGCGGUUGAUCAAACCAACAAUAGGUGUAUGAAAUUAACCUGAAAACUCAAUCGAAACUCGAGAAAAUUAAGGGCCAUACGAAUAUGUGUAUUUUGGCCAAUUUUAAGCCCCAAUUAGGGGCUGAUUAAAGGACUCAAAUAUUAGUCCAUAGCCAUCAUAUAAGCCCAAAAAAAUGUAAGUUUUAGUAUGUAUAUAUACAUGGCUAAGCUUAGGAGGUAUGUUAAGUAGGUUGUAUACAAAUCACAUGCUAUGUUAUGUUCCUUAUAAAAAUAUGUGUAUGCAUGUCAUACGACUUAUGAUAUAUGUAUUUAUGAUAUUAUAAUUAUGAUUAUGCCUAUGUUUUGGGAUGGGUUAUGAUAUGAUGAAGUAUUAUAUGGUAGUUUUUACUACAACCAUGGCAACUAGACCAUAAAAUGUCUAUCUGACAGCUUAGUUGCAUAUUUAUGAGUGGCAUACCGUCACAUAUUGGUGUGAUUGGAUGGAUGGACUCUUAUAGUCCUAAUUAGUGAUAUUGCUUGGACGGAGAUAGCAUGUAGCAGUUGGAGGUAUGAUAUCAUAUGAUAUGAGAUAUGAUAGGAUAAGAUAAGAUAUGAAACAAGCUAUAACAUGAUCUGAAAAUCGAUAUGAUAUAAGAUAUGCUUCGAUAUGCUAUGAUACAUUCUGAUUUUGUAACGCCCCAAAAUUUUUAAUUUUGUUAUUGUGAAAAUAUGAUACAAAUAUCUGUCAACUUUAAUGGUUAUGUGUUUUGGGAGUGUUUGGAAGGUCCAAAGUUCAAGCUUUUGCUUGGGCAAAUUUUGGUAUUUUGAAUGAAUUAGGCUUUACUCUUAUUCAGUAGGCUUUUAUUUGAUUGCUGGGUAAAUUACAUUAGAAUGAGCUUAUUGGUCUAAUGGUUAAAUGGUGUGUUAUUAAGGUGGAGGUCUUGUGUUUGAAUCUCUAUGUAAGCAAGAGUAUUUUUUUUUUGCUCAGAUUUCGGGAUAGAGUUGUGUAAUAGGGAGAUUCUGAGUAGUGGAUCCUUAGUGGGAAUUAGGGGAGAAUAUUAAGGGAUUUUGGGGGUUAUCGGGAUUUUAAUUUAUUUUUUCCCAUAAUCGAACUCUCUUUUCCAAAAAAAUUCUGCCGUAUAUUCUUAUCCCUCUCCUCUUGCCAAAAUUCUCUGAGUUUUUUCAUCUUUCUCUUCUUUUUCUUCUUCUUGAUUUCUCCCUAAUCCAUUUAUUUUCCUUCGUUUUCGCACGCGGUUACUGCUCGCUUAGUUUCAGUAAGUGUUUCUCUUCGUUUCUGUCAUGAAUCUCCUAGCGACUGAAGUGGUAAUAUUUUUCUCUAUGAUUUGGACGUAGGGGGAGGCUCGAACUGGUGAAUUCAGUAUUCUCAUCUUAACAACAGUUAAACGGAGGGUUAUCGUUGGUUGUAAGUUGAGUUUUUGUUCGUUCUUGGUUGUCAAUUCGCUUGUAAAUCCAUUAAAUUGAUGUUGAGUAUCUUGAUUAUAGGUUUUGGAGUGCUUGAGGACUGUUUUAGCAUCAAACAAAACCAGGUGUGUACCCAAAACGCAAAAAAAAAGGAUUAGGUGAAAAGUCAAAAUUGCUUGCUAUUUAGACAAUAACAGUAGGCUAACUUUGAAAAAUCGACAUAAAUUGUGAAAAUCGAAUUAGAGGAUGAAAAAAAUAUGGAAUUAAAUUUUAUUUAGUCUAGUUUCUCAUAAAAGAAACAGUGUAAGUAGUUGAAUUCUAAAUCGUGAGAUAUAAUAAACUUUGUGAGACAAUGUCAGAAUGAAUUUAGGUUCCCCUAUUCUGACUUUGGAAAAUUAUCAAAACUGGGAGAAAAAUAAUUAGGGGUUAAAAUUUACAUGUUUAAAUUAUUAACGAGUCUGUUUUCAAUAGAAACAAAUGGGAACUUCAUCCAAAUUUGUACUAAGAGGUAAUUAAUUUUUAGCAAAGAAUGGUCGAAGUUGUCAGACAACAGAAUAAGGGUAAGUUUGAAGAUUUUACUGUACUUAUUGGCUGAACCAAAAAUUCUAAAAAUUUUAUGGUAGAAAGGUAUCUGAGUCUAUUUUCAAAGAUAUUAAGUGGAUUUUAAUUCGAAAUUCUAUAGCUCAAGAUAUAAAUAAUUUAGUAAUAGUGACUCAAGUAGACGGCUUUAAAGGAACACAUAAGUAAAUAGUGAAAAACAUAUAUAAAUAUUUAGCUAGCACGGGUUACAUUAAAAAUGGAUCACGCGGCCAAAGCCAAUUUGGGCUGAAUAAGCCACAUGGGCGUGUGAGCCCAUUUUUCUGAAAAGUUCUGUAAGGUUGCACGGGUCGCCCAAGUCGAUUGUGGAUCUACUGGAGGGUCGGUAAGCUCUACUUAGAACCCUAUAUGUGUGAUCUAUCUGACUGAUUUCUAUACUGAGCAUGACUAAUGAUAUCUGAAUGUAUGUACUAUUAAUUGCAUAAUGGCAUGACAUAUUUUGUAUGUUGCAUUGCAUCGGGGUGGGUUGAUGAUAUUUGGAGGAAGUGUCUGAAAGGCUAUUAAGCCUGUUAUCUGGCAGCUUAGCUACAACCUUUUGAUUAUAUGCUGCAUUUCGGUACAGCAUGGUGUGUAGGGAUGUGUGGCUUGAUUUAAUCCCCACAUGGUGUGUAGGGUUCGACGGAGAUGGUGUGUAGAGGCUAGUGGGUAGGAUUCUAAUUUACUGUAUCUGCAUUCUAUAUCUGAUAUGAGUCAAGGCCCUAAUGUAUUUUUGAGACUGUAUCUGAACGGGCUAAGGUCCAAAUUGAUUAUGUUGAUCAUCUAUAUGCAUGUUUUCUGUGAGGAUUACACACUGAGUUUGCGAAAACUCACCAGCAGAGGACUCGACGGUGGACACACGUAAAUUUUGGACUGUUUUCCGUUAAUGCAUAGAAUUUAUUACUUAUUUGAGGUUUUUGAUGUAUCUUCUGGACUAUGGAUUGGUUGGCUUUAAAUUUUGGGAUUUUAUACUAUUUUUUAUGGGUUUUUUUUUAAAUUACAACUCCACAAAACACGGUUUUUUUUCUAAAAAACUAAGGAUUUUCGUAAAUAGAAAUGAUUUUCCCUAAAUUAAUUGGUUACAAAAGUUUUCGCUAACAGACAAAUUUUAAAGCAAAUCAACAAGUUUUUUUUCUGAAUUAAAUAAAAGCUAACUUACUGUAAUGAUUUUUAAACUCGACAAUCUUGUCUUCAAAUCCCUUUCCAUGUGACAUCGCCAGAUUCGGCCAUAAUGUCUAGGCCGAGUUUGGGGUGUUACAAAAUUAAUCAUACUUGAUUGGAUUAUGAGAGUGACUUUUAAUGAAAGAUAAUAUGUGAAGAAAGAAGAGAACUAAAAGGGAAAUUGCACCAAAAUAUAAAAAUAAAAAAAUAAUGGCAGAUUGCUUCAAAUGCAAUAGACGCAAGAAUGUGCUAAAUUGUCUUUUUAAAUUCAAAGUGUGUAUUCAUGCCACAAUUAAAAACCUUUAUAUACCGAUCCCAGAGAACCAAUUUCACAUGAUUAUACUCCUAGAAUCAUGCUUAACAAGCAACCACUAAAUCAAAAUUUUCUAAAUAUAGAAUUUGUCAAAGUAAAAAAUCUAAUAUUUUUUAUCAACCCAAAAAUAAUUUUGCAACUUUCAAUUCAACCCCCCAACUUGUUUUUUGUUCCAAUUUAGCUCGAUCUGUUUGUUUUUGAACUUCAGCACUCCAAUUGUGUCCAUGAUAAAAUUCAGGCAAUAAAUCAUAAGUUUAGUAGAAUUCCAUUAAAAAGUUUACCAAAAUUGGGUAUAUUAAAUAUAAAAAAUUAACUUGCUAUCAGAUUUGGAACUAAUUAAUUAUAACAUAUGAAAUAUGUAUUAUAUUAAAAUAAAAAUUAGAAUAAAUUGUGAGUAAAACGAAAUCUAAACAAAAAAACACAUCAGGUUAAAAAUACUAAAUGAAUACAAUUGUUUAUCAUUGUUUUGUCUUCAAUCCUGAGCUGGUGUUGUGUUUAUUUGUGACACUAAAUCAAUAACAUUUUUUAAUAAAUAAAAAAUUAUAAUACAGAUAUACUUAUUAAAGUUUAAAGUGAAAAGUAAAAAGUAAAAAUUGCUUUAGUUCAAAAGUAAAUGAAAAAUAUUUAUAUGGAUGGUGUCCUUAGUUCAAAUCUUAUAAUGGAUAAUUUUUUAUUGAUUUAUAAAUAUAUAAAAAGACUAAAACACCCUCAUAAUCAUAUAUCUUACUUUGCAAAUAAAAUUUUGAAUAUAUUGUUGAAUGGCUAAAUUGUAUGAGAAAUAAAAGCAAUAUUUAUCAUUCAAUAGAAUCCACUAUCAAUUUAAAAACAAGACAAAACCAAAUUAGUAAUAUUAUCAAGUUGAGUUUCAUGUCUUUGAAGCACAUCUAGAGCUGAUAUAACAAACGCUUAUGAAAUUGAGCUUGAUGCCAUUUUUUAGUAUCAAGAAUACAAAAUAUACCACCAAAUUUUCUUUUUCAAACUCAAUUCAAAAUUUUAUUACAUUUAAAUUAUUUUUCAAAACUCAAAUUAUAAAAAUAAAUUAUAUUUAGAAUUUUAUCUUUUCUUAUAAUGUAGAAGUUAUGUUAAGGAACAUAAGAGGUAAAAAAACAGAAAACAAAUGAUUUUGCUUAAUUUUUUUUUGUUCUAUAUUUCUUUCGAAGAAUGGAUAUUAGAUAUUUCGAUAUAGAUAAUAAAGAGAAAUUUUAGAGGGUUUAAAAAUAAUUAUCCCUCAUUUUAUUAAUUUUUGAAAUGUUUAUUUACUGUUAUUUAAUUUUAAAUUUUAUAAUGUUCUGAAAUUUUAAAACAAUUUCAAAUUUGGGUACAAUGAUAAUUUAAAUUUCGGCUAUUUCUAAAAACAGUAAACACCCCGUCAAUAAACCACAAUUUGGAUUUAAAAGUGUAACUUAUGAAGGAAUUUAUAUGUACUUGAAUAGAUUUAUUCACAUUAUUCACGUCUUACAAACAUCAUAUGUAAGAACAACUAUAUUUUUUUACAGGAUGCCGACUAGUAUAUUUUAUUUCAAGUUGUAACAUGUAAUUAGGCAUUCUUAUACCAUACGUUCCCAUUAUUAUGAUGCUGCUGCUGCUGAUGUUGUUGUUACAAUUGAGCACCAAGAUGACUGCAAAAAUUGUUAGUAAUGUCCAGAAUGAAUGGAAAGGACAUGGCAGAUUAGUGAAUUAUUACAGAUACAACUGCUGAGAAUCAAAUACCCAAAAUGCCAACUAUAAUGGCAGAAGCAAAGGAAAAGUAAAAAAAAGAUGGGAUUCCUUACUUAAUACUUCUGCCUUUCUACCCACAACAUUCUUUCUUCUUUCACAAAAUUUCAACCUACUUUUCUUUCCUUUGCUUCUUUCAUUACAUGCUUUUCUUUGCUUAAUAGUUCUGCCUUUCUAUCCACAACAUUCUUUCUUCUUCACUGUUUUUAUUUUGUUUUCAUCUCCAAGGUCUAUCACCAAAUUUCAAGCAUCCCGUUAAAGGUAAUUUUCUUUCAUUUGCUUCAUUCAUGACAUGCUUUUCUUUGCUUCAUUCAUGACUAUGCAAUGAUUGUUUUUUAUUAUCUGCUAGCUUUGUAAGAUAGUCAAGGAAGUCAACUUCAAUGCUUCAUUUUCAGUUCUAAUCUCUCAACACAUUUCAGCCACUAAGUCGGAUAAUAAGGUAAUGAUUUCCUCUACUGAUUAUCAACAGUUUUAGAUUUUAAGACAGGAUAGGAUGACCGGCAAACAUAAUCUAUCAUAGAUAGGAAUCUCAAACUGUUGAACAUUUAUUCCGUAAUGAACUGUUGCACACUUGAAUCUAGCAUUUUAUAUACAUUGAGAGGUUAACUCUGGUGACCAGAUUUUCAUCAUGUUUCUGUCUGCCACCUAUCCAUAGCUCCAUCUAGUAAAGGCCAUUGCAUUUAUGCUUCCUUUUCAUGCUUACACAAACAUAUAAAAAUUAUUCAAAAAUCCUAUACACUAACAUAUAUGAUUGCGUUGCAGGGGCAGAGCAAUGGAAUACGUAGAGCCCGGUGUUGGCGUUGCAAAUUGUCUUGGACCUCCUGUUUGUAAAUACUUGAAAUAUCACAGAAAGCUAAAUGAUUAUGUGAGAAACUUCGGGAGGAUCAGAGAUGAAUUUAAUUUUAAAAUGGAAGAUAUAGAGCUGCAAUUGAAAGUAGAUCUUCUUUCUCCUAGGGGAAAGAUACCAAAGAAGGGGGUUGAAAAUUGGUUGAAAGAUGUGAAAGAGAUGAUUGCGGAAGCACAGAAUGUGGAAAAUAAAGUCAGAAACGGGAGAUAUCUCUGUCGUGCUUGGAACGAAAAGCUGGUUGAUGAAAAGACUCGAGAAAUGAAGGAGUUUCUUGAUAAAGCUCCUAAUGCCUCUGAAGGUCUUGCCAUGGAUGGUCCAAGUGCUGGGUUGCCACUGCCAACAUCAGAACUAGUUGGGGAGGAAGCUGUCAGAAAAGAGAUUAGGGCAUGUUUGAUGCAAAAGGAGGUAAAAAAGAUUGGAGUUUAGGGGAUGGGCGGUGUGGGUAAAACCACGAUCAUGAAGCACAUCCACAAUGAUCUUUUGAAAGAACAAAGAUUCGAAAGAGUAAUCUGGGUUACCAUAUGAAAGGAGUUCAAUGUAAUGAAGAUACAAAAUAAUAUUGCAAGUGCAUUGGAGGCGAAGGAAUAUUUAGACAAAGAAGAGGACAAGCUCAGACGAGCAGCAAUCUUGUCAGAAUUGCUGAAGAAAGCAGGAAAGCAUGUUCUAAUCCUAGAUGAUGUGUGGGAUGAAGUCUCUCUAGAAGAAGUUGGGAUCCCUGAGCCGAGUGACAGCAAUGGCUGCAAGUUGGUGUUGACAACCCGUUCGGAGCAUGUCUGUAAGUAUAUGGGUUGCACGGUGAUAAAAGUGAGGCCCCUUUCAGCACAACAGGCAUUGACACUAUUCUUGAGUAAAGUUGGGCCUAACAUAGUGCAAAGUCAAACUAUAAUGCCUACGCUAAAGCUUGUUGUCAAGGAAUGUGCGGGUCUACCUCUUACAAUUACCGUCGUAGCUGGUACAUUGAAGGGAGAAGAGGACCCUCUUAUUUGGAAAAAUGCAUUCAGGGAAUUGAAAGAGAGAAUAGAAAAAGUGGAAGGUGUGGAAGCUAAAGUGAUAGAGCGUUUGAAAUUUAGCUUCGAUCACUUAAAGGACGAGAAAGUGAAAUCUUGUUUCUUACACUGCGCAUUAUAUCCCGAAGAUUUUGGAAUUGAAAAGGAUGAACUAAUUGAGUGCUGGAUUGACGAGGGAUUCAUAGAUGAUAUGGGUACAAGACAAGAAAUGAAUGACAAGGGUCAAGUUAUUUUGAAGAAGUUGGAAGAUAAUUGCUUGUUGGAAAAUGUCUCGAGUGAAAGAGUAAAAAUGCAUGAUGCAGAGAGAGACAUGGCAUCGAGUGAAAGAGUUAAAAUGCAUGAUGCAGUGAGAGACAUGGCAUUGUCGAUCACAAAAAUGAGUCCUCGAUAUAUGAUACAAGCAGGUUUGCAAUUAGAAGAGUUACCAGAAAAGAAACAAUGGAGUCCGGAUAUUGAGAAAGUUUCACUUAUGUAUAACUCCAUAUCAGAAAUUUCCUUAGACGUGCCGCCCACAAAAUGUCAACUGCUCACAACCUUGUUAUUGCAGCAUAACCCAAUAAAGAAGAUCCCAUAUUCUUUCUUCAUAAACAUGCCUUGUCUUUGUGUCCUCUAUUUGUCUUAUACGGAGAUCGAGAGUUUACCAAAUUCCAUCUCCGAAUUAAAGAACCUCACAACAUUGUUGCUUCGUGGUUGUUCUACAUUUAGAGAUCUGCCAUGUCUUUCGAUGCUUCAAGAAUUGAAGAAGUUGGAUCUUCGUGGGACUAAAAUUGAGGAAGUCCCUGAAGGAAUGGAUAUGCAGAUAAAGCUAAGAUAUCUUGAUCUUGGAGUGCACACUCUGAAAGAGAUACCCGCGGGACUUUUACCAAAACUCGUUCACCUUCAGCACUUGAGUUUUGAAGUGGACAAUGAAAAAACAAGUCUAAAAGCAGAGGAGAUGGAACCAUUGAAGAAGUUGGAGUGCUUUACCGGACGUUUCGAAGACAUCAAUGAAUUGAAUAAGUUCAUCUCCUCCAUGCAACAAAGUAAGAGAAAUCUCAUCAAGUACUCUUUACAGGUGGGCUCAGUUAUUCUGGGUGGUGUAAGAGAUAAAAGAAUAACAAUUGGAGGAGUCCAGAAUUGGGAAGGUGAGUUAAUUAUGCACCCAAUUGAAAUUCAAGAGUUGAUUAUUUUUUGUUGCCACUAUUUGAGAAGCUUAGUCGAUGAUAAUUCUUCCUUCAAAAAUGCGGUUGACUUGAGGGUUUGGAGGAUUUGGGUGUGUGAAGGGAUAGAGUGUGUUGUUUCCCUGUCCUCUUUUGCCUCUUCUUCCGCUCAUCCAUUUCAGAGCCUCGAGGUGUUAGAUCUUAGAAAUCUGCCAAAGUUGAGUGCCCUUAUUAUGAAAGAUGAAGGAAUUGGUUCAGCAACAACAUCAACAUCGGCUCCGUCUGCCACCUUUUCCCAUCUUAAGCGAAUUGAAGUAUGGAGCUGCUCAAGUAUGAAGACGUUGCUUCCACAUUGGUUGCUUCCAAACCUCCAAAACCUGGAAGAAAUACAUGUGGUUGUUUGCUGGCAGCUAGUAGAAAUAUUGGGAGCAGCAACAUCAGAAGUUGAAGAAAAAGGGAGUGAUGCAUUAAUCAAAUUCCAUCUUCCCAAAUUGAGAAAGUUGGAAUUGUGGGGAUUACGAAAUUUGAAGAGCAUAUGCAGCAAAAGUGGAGUGAUGGUUUGUGAUUCUCUUGAGUUAAUCGAUGUUACUAGUUGUGAUAAACUGAAGAGAAUUCCUCCAUUUGUUCCCCUUGUUGGCAAUGGGCAGCCAUUUGCAUAUGCUCCACCUUCUCUUACCAUCAGGUCAUGGAAAGAAUGGUGGGAAUCGUUGGAGUGGGAUGACCAUUCAAACUUUAAAAAUGUUCUUCAACCCCUUUGGAAGGAGAAGAGGUUUGAACCAUUUAUAGUUUAGAGAAAGAUGACAGGGUUGGUGGGAAAAGAGGGGGGAGGAUAGUGCAAAAGAGAGGAGAAAAGGAAUGAUGGAAGGGAGAGGUUAAGAGGUUCCACAUUGUAAACAUUGUCCCUCUCUUACCAUUCCUUCUAUUCUCUUUUUCUUAUAAUGUAAAAGCUGAAGAGGUAAAAAACAAAUUAAUUUGCUUCAUAUUUUUUCUAUGUUUGUUUUGAAAGAAUGAGUAUUGAAUAUAGAGAAAUUUGGUAGGGUUUAAAAAUAAAAUAUAAUUUAAAUAUCAAUUAUUCAAAAUAAUGGUAUUUUAGAUAGCAAAGGUAUUGAAAAUUUAAAGUGAUAAAUUACCUUUUUAUCAUUAUAAAUAAAUACCAUAAUUUCUUUUUAUGCUGAAAUUUUUUUUUGAAAAUUUAUCAAUUUAUAUUGUUUUUUACAAAUAGAAAGGAAAACGCGUCUUAUAGGACAUGUUUUCUCUGAUCUUCCAGAGAAAACAUGAGACGCGUUUUAUUCUCUUUACUAAAAAGCGCUUUGUAGGAGCAACUAAGGACAAUUAAUCACGACGUUUAUGUCUUUCGUUAAUUGUGCAUAAUUUUGAUUGGUACAUUAACACAUUUAGCCCUUGAUGUUUACAUAUUUUGUUAGUUUGGUCUUGAUCCUAAAAAAAAUCAAUAGAUUCAGUUUCAACAUUUACACAUUUUCAAAAAUAUGACGGGCUAAAUUUGUUAUCAUAUCAAUCAAAUUUAUGUAAAAUUGAUGAAAACAUUAAUAUUGAAAUCAAUUGCUCACUUUCGAAAUUGGUAGGGAUUAAAUUGCUUCAAUUUGUUUAGAGGGAUCAAGUUGCUGAAUAUCAAAAUUGAAAGGGACUAGAGAGGUUAUUUUACCUAGUUUAUAUUGUUUUUUACCAUUCCCUCUCUUAUAGAAUGUUUGUUCAACUAAAUAAAAUAAAGAUUGUCCUAUAACUCUAGUUCCAUUCAAGUUAAAACUUCUUCAGGCAAGAUAAUAGUAACAUAAUGCUAAAACAACCAGCACAACCACCACAGUAGGAGCUGCCCAUAUCCAAUAGUUCAUCGACUUCUUACGUUUCAGGAUGGCUUUUAGGAGGGACUCGGUUCUUUUGGUUCGAUUCCUGUACCUACUAGUAUUCUCCUUUGGUACUCUACCCUUCAUGGAAACAGUAGCAGGAACAGGUGCAUCAGUAUUAACAUCAACCUUCUCGGGUUCUGAGUCUUGUGCCAAAGCUUCAAUCAAUUCCUCGGGAUUCACAGCAUUUGUCAAUCCUGCCACCUUCUUCUUAGCUUUCUUUUCACGCUCCUGAAAAAAAGAUCGAAAGAGUUUCAGUUUCAACCCACAAACUAAUAACCCAUAAAGCGAAACCAGAUAAGGAAGCAAAUGACUUCCUUGAGCUUCUUUUCAGCUUCCAUUUGAGCUCUUCUAGCUACUUUGGCUGCUGCUUUUUCAGCCAACUUCUUUUUUCUUUCCAUGGCUUGCUUUGCUUUUGCUAUUUCCUCUUCUUUCUUCAAUUCUUUCAGUUUUGCUGCAUCGACUUCCUUGUUCUUUUGCAAUUUUCCGGAUACCAAAAUUUCCUCUGCUACAACACUAAUAUCUGACAAAGGAUUCGACUCCAUUGCUAUAGUUUCGGCAUUUUUUGGGGCCUUUUUGGCUAGUUUACUAUCUGUUUGGGGACCUGAUUUGGCCUCUUCCUUUGGUUGUUAUUGGGAAUUAUCCAUAUUUAUGGAAAGUCAAAGAUAUGGGUAUCAAAUAUUGGAAAGUCAAAGAUAUGGGUAUCGAGAUAUUGGCAUUAUAAAAUCUGAGAUAUUUGCAAUAUAUGGUCCCUAAUUGUAAAGUGACUUUGCAAGUUGAUCCCUGAACCUCAACUAUAAAUAGGCAUAACCAUCUCUCAUUCUGUAUCUCAAACUUGCCAUUCUCUACUUAAGGCAUUGUUUUCUCUCUCUCUCUUUGUAAAUUCUCACUUGUAUUUUGGAGUGAAAUAUAUUUGGUAGUGCCCGAGGACGUAGGCAAAAUUUGCUGAACCUCGUUAAAUUCUUGUGUUCUUUAUUGUAUUAUUCUGCAUGAAUUGUGUGUGUGAUUGUAGUGAUUUAUUGUGCUAUUAAAUUACGAUUGAGGGAUAUUCUGGCUAGGAAAGACCUGGUACUUAAGCGAUCCUUGCGAUCCACCUCUCUUUCCUGGGAAUUGAACUUAGUGUGAUUUUUUAGUACAAUAAUUUUACUCUUUUACACGCUUCCGCACAACAAUUGGUAUCAGAGCUAGAUUCGUACUUGGGGAAUACGAUCGUUCACGGCACUGUUCACGUACUGUAGUUGGGAUUGAGGAGAAAAAAAUGGAAAAGUCAUCGUCAAAGACUACUAUGACCAAUGCGAAAUUUGAAGUAGAUAAAUUUGAUGGUACCAAUAAUUUUGGUAUGUGGCAAUGUGAGAUCCUGGAUGUCUUAUGUCAGCAAGAGCUGGAUAUAGCCCUUGAAGAAAAACCUGACAAGAUGGAUGACAAGGAGUGGGCCAAGAUCAAUAGACAGGCAUGUGGAACAAUUCGCCUAUGUUUGGCCAAAGAGCAGAAGUACUCUGUCAUGAGGGAGACAUCAGCGAAGAAGUUGUGGGAUACACUGGAAGAAAAGUUUCUAACAAAAAGUCUUGAAAAUAGGCUUUAUAUGAAAAAGAAACUUUAUCGAUUCACGUAUGCACCCGGUAUGUCGAUGAAUGACCAUGUGAACUCAUUCAAUAAAAUUUUAGCAGACUUGCUAAAUUUGGAUGAGAAAUUUGAAGAUGAAGACAAGGCAUUACUGUUGUUGAAUUCUCUUCCUGAUGAAUAUGAUCAUCUUACCACCACAUUGCUUCAUGGGAAGGAUACAAUCACAUUUGAUGCAGUCUGUAGUGCGUUGUAUAGAUCUGAGACUCGAAAGAAAGAUAAAAGAGAUCACAGAGAUACAACCGCAGAAGUCUUAACAGUAAGAGGUCGUUCACACAACAGCAAAUCUGGUAGAAGGGGAAAGUCCAAAGGGAGACUUGCCAAAGAUGAAUGUGCCUUUUGCCGUGAAAAAGGGCAUUGGAAAAAGAAUUGUCCUAAGCUACAAAAGGGCAAGGCUAUUUCUAAUGCAUGUGUAGUAGAGCAUGAUGAGGAGUCAGACUUUUGCUUGGUUGGCAUGGCAAUGGCAUGUCAUACAGAUGAGUGGAUUUUGGAUUCGGGAUGUACUUACCAUAUGUGUCCUUAUAAGGACUGGUUUUCUAGUCUUAAAGAACUAGAAGGUGGAGUUGUUUUUAUGGGCAAUGAUAGCGCUUGUAAUACAAUGGGAGUAGGUACAAUCUAAUUGAAGAAUCACGAUGGCUCAAUUCAAGUCUUGACAGAUGUUCGCUACAUACCUAGCUUGAAGAAAAAUCUUAUCUCAUUAGGGGUCCUAGAAUCUAAAGGGCUCACAAUCACUUUGAGAGAUGGAUUACUAAAGGUAGUAUCUGGGGUAUUGACGGUGAUGAAAGGCACAAGAAGGAAUAAUCUGUACUAUUUAAAUGGAAGUACAGUUAUUGGAUCAACAUCAACAGUUUCUACAAAAGAUGUAGAUUCAGAGGCUACCAGAUUAUGGCAUAUGCGAUUGGGACAUGCUGGUGAAAAAGCUUUGCAGACAUUGGUGAAGCAAGGCUUAUUGAAAGGUGCAAAUUCUUGCAAAAUGGAAUUCUGUGAACAUUGUGUUCUGGGCAAGCAGAAGAGGGUAAAAUUUGGUCUAGCAAUUCACAAUACAAAAGGAAUUCUGGACUACGUUCACAGUGAUGUGUGGGGACCUACCAAAGUAGCUUCUUUGAGAGGUAUGCACUAUUUUGUUACUUUUGUUGAUGAUUAUUCAAGAAAAGUAUGGGUGUAUCUAAUGAAAAGAAAAAGUGAAGUUUUGGAUGCAUUUCUGAAAUGGAAAAAGAUGGUGGAGACUCAGACUGGUCGAAAGGUCAAACGACUUCGAUCAGAUAAUGGUACUGAGUACAAAAACGAUCCAUUUCUACAAGUAUGCCAAGAUGAGGGCAUUGUGCGACACUUCGCUGUUCGGGAUACACAACAGCAAAAUGGGGUGGCAGAACGAAUGAAUCGAACUAUACUGGAGAAAGUUCGAUGUAUGUUGUCCAAUGCUGGAUUGGGCAAAGAAUUUUGGGCUGAGGCAGUUACAUAUGCGUGCCAUCUAAUUAACUGUUUGCCAUCAGCUGCAAUAAAUGGAAAAACUCCUAUGGAGAUGUGGACUGGUAAAUCUGCUACUGAUUAUGAUUCUUUGCAUGUAUUUGGUUCCACUGCAUAUUAUCAUGUAAAAGAAUCUAAGUUAGACCCAAGAGCAAAGAAAGCAUUAUUCUUGGGUAUAACUGAUGGAGUAAAAGGAUAUCGUCUCUGGUGUCCUGAUACAAGGAAGAUUGUUUUCAGUAGAGAUGUGACUUUUGAUGAAUCAACCAUGUUGAAGUACAAGGAUUCACAAAAGGAAGACAAAACCAGUAGUACUUUGCAGCAGGUGGAGCUUGAAAAGGUUAACGAUGAUCCAGCUAAUAUUGAAGGGACAAAUGAUGAAGAGGUUCCUACCCAAGAAUCUCUACAGCAACAAGAUUCAAUUGUAUAUAGAAGGCCAAGAAGAGAGAUUCGUAAGCCUGCCCGCUUUGAUGAUAUAGUGGCCUAUGCACUUCCAAUUACAGAUGAUGAUGUUCCUUCUACUUACACAGAAGUAAUAAGUAACCCUGAUGGUGUAAAGUGGAAGCAAGAAAUGAAUGAAGAAAUGCAGUCUCUUCAUAAAAAUAAGACUUGGGAGUGGGUGACACUACCCAAGGGAAAGAAGGCAAUUGGAUGCAAAUGGGUAUAUGCAAAGAAGGAAGGAUUUCCUGAUAAAAAUGAAAUUCGAUACAAGGCUAGAUUAGUAGCAAAGGGUUACGCUCAGAAAGAAGGAAUAGACUACAAUGAAGUGUUUUCUCCAGUUGUGAAGCAUUCGUCUAUUCGGAUUUUGCUAGCCUUGGUUGCGCAAUAUGAUCUUGAACUAGUUCAGCAUGAUGUGAAGACCGCGUUUUUACACGGUGAUUUGGAAGAGGAAAUCUAUAUGACUCAGCCAGAUGGAUUCAAGGUUGCUGAUAAAGAAAAUUGGGUUUGCAAACUGACAAAGUCGCUUUAUGGAUUGAAACAAUCUCCAAGGCAGUGGUACAAGCGAUUUGAUUAGUUCAUGAAAGGGCAAAGGUAUACAAGAAGUAAAUUUGAUCAUUGCGUGUAUUUUCAGAAGCUACAAGAAGGAUUUUUCGUAUACUUGCUCUUAUAUGUUGAUGAUAUGUUGAUAGCAUCUAAGAGUAAAGUUGAAAUUGAGAGAUUGAAGACUCAACUCAACCUUGAGUUUGAGAUGAAAGAUCUAGGAGAAGCUAAAAAGAUUCUCGGCAUGGAAAUAUGGAGAGAUAGAGCUCAUGAUAGAGUUAGCUUGUCUCAGAAGCAGUAUUUGAAAAAGGUACUACAGCAGUUUGGCAUGAACGAGCAGACAAAACCUGUAAGUACCCCGUUGGCUUCUCAUUUCAAGCUUUCUGCACAACUAUCUCCUUCGACGAAUACGGAACGAGAAUACAUGUUGCAAGUUCCGUAUUCUAAUGCAGUGGGUAGCUUGAUGUAUGCAAUGGUGUGUACAAGACCCGACAUUUCACAGGCAGUUAGUAUAGUGAGCAGGUAUAUGCAUAAUCCUGGAAAAGGACAUUGGCAAGCUGUGAAAUGGAUUCUACGAUAUAUUCAUAAGACCAUGGAUAUUGGAUUACUGUUCAAGCAGGAUAUUACACUUGGUAAAGGUGUUAUUGGGUACGUUGAUUCUGAUUAUGCCGGUGAUUUGGACAAACGAAGAUCAACCACUGGUUAUGUGUUUACUCUUGCUGGAGGACCAAUAAGUUGGAAGUCUACACUGCAGUCUACAGUUGCGUUGUCAACCACAGAAGCUGAAUACAUGGCUGUAACAGAGGCUAUAAAGGAAGCUAUUUGGUUACAAGGUAUGGUUAAAACCUUGGGAUUGGUUCAGGAGCAUAUUAAUGUGUAUUGUGAUAGUCAAAGUGCUAUUCAUUUAGCAAAGAAUCAAGUCUAUCAUGCACGUACAAAGCAUAUCGAUGUACGUUUCCACUUUGUGCGGGAAAUUAUUGAUGGGGGAAAAUUCACCUUCAGAAGAUUAAGACUGCAGAUAAUCCCGCAGAUAUGAUGACCAAGGUGGUAACAACAAUCAAGUUCGAACAUUGUUUGAACUUGAUCAAUAUUCUGCAUGUUUAACAAUUGAAGAAGGCACUAUCAAGUGUUGUUGACAAAGGCAGAGAGAAUUGUGUGAAGAUAAGAUUACUCGAAUCAAAUCUUCAAGGUGGAGAUUAUUGGGAAUUAUCCAUAUUUAUGGAAAGUCAAAGAUAUGGGUAUCAAAUAUUGGAAAGUCAAAGAUAUGGGUAUCAAAUAUUGGAAAGUCAAAGAUAUGGGUAUCGAGAUAUUGGCAUUAUAAAAUCUGAGAUAUUUGCAAUAUAUGGUCCCUAAUUGUAAAGUGACUUUGCAAGUUGAUCCCUGAACCUCAACUAUAAAUAGGCAUAACCAUCUCUCAUUCUGUAUCUCAAACUUGCCAUUCUCUACUUAAGGCAUUGUUUUCUCUCUCUCUCUUUGUAAAUUCUCACUUGUAUUUUGGAGUGAAAUAUAUUUGGUAGUGCCCGAGGACGUAGGCAAAAUUUGAGAGAUUGAAGACUCAACUCAACCUUGAGUUUGAGAUGAAAGAUCUAGGAGAAGCUAAAAAGAUUCUCGGCAUGGAAAUAUGGAGAGAUAGAGCUCAUGAUAGAGUUAGCUUGUCUCAGAAGCAGUAUUUGAAAAAGGUACUACAGCAGUUUGGCAUGAACGAGCAGACAAAACCUGUAAGUACCCCGUUGGCUUCUCAUUUCAAGCUUUCUGCACAACUAUCUCCUUCAACGAAUACGGAACGAGAAUACAUGUUGCAAGUUCCGUAUUCUAAUGCAGUGGGUAGCUUGAUGUAUGCAAUGGUGUGUACAAGACCCGACAUUUCACAGGCAGUUAGUAUAGUGAGCAGGUAUAUGCAUAAUCCUGGAAAAGGACAUUGGCAAGCUGUGAAAUGGAUUCUACGAUAUAUUCAUAAGACCAUGGAUAUUGGAUUACUGUUCAAGCAGGAUAUUACACUUGGUAAAGGUGUUGUUGGGUACGUUGAUUCUGAUUAUGCCGGUGAUUUGGACAAACGAAGAUCAACCACUGGUUACGUGUUUACUCUUGCUGGAGGACCAAUAAGUUGGAAGUCUACACUGCAGUCUACAGUUGCGUUGUCAACCACAGAAGCUGAAUACAUGGCUGUAACAGAGGCUGUAAAGGAAGCUAUUUGGUUACAAGGUAUGGUUAAAACCUUGGGAUUGGUUCAGGAGCAUAUUAAUGUGUAUUGUGAUAGUCAAAGUGCUAUUCAUUUAGCAAAGAAUCAAGUCUAUCAUGCACGUACAAAGCAUAUCGAUGUACGUUUCCACUUUGUGCGAGAAAUUAUUGAUGGGGGAAAAUUCACCUUCAGAAGAUUAAGACUGCAGAUAAUCCCGCAGAUAUGAUGACCAAGGUGGUAACAACAAUCAAGUUCGAACAUUGUUUGAACUUGAUCAAUAUUCUGCAUGUUUAACAAUUGAAGAAGGCACUAUCAAGUGUUGUUGACAAAGGCAGAGAGAAUUGUGUGAAGAUAAGAUUACUCGAAUCAAAUCUUCAAGGUGGAGAUUAUUGGGAAUUAUCCAUAUUUAUGGAAAGUCAAAGAUAUGGGUAUCAAAUAUUGGAAAGUCAAAGAUAUGGGUAUCAAAUAUUGGAAAGUCAAAGAUAUGGGUAUCGAGAUAUUGGCAUUAUAAAAUCUGAGAUAUUUGCAAUAUAUGGUCCCUAAUUGUAAAGUGACUUUGCAAGUUGAUCCCUGAACCUCAACUAUAAAUAGACAUAACCAUCUCUCAUUCUGUAUCUCAAACUUGCCAUUCUCUACUUAAGGCAUUGUUUUCUCUCUCUCUCUUUGUAAAUUCUCACUUGUAUUUUGGAGUGAAAUAUAUUUGGUAGUGCCCGAGGACGUAGGCAAAAUUUGCUGAACCUCGUUAAAUUCUUAUGUUCUUUAUUGUAUUAUUCUGCAUGAAUUGUGUGUGUGAUUGUAGUGAUUUAUUGUGCUAUUAAAUUACGAUUGAGGGAUAUUCUGGCUAGGAAAGACCUGGUACUUAAGCGAUCCUUGCGAUCCACCUCUCUUUCCUGGGAAUUGAACUUAGUGUGAUUUUUUAGUACAAUAAUUUUACUCUUUUACACGCUUCCGCACAACAGUUGUCUUGCACUAGGUCUCAGAAUUGCUUCGGUUUCAGAAUCCACUGGUUUCUCGGGUGCAACCAGUGGUUUCUCAUCAGGAUUCCUUAUCCGACCAUCCAGACUCAAUAGCCGAUUGUCCAGGGAUGGCAGAAUUCUUUUCUCAUAAUCAUCCCUGAAGGCUUUAUUGCCAUUCUAGAGAGCCAUAAACUUCUCAACCUAAAAGGAAUAUAAUAGAUAAGCGAGCGGCUAAUUAUAAAGCAAAUGAGAUACAUUGGAAGUAACAUUAACAAGCACUCUCAACAACCCUCCACAAUUGAUAACUCCUCAAGAGCCUUUAUAUCUUUCUGUGCAGCAAGCAGUUUGGCGUUGUGUACAAUGGUACGGCUCAGGUAAAAGUGAGAAUUCUGAAAUUUUGAGAAAGUAAUUAAAACGAUUCAUUAGUAACAUCAUGCACAGGAAUAUUGGAAGUAGAUAUAAUAUAUAUCAUUUAAUAUCUUAAGUGACACUAGUUAUUCAUGCAUAAAUGAAAAUGUUCCGACAUGGUCAAGUAUAUAUCAUUUAAUUUCCUUUUUUUGGACCAGACUGCAUGCUGCUCCUUCCUUACUCCAUUCAAAUCGACACCCAUAAGCUACAAUAAACAAAUAUAGCAUUUUUUUUUUUAGUGUAACACAAUGGUGCUCUAUAUUCACAGAUAAGAAGAGGAGAAAACUCCGAUGGAUAAAGGCAGAAAAUAGAAUCAUCUUACUUUAACUUGAUCUUGAAUGUCUUCUUUCUGGCCUAAUGAAUCUUGAAUCUUUGAUCUCAUUGCAGCAUUAGCAAUAACUUUCUCACGGGUUCCCUCCAGGUGUUUGAUUUCUUUAAAGAUUCGCUUCUCCUCACUCAANNNNNNNNNNNNNNNNNNNNNNNNNNNNNNNNNNNNNNNNNNNNNNNNNNNNNNNNNNNNNNNNNNNNNNNNNNNNNNNNNNNNNNNNNNNNNNNNNNNNNNNNNNNNNNNNNNNNNNNNNNNNNNNNNNNNNNNNNNNNNNNNNNNNNNNNNNNNNNNNNNNNNNNNNNNNNNNNNNNNNNNNNNNNNNNNNNNNNNNNNNNNNNNNNNNNNNNNNNNNNNNNNNNNNNNNNNNNNNNNNNNNNNNNNNNNNNNNNNNNNNNNNNNNNNNNNNNNNNNNNNNNNNNNNNNNNNNNNNNNNNNNNNNNNNNNNNNNNNNNNNNNNNNNNNNNNNNNNNNNNNNNNNNNNNNNNNNNNNNNNNNNNNNNNNNNNNNNNNNNNNNNNNNNNNNNNNNNNNNNNNNNNNNNNNNNNNNNNNNNNNNNNNNNNNNNNNNNNNNNNNNNNNNNNNNNNNNNNNNNNNNNNNNNNNNNNNNNNNNNNNNNNNNNNNNNNNNNNNNNUUGAAACUUGCAUUCAUGUUUUCCUUUCAAUGCUUACACUGACAUAUCAAUACUUCAUAAAAUAUCCAAUUCAUUCACAGAUUUUCAUUCUCUGCUACUGUUAUAUAUGAUUGCAUUGCAGGGACAUAGCAAUGGAGUACGUAGAGCCUGUUGUCGGCAUUGCAAAUUGUCUCGGAACUCCUGUUUGUAAAUAUUUGCAAUAUCACAGAAAGCUGAACGAUUAUGUGAGAAACUUCAAGAGGAUCAGAGAUGAUUUGAAUUGCAAAAUGGAAGAUAUAAAGCUGCAAUUGAAAGCAGAGCUUCUUAGUCCUCUGGGGAAGAUACCAAAGCAGGGAGUUGAAAAUUGGUUGAAAGCUGUGAAAGAGAUGAUUAGGGAAGCACAAGUUGUUGAAAACAAAGUCAGUAACGGGAGAUAUCUCUGUCGUGCUUGCAACGGGAAGCUGGUUGAUGAAAAGACUCGAGAAAUGAAGGAAUUUCUUAAUAACGCUCCUAAUGCCUCUGAAGGUCUUGCCAUGGAUGGUCCAAGUGCUGGGUUGCCACUGCCAACAUCAGAACUAGUUGGAGAAGAAGCUGUCAGAAAUGAGAUUUGGGCAUGUUUGAUGCAGGAGGAGGUGAGCAAGAUUGGGGUUUGGGGGAUGGGCGGUGUGGGUAAAACCACUAUCAUAAAGCACAUCCACAAUGAUCUUUUGAAAGAACAAAGAUUCGAAAGGGUAAUCUGGGUUACCAUAUCAAAGGAGUUCAAUGUCAUGAAGGUACAAGAUGAUAUUGCAGAUGCUUUGAAGUUGAAGGAAGGUUGGCCCAGUGGAGACAAGCUCAGACGAGCAGCAAUCUUGUCAGAAAUGCUGAAGAACGCAGGAAAGCAUGUUCUAAUCCUAGAUGAUAUGUGGGAUAAAGUCUCUCUAGAGGAAGUUGGGAUCCCCGAGCCAAGUGGUAGCAAUGGCUGCAAGUUGGUGUUGACAACCCGUUCGGAGCAUGUCUGUAAGUAUAUGGGUUGUAAGGUGAUAAAAGUGAAGCCACUUUCAGAAGAAGAGGCAUUGAUACUAUUCUUGAAUAAAGUUGGACCUAACAUAGUUCAAAGUCCAACUAUAAUGCCUACUUUGAAGCUUGUUGUCAACGAAUGUGCGGGUCUACCUCUUACAAUUGUCGUGGUAGCUGGUACCAUGAAAGGAGAAGAUAACCCUCGUAUUUGGAAAAAUGCACUCAAAGAAUUGAAAGAGAGAAUAGGGAAAGUGGAAGGAGUGGAAGCUGAGGUAAUCGAGCGCUUGAAAUUUAGCUUCGAUCACUUAAAGGACGAGAAAGUGAAAUAUUGUUUCUUACAUUGCGCAUUAUAUCCCGAAGAUUUUGGAAUUGAAAAGGAUGAACUAAUUGAGUGCUGGAUUGAAGAGGGAUUCAUAGAUGAUAUGACUACAAGACAAGAAAUGAAAGAUAAGGGCCAUGUUAUUUUGAAGAAAUUAGAAGUUAAUUGCUUGUUGGAAAAUGUCUCGAGUGAAAGAGUAAAAAUGCAUGAUGCAGUGAGAGACAUGGCAUUGUCGAUCACAAGAAUGAAUCCUCGAUACAUGAUACAAGCAGGUUUGCAAUUAGAAGAGUUACCAGAAAAGGUGCAGUGGAGUCCGGAUAUUGAGAAAGUGUCACUUAUGUAUAACUCCAUAUCAGAAGUUUCCAUAGAUGUGCUGCCUACAAAAUGCCAACUGCUCACAACCUUGUUAUUGGGGAACAACCCUAUAAAGAAGAUCUCAAUUUCUUUCUUCACAAACAUGCCUUGUCUUAGUGUUCUCAAUUUGUCCUAUACGAAGAUCAAAAGUUUACCAAAUUCCAUCUCUGAACUAAAGAACCUCACAACAUUGUUGCUUUGUGGUUGUUUUGAAUUAAGAGAUCUACCAUGUCUUUCGAUGCUUCAAGAAUUGAAGAAGUUGGAUCUAAGUCGGACUAAAAUUGAGGAAGUCCCUGAAGGAAUGGAUAUGCUGAUAAAGCUAAGAUAUCUUGGUCUUCAAGUGUUCAGUCUGAAAGAGAUACCCGCUGGAAUUUUACCAAAACUCGUUCACCUUCAGCACUUGAGUUUUGAAGUGGACAAUGAAAAAACAAGUCUAAAAGCAGAGGAGAUGGAACCAUUGAAGAAGUUGGAGUGCUUUACCGGACAUUUCGAAGACAUCAAUGAAUUCAAUAAGUUCAUCUCCUCAUUGCAACAAAGUAAGAAAAAUCUCAUCAAGUACUCUUUACAUGUGGGCUUAUCUUAUAAGAAAAAUUUCAUGAAGUACAUCUUACCUAUUUCCCUUUAUAGAAGAGAUAAAAGAUUAACAAUUGCAGGAGUCCAGAAUUGGGAAGGUGAUUUAAUUAUGCACCCAAUUGAAAUUCAAGAGUUGAAUAUUUUAAAGUGCGACUAUUUGAGAAACUUAGUCGAUGAUAAUUCUUCCUUCAAAAAUGCGAUUGACUUGAGGGUUUGUAGGAUUUUGGGGUGUAAAGGGAUAGAGUGUGUUGUUUCGUUGUCCUCUUUUGCCUCUUCUUCCGCUCAUCCAUGUCAGUGCCUCGAGAUGUUGUAUCUUCAAGAUCUGCCAAAGUUGAGUGCCCUUAUUAUGAAAGAUGAAGGAAUUGGUUCAGCAACAACAUCAACAUUGGUUCCGUCUGCCACCUUUUCCCAUCUUAAGGAAAUUACGAUAUACAGCUGCUCAAGUAUGAAGACGUUGCUUCCACAUUGGUUGCUUCCAAACCUCCAAAACCUGGAAGAAAUAUCAGUGGAUCGUUGUGAUGAGUUAGUAGAAAUAUUGGGAGCAGAAACAUCAGAAGUUGAAGAAAAAGGGAGUGAUGCAUUAAUCAAAUUCCAUCUUCCCAAAUUGAGAGAGUUGUCAUUCCAGAAAUUACCAAAUUUGAAGAGCAUUUGCAGCAAAAGUGGAGUGAUGGUUUGCGAUUCUCUCCAACUUAUCCAAGUUCUAGACUGUUAUAAACUGAAGAGAAUUUCUCCAUUUGUUCCCCUUGUUGGCAAUGGGCAGCCAUUUGCAUAUGCUCCACC